RNAcentral lists this long non-coding RNA (105739 nucleotides) under Gossypium raimondii (Peruvian cotton). RNAcentral describes it as "long non-coding RNA (GRAI_LNC004338)". The stretch from base 70431 to 70537 matches the Rfam family "Plant small nucleolar RNA R71". Lineage: Eukaryota; Viridiplantae; Streptophyta; Magnoliopsida; Malvales; Malvaceae. The record is from RNAcentral.
UAGAAUUAAAAUUUUUUUUAUUUAUAUUUGAUAUUUCUUAAUUUUGUUUUUCUUACAUGUUUCCCUCAUUAUUCUGAUAUGUAAUUCGAAACAAAUAAGCAGCAGAAACCAAGAAUGGAUAAAAAGGAAAAGAAGAGAGUGAAGGUGCAGAACCUGGGGCAAUAUAUCCAUACGUCCCAACAAUUACAGUUCGAUUAGAUGAAUCAGGAUCAAGAAAUCUUGCAGUCCCAAAAUCAGCAAUAAAAGCUUCCAAUUCAGAGUCCAACAAAAUGUUAUUGCUUGAGAUGUCUCGAUGAACAAUUGGAGGGUUGCAAUCAUGAUGCAUGUAAGAUAGAGCAUGUGCGACACCUUUGACAAUGUUCACUCUUUUGGUCCAAUCCAAUUCCACAGCUUCCUCAUCAAUGCUCAAGGCAUAAAACAAGCUUCCCUUUUCCAUAUAUUCAUAAAUCAAGAACAUGCAACGAUUGUGGAGACAAAAUCCGUGGAGCUUGACGAUGUUCUUGUGUCGUAUUUCUGUUAAAAACUUGAUCUCAUUUCGGAAACUUGUGUCGUAAGCCGGUUGCUCAGCUUCCAAUCGGUGGAGUUUUUUUAAAGCAACAACUUUGCCACUUGGUAAGACUGCUCUGUAAACACUGCCAUAACCACCCGUUCCAAUGCAAUAUUUGAUAUCAAAAUCCUCUGUUGCUUUGAUGAUGUCUUCGAAUGCAAUCUUUCCAUCAAAGUUCCAAAUAGAGAAUAAAUCUCCAUUUUUGGUUGGACUUGGAUCAGAUUUUAAAGCUUUAGCUCUAUAUCGUCGGAAUAGGAUGAAUAUCACCAAGGCAAAAGUCGAGACAGAAAAUAACAAAGUUGGAACCAGAAUAGUAGUGACAGGAAGAUUGUGCUUGACUUUGCUAUUUCUUUCUCGAUUUACAGUUGGGGAUGAACCGCAAGGAAGGAAGCCUUGAAUGGAACCACAUAAAUCCUUAUUAUGGUUGAGAGAGACCAAACUUUUUAACUGUCCCAGAGAGGAAGGGAUGUCACCUGAAAGCCUAUUGAAGGAUAGAUCCAAUGCCACCAAAUUCAGUAGACUCCCAAUUCCUGGUGGAAUGGAUCCAUUAAGUUGGUUGCUUUGAAGGAACAACGAGGCAAGAUUGGUUAAGCAUCUGACAGAAAAUGGGAUUGGACCAACAAGUCUAUUGGAGGAUAGAUCCAAUGCAAAUAAAUUCGUUAGUCUCCCAAUUUCUUGAGGAAUGGAUCCAUUAAGUUUGUUGCUUUGAAGGAACAACGAGGCAAGACUGGUUAAGCUGCUGACAGAAGAUGGGAUUGGACCAACAAGACUAUUGGAGGAUAGAUCCAAUGCAGAUAAAUUCGUUAGUCUCCCUAUUUCUUGAGGAAUGGAUCCAUUAAGUUUGUUGCUUUGAAGGAACAACGAGUCAAGACUGGUUAAGUUGCUGACAGAAGAUGGGAUUGGACCAACAAGACUAUUGGAGGAUAGAUCCAAUGCAAAUAAAUUCGUUAGUCUCCCAAUUUCUUGAGGAAUGGAUCCAUUAAGUUUGUUGCUUUGAAGGAACAAUGAGGCAAGACUGGUUAAGUUGCUGACAGAAGAUGGGAUUGGACCAACAAGACUAUUGGAGGAUAGAUCGAAUUCAGACAAAUUCCUUAGUCUCCCAAUUUCUUGUGGAAUGGAUCCAUUAAGUUUGUUGCUUUGAAGGAACAACGAGGAAAGAUUGGUUAAGUCGCUGACAGAAGAUGGGAUUGGACCAACAAGACUAUUGGAGGAUAGAUCGAAUUCAGACAAAUUCCUUAGUCUCCCAAUUUCUUGUGGAAUGGAUCCAUUAAGUUUGUUGCUUUGAAGGAACAACGAGGCAAGAUUGGUUAAGCUGCUGAUAGAAGAUGGGAUUGGACCAACAAGCCUAUUGUAGGAUAGAUCCAAUGCAACCAAAUUCCCUAGUCUCCCAAUUUCUUGCGGAAUGGAUCCAUUAAGUUUGUUGCUUUCAAGGAACAACGAGACAAGAUUGGUUAAGUUGCUGAUAGAAGAUGGGAUUGGACCAACAAGCCUAUUGUUGGAUAGAUCCAAUGCAACUAAAUUCCUUAGUCUCCCAAUUUCUUGCGGAAUGAAUCCAUUAAUUUUGUUGCUUUCAAGGAACAACGAGGCAAGAUUGGUUAAGUUGCUGAUAGAAGAUGGGAUUGGACCAACAAGCCCGUUGUUUGAGAGAUGAAGAUCAACCAUAUUCUCUAGCUUUCCAAUAUUUGGUGGAAUGGAGUGAAUAUCAUUAAUAGAAACAUCAAGCCCUGCCAAUUGAGUGAGGUUUCCAAUUGAAGAAGGUAACUUACCUGUAAGGCUGUUCAGUGACAAAUUUAGAGAAACAAGAUUCUCCAUCUUCUGAAUUGCCAAGGGAAUGGAAUGAAUAUAGUUAUCAUAAACGUCAAGCACUGCCAAUUGAGUGAGGUUUCCAAUUGAAGAAGGUAACUCACCUGUAAGGCUAUUCAAAGAUAGGUUGAGGUACCUGAGCUUUGAAAGUGCUCCUAUUUGAGGUGUUAUGCUCCCAUUCAGACCAUGGCCACUAAGAUCAAUCUCGACGACACUUCCAGCUUUGCAUCGGAUACCAGGCCACUUACAAUGGUCUCCAACUCUAUUUCUAUAAUUACUCCACCACCCUGUUUCCCUCAAUGCUUUUGCCUCUGCUGCCAGCCAUUGAGAAUCAUCGUUUGUUGCUCUUGUAAUUCCACUAGUGAUUACAAUUACAGAGAGUAAAAAGAAGGAAGGGAUAGAAGUGAAACAGUAGGAUUUCAUAGCUAUGAAGUUGAGGGCUGAAGCUGCAAUCCAUUUCUCAAACCUUAGCUUAUUUAAAUACAUAUAAAGCUGAUUUAAUUUUAUUGGAUAUAUAUUAAUUUCAAAGUCUUUAGUAACAAAUAUUGGAAAAAAAAGUAAAUUAAAAUUUUUUUUGAAACUAACUAAAAAAAUUAAUUAAACCUUUUAAAAUUUAAAAAUUAUUUUAAAAAAUCAUAAAUACCUUGAGUGAGAGAAAAUUCUAGCAGAAAAUAUAGAAAGUUUUAAAAUACAGUCUUUGAAGAUUGAAGUACAACCCCUCUGCCUGUUGUAGUUUAGAUUUUUCUCAUGAUUAUACACAAAAUCCCGAACGUGUUCAGAGUAGAAACUGUAAAUGAAGACAUUAUUGGUUUUUGCGUGGGUCAUGGGCUUUCUGAUGGCAAGCCUUAAUGGAAGACCUUGACUUCCAAAUUAAUCAACUUGUUUUAAUUGUUUUUUAUAUCACACCAAUGUUAAAAAGCCACAUUUGGUAUAAUAAUACUAUAUAAAAAUUAUAAAAAAUUUAAAUUUAUUUUAAAAAAUAGAAAAAUUCUAUAUAACAAUACUAAAAAAAAUAUAAAAACUUCAAUAUGUUGUUGUUGAAGAAUUAAUAUGUAUGAGAAAUAAUUAUCAUUCAAAUAAAAAAUAGGUCAAAUAUAUAUAUAUAUAUCAUUACAUGUUUCCUCAAUGUUUCUCAAAGCCAAAUUAGUAAUAUCUUCCAAGUCGAUUUCAUGCUGUGAAAUCAACUCUGAUGUCAAUUUUUUAGCAAAAAAUAAAAUUAUACCACAAAAUUUUCUUUUUUAGACUCAACUCAAAAUUUCAAAUCAUUUAUUUUUUUUUCGAAACCCAAAUUGUAAAAACAAAUUAUAUUCUUAAUUUUUUUUCUUUUCUUAUAACAAAAAAAAAGCCAUGUUAAGAAAAGAAGAGGUAAAAAAUAGAGAACCAAUACUUUUGCGGGUAAACUAUUAAAAUAGUCACUUUUGUUUACUUCAGGUUACAUUUUAGUCACUUAUGUUUGAAAUGUUACAUUUUAGUCACUUACGUUAUCGUAUUAUAACAUUUUAGUCACUGAGCCGUUAAUUGUUGUUAACAGUAUAACUGUAAGCUGACGUGGCAUGUUAAAUCAUCAUUUUAAAUGAAAAUUUUAGGUUAAAUUAUACAAUUGAUCCCUAUUUUUUUUCAUUUUGAGCACUUUAAUUUUUUCUUUUAUGUUUUUUAACUUUCUUUUUUUCUUCUUAUUUUCCAUUCUCUUUUGUUUCUCCCUCUAUUUUCGUCCUUUUUCCAUUUUUUUAACAUAAUUUUUUUAUGUUUUUCAUUUGUUAAAACUAGUCCCUAUACUUUUAUUUUUUUUGAACAAUUUAAUUUUUUUUCCUUUUUAUUUUUAUUCACAAUUGUCUAUAAUAAGCACAAAAAAAAGAUUAAAAAAUCUUUAUUCUGGGUUUUCAUUGAAGAUCAAUACAAAAUCUUUUAACUUUCCUUUUUUUUUUUCUUUAUUUUCCAUUCUCUUCUGUUUCUCCCUCUGUUUUCCUCCCUUCUCUGUCUCUUUUAACAUAGUUUUUCUAUAUUUUCCGUUUGUUAAAACUAGUCACUAUACUUUUAUUUUGGUAUUGGGUAUUUUUUGUACGUUCUGUUUAAUCUUCCUUUUGAUUAGUUUUUAAUAUUUUUUCAACUUAGGGUAACAAUUUUGUAUUGAUCUUCAAUAAAAACUCAGAAUAAAGAUUUUUUUAAAUAUUUUUUUGCUUAUUGUAAACAAUUGUGAAUUGGGGUUUUUGAUAUUUUACACUUAUUGUUGAUGCUAUACAAAGGAUCCAAAAAUGGAUUAUUAUGGUGAUUUUAUAGAAUUGCUUGGACCUGAUUUUUCAAUGAAAAUUCUCAUGAUACUGGUUAACCCUUCUGAUCCCAUUAGAGUUAACUUGAUUUCUAGUUUUUGGCACCAAUUUGGUAAACAAAUUAAUGUCUUUGGUAGAAUUUAGCUAGUUAUAUAUUGAAGAAGAAUCGGUGUUGAUUAAUUCAAUAAAAUCGAUUUUAUUUAUCUUGCAAUGAUCAAAAAUGGUCUUUGGGUUUACGCACAGAGUAUGUAAUCAAAGAUGAGUAUGUAAUCAAAGAUAAUUUUCUUUAACAAAUAAAGAAAUAAAAAAAUUAAUUUGUUCAAAAAAAAUAAAAGUAUAGGGACUAGUUUAACAAAUAGAAAAUAUAAAAAAACUACAUUAAAAGAAAUGGAGAAAGGAGGAAAACAAAAGGAGAAGUAGAAAAGAAUGGAAAAUAAAGGAAAAAAAAGUUAAAAGAACAUAAAAGAAAAGAAUUAAAUUGCUCAAAAUGAAAAAAUAUAGGGACCAAUUUUAUAAUUUAACCUAAAAUUUUCGUUUGAAAUGAUGAUUUAAUGUGCCACAUCAGCUUACUGUUACAUUGUUAACGGAAAUUAAUGGCUUAGUGACUAAAAUGUUACAAUACAAUAACGUAAGUGACUAAAACGUAACAUUUCAAACAUAAGUGACUAAAAUGUAACCUAAGGCAAACAAAAGUGACUAUUUUGAUAGUUUACCCUACUUUUGCUUAGUGUUUUUAUUUUUUCAAUGUUAUUUUAAAUAAUGAGUGUACAAGCCCAUAUAUGCCCGGGUCCAAAUCCAGUAAACUAAACCUAAGCCCAAACUAAACCUAGCCCCAAAAAAUAAAAACAAAAACAAAAAACCCUAAGCAGAAAAAACCACCAGUCGCCGUAGGCCGCAACAGUAGCCGCCAUUCGCACGAGUUGCGCCUCCACCCGCGCCACGCCUUGCCUGCCACACCUCCAGCAGUACCUGCAGCAACAAACACAAAACAUAAUAGCAAAAAUCGGGCAACAAUAUGUCAACAAAAACAGAAUAGAUUUCUUUUGAUUCUGUAUUUUUUUUCCUUUUCCAUUUUGGCUAUUUAAAGCCGUGAAAAAUCUGUAACAAAGGUGGAAAAAUAUAUGCAAAGAAAUAGAGAGAAAAUACAGAGAUCAAACUUGUUUUUGCAUAGGUGAUUUCUUUUUCGUUUUGCUUUGCAGUGUCCAUCGUUUUUUACAUACAUAUUGUUUUAUUCUCUUUUAUUUUCGUUUUAUUUCAUUUAAAAUAAUAAAGAAAAGAAAGGGAUCUUACCUCUUUUGUCAAAGUCGCCGGAUGGUUGCCAUCUCCGUAGCGAUCGGAGCAUUGGCACGAACGGCGGCGCAAAAUGGGUUAAAAGAACCCUAGCAGAGCCACAUUUUUUUAAAAAGAACAAAAUGAUUUUUUUUUUUCCUUUUGUUCAAUUUCGUUUAAUUUUUGUAGCACACGAAACGACACCGUUUGGUGCCUUGACCCGCGCGGUGACCCGACCCGGAUGGAGAGGAUCCGCGCAUUUUGGCUUGAAUGAGGAAAUUGCGUAUUUAGGCCCUCCUUUUUGUGACGCACUUCAAUCAAACCAGUUUCCUUUUUUUGUAAAUUGAGCCGCAUAUUUCAUUUUUGUUUCAAUUUGACCCAUUGCUGCGCAGCGUUUUGGGAAGGCGGGAAUAAUUUCUCUUUUGGUCCUCCACUGUUGUGUGCGCAUUCAAUGUGGUCCUGUCUUUUAGUUUGCUUCGAAUCUGCCCCAUUUUCUUCGUUCUUCAUUCAAUUUAGUCCUUUUUUUUGCUAUUUUUAUUUUUCAUGUUAUUAUUAUAAUUAUAUUAUACAAUUGUUUUUAUUUGUGUGUUACUAUUAUUAUUAUUGUUCAUUCACAUGCAUGGUUUUAUAUAAUAUAUAUAUGCAUUCUUUUGUAUAGUACCCGUCUACCUAUAUAUUAUAUAUAUGUUUUAUUUUUUUAUUUUUUUAACUUCUAUGUAUAUACAUAGACUUUUAUAUGUUAGUUUUUACUUGUGUCAAUAUGUUAAGUACUUUUUUAUAUAUAUUAUUCUUCAUAAAUUUUUUUUUACAAACAUAUAGGUAUACAUACACAUAUUUUUAUGCAUGCAUAUUUUUAGAAAUUAUUAUAAGUUUAUUUUAUACAUUUCUUUACCCUCCUUUUUAUAUGUACACUUAUAUUUAUGUGACAAAUAUACGAAUACACUUAUUUUCAAACUUAUUUGUAUAUUAUGCUUGUAUAUAUAUUUUGUAAAUACACAUACAUAUAUAAUUUAAAUUAAAGUAUUUGUUUUAUGUUAUACAUUAACUUUUUAACAUACCUUUUAGAAAAUAUAUAUUUUGGCUGCGUCAAAGCAUUAAAAUCAUCAUAUUUCGUAAAUUUUUAAAAUAUUUGGCAUUCAUGAUUCUCGAGAAAGAUCGUGUCCUAACUUACUGGAUUGCGAUUAUUUUUCGACGAAUUUAGCAAGCCAAGUAUUCAUUUUGCAAUAAGUUCACAAAUUUCAAAUAAAGGCUUAUUCCCGGGAAUUCAAAAAUGUCGGGUCCUAACUUACUGGUCAUGACAUUUUGUUAUCUCGAAAUAAGAAUUUCUAAAACAAAAGGCAAUAUUCGGUAUUUUGAAGACUUAAAAAUAUUGUGCCCUAACUCACUGGGUGUGGUGUUUUAUUUCUUUGAAAUAAGAAUGUUUUAUUAUUUUGAUUCAUUCACGAGAUAAAAAGUUUUCUUUUAAAAUCUUUUCAAAUUUUCGACACCAAGACAUUAAAUAAUCAAAUUCGGUAUCGAUUUUGGGCGUUGCGAGGGUGCUAACCCUUCCUCGUGCGUAACUGACUCCCGAACUUGUUUUCUCAAAUUUCAUAGACCAAAAUUGUUUUUAAGGUGAGCCGAUCACACCUCAAUCAAGGGUCAGUGGCGACUCCAAUUUUUUUGUUUUUUAAAGUCGACAACUAAAUUUUUGUUUUCAAAAAAAAUGGUUUCGACAAUGAGUAUUGGAUAUUUCUAGACAAAUAAUACAAAGAUAAAUUUUGGAGGGUUUAAAAAAAUUUCCCCCAUUUUCUCUCACUUUAUUUAUUUUUUAUUUUGAUUUACUUUUAUAUAAUUUUUAAUUUUUAGAUUUUUCUAAGUUUUUGAAAAGAAAUUCAAAUUUUUAUUAUUUUAAAUAUAAUCAAGAUUAAAUUGAUAGAAAGUGUGAAAUUUGAAGGCUAAAUUGUUGUUUUACCAACUAAAAAAGUCACUUUAUAAUUGGGUGAAAAAAACAAUUUUGAAAACGUUAGUAAUAAAAUUAUAAUUUCUUUUUAGUUAAGUGACUAGAACAAAUUUUUUUUCAUAGUUUAAUGACUAAUAGUAUAAUUUUCUAAAAAAAAUUAACUUGGACCACAACAAUAUCACUUCCAAUCAUGCACUCACAAAAUUAAUAUCGAUUUUGAAUUUAAUCAAAAAUAAAUAAAUUUGAUUCAAUCCCACCUUAAUUUGGUGUUCACAUUUGCAAAUUAAAAAAAAAAAAACCAAAAUAUGAGAAUAAAAUAAAAUCGGACUUGUCCCCUUAUAGUUUAAAAUUAUGUUCUAACCCCAAAAAUCUAGAUGAUAUUUAAUUUAGCCCCUAAUUUAAACCCAAAAUUUUAAUUGUAAUUCUAAAAUCAAAUUAAGAUUUAAUUAUAAAAUAAAAAAAUGAUUGAAAGAAAAGACUAAAUCAUUUAGAACUUAUUUUUAGUCAAUUAACUUUUUUGCAUGUUUGAUAAUCUAUAAAAAAGAAAAAACAAAUUAUAGAAUUAUUUCAAUAAUAAAGUAUGAAAAAUGACAAGUAUAUCACUUAAUGUAGAAUCUUUUAUCUUAUUUUAUUUCUUUUUCACUUUAUCUUUUAAAUAUUUUAUCUUUAAAAUUUCAAAAAUUUCAUUUAUCUCACAAAUUCUACAUGUUUUAUUUUACAGUCUAUAUUCGGAGUUCAUAAACACCCCUUUUUAAUAAUAUUAUCUCUAAGAUUCAAUCUGCACUCUCCUGCGAGUAUAAUGUGCUCAAACCAAGAAUAAUAUGCAUGCUUACACGGUGGAGAGUGUAAAAUGUUGAUCUACUUUGGAGAAAUUUUGAAUAUUGUUAAUGAUUUCUAUCUAGUUUCGAGGAACGCUGCUUGUGAAGACAAUAAUGGUUUCCGCGUGGGUCAUAGGCUUCUCAUGGCAACCCGUAACGACUGGGCUCAAACCAAAAUAUACAAGGAAGACCUUGACUUCCUAAAUACACGCUUAAUUUCACUUCCAUCUUCAUCUUAAUUCAAACACCAAUUUCUUGGCUAGUGUUCCAUCACCUUUUUCUAAUUUUAAUUUUUUCCUUUCAAUUUCAAAGCAACUUGUAAAAUAGUUUAUUUUUCUGAAAUACUCUCAAAAAAUAAACAAAUUAAGAAGCCGAUGAAGCGCCACUAUUCGAGUCAACACACUUUCCAAAAGAAACUAUUGGUGGCCGGUGAAGGGUCAUCGGUGAUAAAAAUCGUCAUCUGUCCAUCACAGCUUGUGAAAGCAACGAAGAUACCUAAAAAAACUUUACCUUAUUUAAAUACAUAAAAAAAUUGAUUUAAUUUUAUUGGGUAUAUAUUAAUUUCAAAGUCUUUAGUAACAAAUUAUUGGGAAAAAAAAGAGCCUAUUGGAAGUAAAUUAGAAAUAUUUGAAAGUAAUUGAUUAAACUGGUGAUACAUAACUAUAACAGCAAUUGGAGAUAUUUCAUUGAAAGACAUCGCAAUUGGAGAUUGCAUAUAGGAAAUUUCUUGAGACAUUAAUUUGUUGGCUGUAAUUAAUUAACUUGAGUUUGUGUGUAAGCAUGUAAAAGCAACCAUAGCCACAAAAGUGUAGCGUAAAAUUUUAAGCAGAAGAUGAUGACGAUAGUAGAAUUGACAAUAACUAACCUAUAAGUAUUUCAAAUUCAGAAUUAUCAUCAAAUAAGCAAAUUAUAAUUUAUAUAAUAAUAAAAAUAUAUACAUAAGAUUCUAUAAGUAUUUCUUGGCAGAAUCCGUGCGAAUAACCUUGUUGGGUGUUAUGGCAUAUAAUUGAGGGUUAAGAAGUAGUUAAUUACUGUUUAUUUUUGUUAAGUCUGUUGGGUUAAUUAUGCUGCAAAAGUGACACGUUUUGAGGGGGUCCUUUAAUGAAUUCGUUGCGUUUUGGGCAAAGGGUUUUGUUAGUGACACGGGGCAUUUUGAUGUUUGCCUUGUAACCCAAUGACAGCUGUGAUGACCGUUAUUUUCCUUUCUUAGCACCCUCGUGUGUGCUGGAAUGGUUAUGAAAAGUUUCAGUAUUAUUUUCUCAGCCUCUCUCCUCUUUUCUCUCUCUGUUACUCCUUCUUCUUCUUCCUUCUAUACUUCUCUGUUCUUCUUCUUCUUCUUCUUCAGCACGCAUCAAGGUAUCAGAGGCUCUCUUUCCUCAUGGCCAACGAUGGAGUCACCACCAGGCUUCAAAAAGAGAUGAGUCAACUGCAACAAGAGUUCACUCAGUUGAAAGCAGGUCUAGAUUCCAAGAUUGAUACCAAGUUUCAGUCCUUCCAUGACACCAUAAAAGGGGAGAUUCGAAUUGAGAUUUGCACUGGUCUUUAAACCUUGUUUGAGCAGUACAUGGGGCAGUCGACAGCGACUAGCGCUAUUGGAACUAGUAAGGCAUCUCUAGUAGAAGUGAGCUCGGGUAAGGGAAAGGGUAUUCUAGGAAGUGUUCCUCUUGAAUCUCCAAAGAAGGAGUAGUUAAUAAUAUCUCCCUUGCGAGAGUCAAGACAAACUGAAACGUUGGCACGAGUAGUUUUAGGGGAUGUAACCAGUAACUUGUACAGACUUGAGUGCCCACAUUUUGAUGGCACGGAUUUUCGUGGAUGGUGGUCGAAGCUUGAACAAUUUUUCUCAUCAGAGUGUGUCAGAGACGAGGCUAAGGUGAAAGUAGUCAUGCUCCAUCUUGAAGGCAAGGCCCUUGACUGGCACCAUUUCUUUGUCUAGAGACGUGGUGGAUUGCAGCAGCUUUCGUGGGAGGUUUAUGCUCGUGGACUAAGGGGCAGGUUUAGCUCGGACACACUUCUAGAUCCUAUGUCUGAACUCGUUUCUCUUAAGCAACAAGGGUCAGUGACUCAGUUUCAUGAUACAUUUGUUAGUUUGCUCAACCAAAUAGACUUAAGUGAAGAAAAUGCGAUUAGUGUGUUUGUUAGUAAUAUUAAUGUGCGUCGAAACCAUCAAAAAUAAUUCCUACAAAAUAACUCUAAAUAGUAGUAAACAGUGGUAGUAGGGUCGAGUCCACAUGGAUUGGAUGUUAUAAUCAAAUUCCGCGAUUAACUUGUGAUCAAAAUUUUGUCGUGUCGAAAGUCAUGGCAAAAGUCGUGCCCAUGACUCCAAACGGACCUGCUAAAAAAUAAACAAAUAAAUCAUUGGAGAUUAAAUUCGAAUUUUGUAAUCAAAGAUAAUAAGCCUUAGCCUUAGACUUGGUGGAUUUCAGAUUUUUGAAUCGAUCCUUGAAAAUUAAUUUUCUCCUCCAAUCAAUAAGCUGGUUAUAGUAGCUAAGAACGUCCUAACCACCAGUUUUUCCUCUCGUAGCUGGUCCCGGUACGACCUGCAAACCAACCUUUAUUGAUUAUCUAGCCGAGAUACACGUGUUCCCAGUUCAAGAUUCCGGCAGCCUUGCGCUCUGAAGAACCCAACUAGAAUUAACGGCCUCAACCGCGUGGGUUGUUUAAACACGAUCACUUCUUCCUUGAUUUGUUCUUGGAGAUCCAAACACAACACAACCAACUUGUUUCUCCAACUGUCAGCAAACACGACUCCAACCCAACGUGCACUUUUUAACUUGAAAUUGAGUUAACUUUAAGGGAUGAGUUGUCAAUCCCGAUACUUAGGAAAAAUGUGAAUACUGAUUGGAAUGAUUUUUUUUUAACAUGGAUACGUAUCUCACGAUUCUCGACCGAAAAGAACACCGGCCUAAAGCUAAGAUGGAAUUUAGUGAAGCAUGAAUUUAAUCAUGCUUGUAGGUUAUGGAAGGUGAUUGAAUUUGUAUGAAAGAUGGUGGAAAUUGGGGAAGAAAAGGGCUUGGCAAGCAAUUAAACAAAUUUUGAAAAAGAAAGAAAAAAAAAACAAGAAUUGGAAACAAAGCAACAUAAUGUUACGCACCAAUUCAAUUCCAAAUUGAAAUCAAAGUGUGAAAUUCAAGUGUGUCUCCUAAAGCCCCUAUUUAUAUACAUAGAAUUUACUAAUUUUGGCUUUAACCACUUUAACAUAAAAUUAAAAUUAAAAUUAAAAUUAAAUAAAAAAUAAAAUAAGAGAUUGUCCCAAAAAGACAAGCUAACCAGUAAACGAAUCUGAAUCACACCACCCUUUCGAGGACAAAUCACUAUCAAAUCUCAAAAGAAUCCCUUGGCCAAGAGAGCAAUUCAAGUACCAGAUGUUGACACCAUUUUUUUUGUGAAAACGGGGUUGACUUGGGUUUUAAAAAUAAAAACGAAUAUGGGAGUCGCCACCAAUCUUUUUUGAUGAGGUGUGAUAGGGCCACCUUGGAAAGUGGUUGUUUUUAAUAAACAAUUUAAUUUUAUUAAAACAACAAUUUUGGUCCACGAAAUUCAGAAAAACGGGUUCGGGAGUCAGUUACGUACGACGAAGGAUUAGCACCCUCGUAACGCCCAAAAUUGGUACCUAGUUGAUUAAUUAAUGUCUUAGUGUCGAAAAUUGAAAACUUGGAAGAAUUUUAAAAAUACGAACCUUGUAUUAAAAUGUUGAAAAUUUUCGGGAAAAAGACAUAUUUCACAUUGAUCGAGAAAGAGAAUCAUAUCCAGUAAGUUAGGACACAAUGUCUCGAAUUCCCGAUACGCGAAUGAAUGCUAAAAAUUUACUUAUUUAAAAGAUAUUUAGCUAUCUCGAGUUUUUUUUAAAAAGAGAUCAUGCCCAGUAAGUUUGGACACGAUCUUUUCCUAAUUCCCGAGAUCGUUUAAAACUUCGAAAAAAAUAUCAUGCCCAGUAAGUUAAGACACGAUCUCUUCUUAAUUCCCGAGAUUGUUUAAAUCUUGAAUUUGAAAAGAUUCGUGUAUUUAGAUUUAUUGUGAAAAUCAAAACCCAGUAAGUUAGGGUACGACCUUCUCGAAUCUAAACACGAGAUUUUAUUUAUUCAAAAAUCAUAAUUUAUGCAUUGAAUAAAAUCACGAAAUAGUGGAAAUGAAACAAAUGCGUAACAAAAUAAAAAUGAAUAUGAUGAUGUAAAAAUAAUACGAGAAAUCAUCAAAAAUGAAAUAAAUAAAUAUAAGAGACAAAUCAAUCAUACAAUUGCAAGUAAAUAAACGAAUAGAAUUAAAACAUUCUUUCAAAAUAAUAAUUAACAUGUAAAUAACAAUAAAAAUGAAUACGAUUAAAAAAUGUAAAGAGAUAUAUAUGUAUAUAGAUAUAAAUUAAAAAUAUGUAUGUAUAUGUGAAUUAUAAAAUAUAUAUAUAAUAUGUAAUUUAAAAUAUAAAGAAUAUAUAAGUAUGUACAUGAAGUAAAAUAUGUAUAUACAUAUGUAGGUAUAUAAAAAUUAUGAAAUAUGAAAAUAAUAAAAUACAUAAAAAAGUAGGUGUUUAUGUAUAUAUUUACAAAAGUUAAAAUAUGUACAUAUAUAUAUAUAUAUAUAUUACAAAAAGUAAUGCGUGUAUAUAUGCAUAUUUUUUGUAAGUCAUAAAAUAUGUAAAAGGAACAUAUGUAUGUAUAUAUAUAAUGAAAUUUGGAAUUAAAAGAUAAUAAUAAUAAUAAUAAUAAUAAUAAUAAUAAUAAUAAUAAUAAUAAUAAUAAUAAUAAUAAUAAUUAAUUUAGUAAUGGAAUAAUUAAAAUAACAAACAGAGGACUAAAAUGAAUCUAGACAAAAUUUUAGGGUCUAAAUCAUAAAAUGAAAAAGGACACGAAAAGGACUAAAUCAUGACGCGCACAACAGGAGGAGGAUCCAAAAGGAAAUAAACCAAGUACCCAAAACGCAGCGCUGCAAUGGACUAAAAUGAAACAAAAAUAAAAUUGUGCGGCUAAAUUAAAAUAAAAGAAAAGAAAGAAAAAAGAGCCAAAUUGCAACGCGUAGCAAAAAGCGGAGGGACUGCGCGCGCAAAUAUCCCCUCUUUAAGAAAACACGCGGAUCAUCCCCCACGGUCGGGUCACCACGCGGGUCAGGGCCAAAACGGCGUCGUUUUGGCUCCUGAACCCUAGUUGCAAAACGGCGCCAUUUUUAAAAAUUUAUUUAAACUAAUUUUUCAACAAACAUUCAUUUAGCAGUAGGAAAUAAAAAAAAAAAUACUUUUCACUCUGUUUCUAAAAAAGAUGAUAUCCCUCCCCCUUUAGAAUCCGGCUAUGACGCCAGUGAGCUUGCGCGGUGGCUCUGCCAUAGUCCCGUCGCGGCUUCGCCGUGCCAGAAAGUAGGAAAAACAAAAUCAAAUCUCCCCUCCUUAACCCGUUUCCCCUUUUGGCGUGGCCUAAACGAAACCCUAAAGGGUUUCUACAGCCUUGGCACAUGGAGGGAGCCACCGACGGUGGCGCGCCACAAAUAGAAAGGUACGUCCUCUCCUCUCGUUUUUCUUAGAUUUCAAAAAAAGUUCAAAAUUAAAAAAAUGAAAGAGUAAAAAUACAGAGAAAUAAGGGAAAAUCACCUUCAAUGUUUUUUUUUCCUUGCUUUUUACUUUCUGAAAAUGUUUGUAAAAGAAAGGGAAAAAACCGAACCCCUUGUGAUGAAUACAUUCGGCUUUUUAUAGCCUAAAUUAAAUGUUAUUUUUUCUAUUUUUCUUGCGUCUCUGUUGUUUGCGUGUCUUGCAGGUGACGACGCAAGUGGGGGACGGCUACGUGACCGCAGCGGUGACUGACGCGCGGCGGUGGCGGCUGGUAGGUCAAGGGUCAGAAGACCCUAGGUGUGGCGUACCUAGGGUUAGGGUUGCUGGCUUUUUUUUUUUUUUCUGAAAAUGGGUUAUUUGGGCUUUAGAUUUACUUGUUGGGCUGUAUUUGGGUUUUGGGUAAACUGAAUUGGGCUCGUUUGCGCUAGGUUUAGGUUGGGGAUUUUUUGGGCCCAGGCAAAAUUUGGGUUGUACACCAAAUAAAACGUAGAGUCGUGUCUCAAUGUUCCUGCCUUGGCUCAUGCAUAAAAUAAGAUAAGACAUGAACCGAGUAUAUCAAAUCAAGUCCGUUCACUACCAAAUUAAUCAAGUAACCCAUUAACUAUCUGUAUGGCUCAGGAUUAGACAAAACUAUCCUUGUAGCAUGCACUAAUUUAUGAUUUUGCUCUAUUGGCGAUCCUGCAGGCUUUACUCCCAAAAGAUCCGCCUCUGAAAUAAUAUCAAGUGUAUAUUUCCUUUGACAAAGAAAUAACCCCAAAGAGCUAAGAGCUACCUUUAUCACCAAAAAAUAUUUCAAAACACCAAGAUCCUUCAUGUGGAAGGAAGAACUGAGAUACCCCUUAAAAGUUUUCAAAGCAGCGGAAUCGUUCUUAGAAAUAAACAAAUCAUCAACAUCAACCAACACAUUAAUGCGAACAGAUCCCUUAGUGUAUGUAAAGAGAGAAUAAUCAGAAUAUGAUCGAAGAAAUCGAUACUCCUUUAGUGCAGUGACAAGAUUCACAAACCAAUACUGAGGAGCCUCUUUCAACCCAUACAAAGACUUGUGCAAACAACAAACCAUUCCAGCCUUAUCAGGAGAAAAACUUGGAGGAAGCUUCAUGUAAACUUCUUCACCAAGAUCACCAUGCAGGAAGGCAUUAUGGACAUCCAUCUGAUGUAACUCCUAACUUUUUGAAGCUGCAAUAGCUAAGAAAGCCCGAACAGUCACCAUUUUUGCCAUAGGUGCGAAAGUUUAAUUAUAGUCAAUACUUUCUACUUGGUGAUUACCAAAGAUAACAAGACGAGCUUUAAUUUUCUCAAUACUUCUACCGGAGUUAUAUUAUCCUCUAGAGCAAAAAUCUCUUUUUGCAUAGCAUCAUACCAUCCUGCAUCCUUCACAUCCUUUUUAAAAGAUUGUGGCUCGAUCCCUACAGUAAUAACUGCAAGAAAUUUUUAGUGUUUCAUAAUAAAUUUGUCUCAAUUAACAUAAUGCGCUAUAAGAAAUGGAGUACCUGAGGAAGGUUCUGAAACAAGUAAGGUGAGAGAUUAACUUUUCUUUAUGACGGUAUUAGUGAAAAAAUCUCGAAGCUUCACAGAGGGAAAGUUCUCCUUAUGCUCUCAUCCCAAUUCAGGCGCACCAUUACCUAAAGCCCCAUGUACCACCAUGACAUUGGAGAAAGAAGAAGAUACCACAGGUGUCAGAGAACUCGCAGGUUACGAACUCACAGGCUGUGAAGUAGCAAGCAUAAGAACUAUUGCAGGUUGUAACACCUCUGAUUCACUAAAAUAUGUAUAAAAAAUUAUGUUUGCAGUCCCAUAUGACAGGACAACAUUGUUAGGCUCAAUGGUUGAACUAUUCCCAUCCAAAUACGAAAAAUAUCCUCAAAAAAUUUCACAUCAUGGGACACAAAGAACUUCUUAGAAUUCAGAUAAUAUAAAUACCAACCCUUUUUUCCAAAACGGUACCUAAUAAAAACAUACUUUCGACUUUGACUAGAAAACUUAUCACCUUUAGAAUGUUGAUUAUGAGCAAAACAUAAGCAAUCAAACACACAAAAAUCAUCAAACAAAGGAGGGCUACCAAACAACAUUUCACAGGGUGUUUUAGUAUGAAGAAGAGGUGAAGGAGUUCGGUUAAUGAGAUGAGAAACAGCCAAUACACAUUGCCCCCAAAAAGAUAUAGGUAGAUUUCCUUGAAAACACAAAACGUGAGCUACAUUUAAAAUAUGCUGAUGUUUCCUAUCCACUUUCCCAUUUUGUUGAGGAAAAAUGUUUGAAAAAUAAUGUCAUUUGCAAGAAAAUAACCUUGGAGACAAUUAAAUUCCGUCCCAUUAUCACUUCUAACACAAUUUAUUUGUUGAGAAAAUUGGCGACCAACCGUAGCAAUUAAUUAUAUGAAAACUUUGAAAACCUCCUUUUUAUUAGCCAAUAGAAAGUUCAUCCCAUCUCUCACCCGCUCCAAUUAGCUCCAUUGAAUGCAGAUCCUAAAUAGCACAUAUCUUAGUAAAAAAAUUGGAAAAAGCAAUUCGUAUCAUCAGUCAACUGGGAAAUCGAAACUAAAUUGCAGUUUAAUUUAGGAAUGUAAAGAACGUGUUUUAAGUGAAUUUUUUUCGUCAAUUUAAUUAUUCCUUCUUAGGUAGCCACCAUUGUUUGGCCAUCUGGGAGUCCUAUGGAACAUGCUACAACAUCUCUCACAUUUUUCAAACAUAGAAGAUCACCCAUAACAUGAUUUGAACAUCCUUUAUCAAUAAUUCAAUUAUUCUUAGACUUACCAUUCAACUAAGUGGAAGUUGAUUGUUUAUUACCGAACACCGCCCGAACAGAUUGCCAUUGCUCAGUGGUAAAACCAGUAAGUGUUGCCUUCCCUGGUGGUGAUGGAGGAGGAAAAGACUUGCCGCCAACCAUUUAGAAUGAUGAAAGAAUAUUUUUUUAAAAAAAACUUGCUAAGAUGCCAUGACAAGAAUAGGGUAAUCUCUCUUGAAUUCUAUUGAUGGACCUCAAGGAUAUAUAUAUAUAUAUCUAUAUAGUAGUAGUUACGUAAGAAUCAAAUUGCUAAAAGAUAAUAUCCCAUAAUAAUAUCUUAUAAUAUCCCAUUAGGAAUCAAAUUACUAAGAGAUAAUAUCCCAUAAUAAUAUCCUAUAAUAUUCUAUUAAGAAUCAAAUUGCUAAAAAACAAUAUCGCAUAAUAAUAUCCUAACAAAAAAUUAUAUUUUAAUAAUAAUAAGUAAAGAAAUGGUAUAAGAUGAGCUAUUCUCAUCUUCUUCCUCAAGUUAAAAACAAAGAAUAAGAAACAUGGGUUCUUUUCCCCAUUGCCGAUUUCAAUUGUUAAGGUAAGGGAGAUUUCUUUCUUCUUCUUCUUCUUCUUUUUCCUUUAAUUCUUUCUGAAAUUCUAGCCUAAGUAAGUUGAUAGUUGACCCAUGCCAUAGAUAGUUAAUUGAUAAAGUCUCGGUUAAGUUUAUAAUGUUAAAAGUCAGAAUUUAGAGAGAAAAAAUGACACCAUUCAAAAUUUAUGGUAUUUAUUGAUAUUUGAGGUCCCUAAAAUAUAAUUAUAAAAUCGGAUUUAGAUUUGAUUUGUUCAAUAUUAAAAGUUUAAAAGAACAUACAUACUUGAAUUUAUUGAAUUUUUGUAAUCUGAUUAAUUUGCUGAAUUCAAUUUCCUACGUAUUCAAUAAUUUGGUAUUCUUCUGAAAAACUCUGUAAGGUUUCAGGAAUUAAUUAUUACAACUCACUAUUGGUUUUAGUGAUUCUGUAAUUUUUUAAGUAAUAUUAUAAUAAUUUUCUAAUUAUUAAUUGAUAGUUUGAAGUAAAAUUGCAAUUUUUCAGUGCUAUUUAUGUUGAUUUUAUGAUUUAUAUUCAAAGUUUGUAGUUGCUUUUAUCAAUAAUAUUUUUUUAAAGUUUAAAUUUGUAUCUUUCUUUUGGAGUGUAACAUAUUUUACUUAUACUUUACUAUUCCACUUAAUACUUGUUAGUAAUUGUAAUGUUUUUUUUAAUUAACGAAUUUAAUUUUUUUUUAAAAUUUUUUGCAAAGUUUUUAGUAACCGUUGUCAACAGUUUUAGUAAAUUAUUGAACUUAUAAAAUUAAUUUUGAAUGACCCAAUUUAACGUUGUAACAUUGUUAACCGAUUUAUAACAUUACGUUGUAAUGUUUUAGUGUUUGAAAAUAGUAGUUGUAACGUUGUAACGUUGGAGCCUGUGGUAUAGGUACAAGUCAGAUUUGUACCGAUACAAGUCCAUAAGUAUCGAGAUACUUUCUCUUAGGGUUUCACAAUUUUGUUAAUUGUCCUAGUCGUAUCGAUGCAAUUAAGUUAGGGUAUUGAUACUUCUUUUCAAAUUGGUAUAAAAUGAGUUUAAAACACUUGAAAUAUUUUGGUUUAGAAACAAAAACAUUUAAAUAAAUUAAAACACAUUUAAAACAUAUUUUUAGACACUUUUACAAGUCUUUGAAAUGCUUUGAAAAUGUUUGAUAAAAUUUUCAAUUAUAUUUUCAUUAAAUGACUUAGGAAAUAUAAAUAAAAAAUUAUCUUAAAUAUUGUUAUAUCAAAAGCAUAGGACAUCAAAACUAACAAUAAUAUAAAAGAAUGAAAAUUUGGAUUAGACCCAAAAGAAAAAAAUAUAAGCUAUACCAUUAAUCACUGAAAUUUGAGUCUAAAACCGGACUUAAAUCUUUCUCAAAAUGAAUUUGAGCUCUUUAAAAAACUUGCCCCAUCACUGAAAUGACCAAAAUUAGGCUUUAAAAAACUUUACUUGGACCAUAAUCAACCAUACCACUGUCAAUCAUCAACUCACCAAACUAAUUUCAAUUUUGAAUUUAAUCAAAAUAAAAUAAAAUUGAUUUAAUCCUAUCUCAAUUUCGUGUUCAAAUUUGCCUCUGCUGCCAGCCAUUCAGAAUGAUCAUUUGUUGCUCUUGUAAUUCCACAAAUGAUUACAAUUGUAGAAAGUAUAGAAGGUAAAGAUACAAGUGUAAUAGUAGGAUUUCAUAGCUAUGAAGUUGAGGACUCCAAUUCUCAAAAUUUAGCUUUUUUAAUUACAUAUAAAACUGAUUUAAUUUUAUUGGCUAUUUAUUAAUUUCAAAGUCUACUAACAAAUUAUUGGAAAAAAGCCUAUUCUUUUUAUAGGAAGGAGGAAAUUAAAAAAAAUUUGAAAUUAAUAAAAUUAAAGAGUAAAAAAAAGGCCUUAGUAACAAAUUAAAAAAAAAUCAAUUAAGCCCUUUUAAAUUUUAAAAAUUAUUAAAAAAAUAUUAAAUUUUUAAAAUUUUUUAAAAAAAUUUGUAGAAUUUUUAAAGUUAAUUAUAUGUAUAUUUUUAAAAAAUAACUAUAUCAACCCGAUAAAAGAGUUUAAUAGAUCGAUACAGUUAUUUUUUAAUAAAAAUUUAAUAGUUUUAAAAAUUUGUAACUUAUAUAUAGUUAAAUCAUGCUUUGGUGUUUUGUAUGAGCUACCAAGCUGAAGUUAAAUAUAUGGGUUUAAACAGGGUUCGAUAUUUUUCCAAUUUUGGAAUUAAAAUCAGUAAAUGUUACUUCUACAUUUAACUCGGAUCACACAUUUAUAAAUUGACAUUUGAAAUCAUAUGUCUUAAUUAUAUAUAAUUGUUGCCUUGAAAAAUACUUGUAGAACAACUAAAACCCAUUUCCACGAGAGCUAUCCACCAUUAUUGACUUGAAAGUUCGAAGUCUUUGCUAGUCUUUAUCAAGCAUUUGGCUACGUUUCUAUAUAAAUGGGUGCAGAGAAAGCAAUGCUAUAAAGAAGUGGCCCUCACUUUGACAAAACAUUUUCCCCUAUUUAAACCCAUAUAUUCAAUUGAUGCCUUGUAAAAUACUUGAGGAACAAAACAUAUAUAUACAACAACAAGCGGAAAAGGAAAUAGAAAAAACAAAAAAUCCCAAAAUCAAUCCACCACUAUUGACUUGAAAGUUCAAAGUCUUUGCUAGUCCAGGAAAAAAGCAAAAUAAAGAAGUGGCACUCACUUUACUUGACAAAACCUUUUCCUCCUUUACCUUGUUUUCAAAAGAAAAAAAAGAAAGUAAAAGUUUAAGAAUAGUCACUUAAUUAUUCAGUUUGUUCUAUUUUGAUCAUUUAAUUAUUAUUUUUUUCGUUUUGGUCACUCAAUUUUCCGAAAUUAAAUAUUUUAAUCACUCUUCAUUUGGUUGCCUAACGGAAGUCUAGUGUGAGUUUUGUUUUAUUUACUUCAUAACAAAUUUAGCCCUCCAAUAUUUACGCAUUCUAUCAGUUUAAUCCUAAAAUUAAAAAAAUCAACAAAUUUAGCCCUCAAUAUUUAGAAAAUUUUUUUAGUUUAUUCCUAAUUAUAAAAAUUAUAAAAAAUAAUUUUUAUUUAAAAUUAUAAUAGAACGUGGUCAAUGCAAUAUGCUACAUUGAAAGAAUUGAUAACACUAUAUAUAAUCUAAUAUAUGUCAUGCAUUACAAAAUUUAGUGGCUUUGGGAACGAUUAAAAUCGUCUCUAAAAAUUUAAGAAUCGUCCCUAAUAAAUUUUAAUAAAUUUAAAGACCACUUAAUUCGUCUCCAACAAUUGUCCUUGAAAAGUUUUGGAGACGAAGAAAAAUGGUCCUCAUAAUUAAGGAUGAAUUUCAUCCCUAAAGCUUUAGGGGAAAAUACCCUCCCAAAUUCAUAAAAACACACCAAAAUAAUUAGGAGGUUUGGGGAAGAAUAUCGUCCCAAAACUUCAUAAAAAAACCAAAACAUUUAAGGAUAUUUUUGUCUUUAAAUGAUUAUUCAUUAUAACACAUUUUAUCUCAAAAUUUUAAUGUUUUAUUAUAAAUUUCAAUUUCAUACUACGAAUUCUUAAGAAAAAACACAUUUAAAAUGAUAGAUAAAAUAGCUAAUAAACUAAAUAAAAUCGACAAUAUUAAAAGUAAAGGGUUGCUGAGUUUGAAGCCUAUUUUAACCUUACAAAACUUUUUUUUUUUUUUUUGCUGAGUUUGAUACUUAAGUAGCAAAUUGUUAUACCCAUUCAAAAAAAAAAAAGAAAAAAACAUACACACACACACUAACAUGACAUGUUAGAUAAGUGUCAUGUUGCAUGUGAAAUAAAUUUUAAAAAGCAAAUAUAUAUAUAUAUAUAUAUUAAAAUAUAUAAAAGUUUCAAAAAAUAUAAUAAGAUAUUUUUUUCAAAUUUAUUUCUAAACUUGCAUUCAAGUUUUUUAGGCAUCAAACAUAUGAAACCUGGCAUAGAGUUAAAUUAAAAGAAUGUCCAAAAACUUAUUGAAGUAUUCUAUUAGUUCGAACCAUCAUUUAAUCAUUCUAAAAAACUCAUUUCAACAACUCAAAUUUAUUGGAAAACCCUAAAAAGUUAUUUUUCCAAGCUGUUUGCUUUUUCUCUUGUGUUUUGUUUAGUGAUGGUACUAGUUGUCGAGUUGGUUACGGGCCCAUAUCUUUUCCCUCCUACCAACCUUCUCAUUCUUUUUACUCUUCAUUCAUUCCAUGCGUCUUCUCUCUUUUCAAUUUGCAGAUCUGUUUUGUGAGUAUCUUUGUUGUCUUUACAAGUUGCGAUGAACAAAUGAUAGUGUCUUUCGUCACUGAACCUCCAUGGCCACCAAUAGUUUCUUUUAAAAAGUGAGUUGACCGUAGGUACUCGAAUGGUAGCUCUUCGUUGACUUCUUAAUCUGUUUAUGUUUUUUAGAGUAUUUCAGAAAAAAAGAAAAACAAAUGAUUUCAUGAGUUGCUUUGAAUCCGUAUUGUCCUAAGUUUUAUUUUUAUUUUUUUCCAUUGUUUAAUAAGUCUUUAGUUUUGAAAGUUUUUGUCUUGUCUUGUACAAAUUUUUUAGUCUUGCUUAUACAUGUAGUCUUGCUUUUGCUCGAUUCUUUUAUCAAUUUUGUUUGCUACUUUGGACCAUCUCGAGUUGAUUUCAUUUAUGUGGUAGUUGCUUGCAAUCACUCUAGAUAUGUUGUGCUUGUGGCAAUGUUGAUUGCCAACAUGCCAUAAUGUUCUAUUGAUACUAAGGCUAAAGCCUUUGACUGUUGUUGGAGCUUGUCCUUCACAACCGAUAUUGUUUGCUAUUUUUUCUUUUUCCUAAUUACAUGAUCCCUAGAAUGAAUUAAUGAAUUUUUAAUUUAAAAAAUCUUAAUUUUUAUUUCAAAUUUUUUCCAAAAUUCUUUUUUUAGGGAUAAAACACAAGCAACAUAAUGUGAAACUAAAUUAAGAGAACCCAUACCUUAUUUUAAAAAUAAAAAAAAGAAAAGAAAAAAAAGGUUAAUCAAUUUGUUUUUGUUUUUAAAGAAAUUGAAAGGAAAAAAUCAAAAUUUGAAAAAAUUGAAGGAACGCUAACCAAGAGAUGGGAAACAUGAAAUUUUUGCUUGCAUUGAUUUUGAGUAACAAGAAGCUCAAAGGCCCAAUCCCUUCAUCACUAACUGCUUUAUGCAAAUUUGAGCUACUUGUGCUUGAUUCAAAUCCUUUUCAAGGUCCAAUUCCUUAUGAAAUUGGAAACUUGAGCUCAAAGGUUUGAUCCCUUCAUCACUAUCUAAUUCAUCCAAGUUGAGAUUUUUGUGCCUUGAUUCAAAUCUCCUGAAAGGUCUCUUACCACAAGAAAUGGGAACUUCAAAGCAUUAAGUUUUCUUAACCUCUCCAAUAGCAAACUGAUUGACCCUAUUCCGUCAAGCAUUUGGGACUGCUCAAGUUUACAAGAAAUAUAUUUGCAUCUUUUGAUCGAACCUGCUUAAAAGAGAGCUUGUUUGAGAUACGAUGAGUAAGCGAGGAUCGAAGAUUUUGAUCAAUUAUUUUUCUUGGAACAUUGAAGACAAUGUUCAAUUUAAGUGUGGGGUGAAUAGGUACCAUGAUAUAUUUUUAAUUUUAGAAUGUUUUCUUUUUAUUUUUCAAAAAAAUAUUUGCAUGAAAUUUCGGCUUCAUUAACUAGUUGGAAUAUAUUUCCCAUAUGCCUUUAAAGAUCAUGAACUUAUUUGGGGAACAUUUUUUAAAUGAAUAUAGUAUGCAGCUUCGAUUUUUGUCUUUAAAAUGUUUGUUAGAAUAAUAGAUUCUUUUAUUGUUUUUAAAGUUUUUUUUUUGAAUUUUGAUUAUAUUGCUUUGCAUUAUUAGUUUUAGAAUUUUCAAAAGAAUGGUUUUUAUUUGAGUGGGAAUUUUUAAGAGAUGACAAAAAAAAAUUUGGAUCAAUUGAGCUUUUAAACUUAAGUUGGAGAUUUUAAGUUAGGUUUGUUGAAUAUCUUAUGUAGUAUGUAUAUGAUUACUCUGUUAGCUAUUUUAUGAAUAUUUCAAUGAACAAGCUAGAUGGCUAACUAAGUAAUCGGGUUAGAUGUUUGGUAAUUAUCUGUCUUCUCAUUAAAAGGGUUGAUGUUUUUUAGUACAUUUUACUAAUAUAGCCAUGAGUAAAACCAAAAGUUGUUUAAAUGUGAUUAAUCGAGUAAUUAGGAGUAGGAGCUUGAGUUAUUAUCUACACUUUUGUUCAAAUAUAGCCAUCUAAAUUCAAUCAUAAAUAAAGAAAAAUAAUAUAUAUUAGUGGUAUUAUGCUCAAUGAAGGGGAGGAAAAAUAUUCAAUUUGUAUGCUUAGUUUAAAGAAGUUAAGAGACUUUAGAAGCAUGCUUGAACUUGGUUAUUUCUUUCAAUAUUUUUUAACCUUACUACUCUUCACACAUUAUUAGGAGGAAUAAUUGCACAAUCCAGAUGAAAGUCUUUUUUUUUUCUAAUUCUUACUAAUUUCAUAAAUUAUUGAUACUAUUUUUUAUUUAACAUAUAAGAUUUUGACUCUCUUUUUGGGAUAAGUAUUUAUAUUUCAUUCAAGAAGAAGAAAACCUGCUACAAAGAACGAAGAAUAACAAUAUUUUGUACAACAAACCAAAGAAUCAUAGGAUAACAAAAAAAUCAUUUCAGCAAAUUCAAAUUCAAACAAAGUUGUCUACUAUAAGGAUCUAAAGAAUUAAUAAGCUUUUUAGUAAGAUGACAUCGGACCAUUUCUUGAAUUGUUGCUAACAAAUGAUCCACAGAAGAUUCAAGCCUAUCAAAUAAUCUACCAUUUCUUUCACACCAGAUAGAAUGCACAUAAGCAUUCUAAGCCAACUUAAAAAGGUAUGACGUAAGAGACUUACCCUUAAGAUGAGUUACUGCCUAACACAGUUCUUGAUCCCACGUGCCAGCCAUUCUCCCAAUGCCACAAAAUUCCAAAAUUCACUGUCAAAGUCUACAAGAAUAUUCACAUUCAAAGAAGAUAUGAUUCCAUGAUUCAAUGCCAGAGGAACACAACAAGCAAUUCUUUUUUAGAAGUAACCCUAUAAAAGAAUAGUCUAUCCCGUGUUGGCAAUCUAUUCAGAAUAGCCAUCCAAUAAAUGAUUAAAUGUUUUGGCACAUGGAGAGGGAACCACAACAAUUUGUGCCAUGGGACCAUAACUGCUUUCUUCCUUAUAUCCUCCCAAAGUAUCCUAGAAGACAGAAUAGUCCCUAUGGGGAGACUCCUAAUAAAGGUUGUUGUAAGCUCCUUAAGACUUAAUUAAAUUUGGCUUAAGUAACCAAAAAGAAAUUCCUCUUAAAACAUAAUUAUGAACUCAAGCAACCGAAAGUGAUCCUUUUGAAGCAAGCAAGGAACGAACUAGCUCCAAUAUCUAAGCUUGAUUCCAUUCCUCGAGUCAUUUCAAUCCCAGACCACCUUCAGACCUAGGUAAGCAGAUAUCUCUCCAACUAACCCUUGCACUAGUAGCUUUGAUGUUGCUACCUUUCCAGAAAAACCUAGCACACAAUUAGUUAACCUGCUUCAACACAAACUGGGGCAAUAGAAAUUGCCUACUCCAAAAUGCCUGAAUAUCAAAUAAAAUAGCCUUGAUCAACUAAAGUCUGCUUCCAUGUAACGCCCCAAAAUUUUUAUAUUUGUUUCUAUGUAUUUAUGACAUAAAUAUUGGUUUGCUUCAGUGGUUAAGUGUUUUGAGAGUGUCUGAGAGGUCUUGAGUUCAAGCCUUAGCUUGGGCAAAUUUUUUGUUUUUAAAUGAAUAAACCCUUAUCUCUAAUCAGUAGGCUUAUAAAUAAAUGUUGGUGAAAUAUGAUAGAAUGGGCCUGUUGGUUUGGUGGCUAGGGGAGUGCUAAUAUGUUAGAGGUCUAGAGUUCGAGUCAUUGCAUGGGCAAAGGGGAUAAUUUUUGCUCUUUUUUUGGCAAGAGGUUGUUUUGACUGGGUUUCUGAGUAGUAGUGGCGUGGUAGGGGAGUGUUGGAGUGAUUUUAGGAGAAAAAUAUAGGAUUAUGGAGUUAUCCCGAUUUAGUAAACUAAUGAUUUCGACUUUCUCCUCUCUUUCUCCCAAUUUUAAUCAUUUUGGCAUUGUUUCUUUCUUCUUUUCCAAAAUUUUGCUGCCGCUCUCCCUUUCUGACGUUUUUUCUUCUUCCUUGCUGCCUUUUCUUCCUUUUACUUGUGCUGCCAAAUUGUCCCCUUAAAUUUUCUCAUUUCUGUGUAUCCUUUCCGUUCACUCAAUCAGGGAGUUGCGUUCCUUCUUUACUGAUUACAUGUUGGUAGGUAAGAGGUAAGUUAUGUGUGAGUUGGGGUAGUCAUUGCUUGGUGCAAAACCGUUUCUUUUCAUUUUCUUUUCUUUCCAUUAGUGAUUACGUGCUGUUGACAACAUCAAAUUGGGUGGAUCAAGACUUUUCUCAUACUACUUCGUGAGCAAACCGAGUUUGAAGCGUUAGGGGUAGGUCCCAAUUGCUCAUUAAUUAAGUAAGUUGUUGGGUUGGUUUUAAUUCGACCAUUAAAGUGAUUAAUCAAGUGUAUGUUGAUCAAUUUUAGGUUAUCUCUGCUGAGUUUUUUCUUUCUUAUUUACUUCUUACUCAGUUUUCUUUUCUUUUCUUUCCUCUACUACUGCUGAAAUUCCCUUGUUUCCCCUAAACCAUUCUUUCCUCUUGAUUUCGUAGCAUUAAGUAGCACUUGUGCAAAUUAAGUAAGUUGUUGGGUAUCAUUUCAAGAUAUUAUUUUGUGUUCAAUAGUCUAAUUUCGGGGUGUUGGCAGUAGCAUUUCGUAAGGAUUAAGGCUCUCCUCAUAAGUUUCGAAAACCUACCAAUUUAAAGUUUUACGGUAAGUGUUCUCGAUUUAUGGGUAAGUAUUUUGGUUUCGGGAUUUUGAUUAAUCGCGAGGUAAGACUGAUUAUGGUGUUAUUUGUUCAAUUAUAGGCUUUGGAGUGCUUGGGGACUGUUUUAACAUCAAACAAAACUAGGUGUGUACUCAAAACAUAAAAAUAAGAGAUUCAGCGAAAAGCCAAAAUUGCUUGCUAUUUGGACAGCAGUAGUAGGCUAAAUUUGAAAAAUCUCCAUCAAUUGUAGAAAUCAAAUUAGAGGAUGAACAAAAUAUAGGAUUAAAGCUUAUUGAGUCUUAUUUCUCAUAUAAGAAAUGGUGUAAGUAAUUGAUUUGUAAAUCGUGAGUUAUAAAAGACUAAGUGACACAAGGUUAGAAUGAAUUCAAGUUCCCCUAUUCUGACUUUGGAAAAUUAUCAAAAAUUGGAGAAAAAUAAUUAGAGGUUAAGAUUUACAUGUUUAAACUAUUAAUGAGUAUAUUUUCAAUAGAAAUAAAUGGAAAUGUCAUCCAAAUUUUGUACUAAGAGAUAACUAAUUUUUAGCAAAGAAGAGUCGAAGCUGUCAAACAGCAGAACAGGGGUAAGUUAAAGAUUUUACUGUACUUAUUGGCUUAACCAAAAGGUCUGGAAAUUUUAUGGUAGAAAGGUACUUGAGCCUAGUUUUAAAGACAUCAAGCGGAUCUUAAUUCGAAAUUCUGUAGCUCAAGAUAUAAAUAAUUUAGUAACAGUGACUCAAGUAGACAACUUUGAAGAAUCAUAUAAGUAAAUAGUGAAGACACAUAUGAAUAAUUAUCUAGCACGGGUUACGUUAAAAUGGAUCACGAGGCCAAGGCCAAUCCAUACAGGCAUGUGGGCCCAUAUAGGCAAACAUUAUGGGUUUGUAGGCCUAAGUUUACUAUUUUAUUGCUAAGAAUGUACGGGUCGCCCGAGUCGACUGUGGACCUACUGUAGGGUCGGUAAGCUUACCUAAACCCCUAAUUAACUAAAAUGACUGUAUGACUGAUAUGAUUAAGCCUGAUGAUGUCCCACUGAUUUGAUACUUUAUGCCUUGUUUACAUGCAUGAUAUUAUGUUAUAGCAUGUCAUAUCUAUAUAUUGUAUUGCAUUGGGUUGGGGGAUUAUAAUGUUCGAAGGAAGUGUACUGAAAGGCCUCGAGCCUAAUUUACUGGCACCUCAGCUGCAAACUACUUUCUAGUGACGCAUUCGGUACUACUUGAAGUGUAGGGAUAGGUGGGUUGAUUAUAUCCACACAUGGAGUGUAGGAUUGGACGAAGAUGGUGUGUAAAGGCUGGAUUGGUAGGAUUUUUGUAUAUCUAUUACUGCUACUAAUACUGUGAUGGGCUAAAGCUCUACUGCAUGACUGUUUUUGUAUUGAAAUGGGCUAAGGCCGAAACUGGACUGAUACUGAUACUGAAAAGGGCUUAAGCCCAGACUGUGAUUAUCUAUUUCUGUUUCUGUUUAUUGUCUGUUCAUUUGUAUGGGGAUUACACACUGAGUUUACGUAAACUUACCCCUUCUAUUUAAUCUGUACAGGCAAUCCCCAGAUAUAGGUGGAUCAGCGCGGUGGAGGACUCAGUGGUGGCCACACGACUUCUUUUACACUGGUUAUCACCUAUUUAUGAUUUUAGUUUUAUUUGGGAGUAUUUUGCUAUACUUAUGGCCUUUACGAAUUUUGGUUUAAAUUUGGAUUUUAUAUGGUUUUAUGAUUUAAAUCUGCCAGUGUUAGGUAAAACUCGGGUUUUCAAAUGAAAUUAAUGUUUUAUCAAAAAUAUCACGAAUACGCAAACUGUUUAAAAGCUUCUGUAAUAAUAAAAAAUAUUUUGAAAUUGAAUAACAAUUUGUAAAUGAAUAAUGUUUUGGAAACAAACGACACGAUUUGAAAUUAACAUAAGAUAAUGAAAAAAUGGUUAAAUAGAAAAGGGAAUUUAGCAACGACAUAUUUUUCGAAAAUCACUACCAUGUGACAUCAUCAGAUUUGACCAUAAUGUCUAGGCCGGGUUUGGGGUGUUAUAGCAAGCGAACCAAGUGUGUAAAUACAACUCUAAAAACGAAAAAUGGUGAAAAGCCAAAAAAUGUGCUUGACAACACCAGACUGGCGUGCAGCAGCCCGUGUGGUAGGCCGUGUGAUCGAACAUGGGCGUGUAAUCGACGAGGAUGGCCAUGUGCGAUUCAUGGGCCGGGACGAACUGGGCCGUGUGGGCCACACGAGCAUGUAGGCCCCACACAGAUGAACCACACAUACGUGUGGGAAUAUUGGCCAGGUCGUGUGGGCCACACGAGCGUGUGGGCCUACAUGGGCAUGUAGGCCCAUUUUCACUAUUUGGCUGCUAAGGUUGCACGGGUCACCCAAGUCGACUGUGAACCUACUGUAGGGUUGGUAAGUUUAUCUAAACCCCUAAUUGACUGAAAUGAUUGAAAGAAUGUUAUAUGCCUAUAUGAGAUAGAUAUGUAUGUCUGUAUGUUGAGCAUGCUAUAUGCACUAUACUGAUUAUACAUGAUACCAUGACAUGUCUGUAUGAUGCAUUGCAUUGGGUUGGGGAUUGAUAUUGAUUAGAGGAAGUGUACUGAAAGGCUUCAAGCCUAACUUACUGGCAGCUCAGCUGCAACUACUGUCUAGUGUCGCAUUCGAUACUAUUUGAAGUGUAGGGAUAGAUGGGUUGAUUAUAUCCCCACAUGGAAUGCAGGGUUGGACGGAGAUGGAGUGUAGAGGCUGGUUGGGUAGGAUUUUAUAACUGCAUAACUGUUACUGUUACUGUACUGUGAUAGGGUAAGGCUUUAAUUCUUAUUGAUACUGAAAAAGGCUUAGGCCUAAACUGAGAUUUUCUGUUAUUGUCAGUUUGAUUGCAUGGGGAUUACACACUGAGUUUACGUGAGCUCACCCCUUCUGCUUAAUCUGUACAAGUAAUCCCCAAGCAUAGGUGGAUCGGUGCGGCGAAGGACUUAAUGGUGGUCACACGUCUCCUUUUUACUAUUUGACACUUAUUUAUGAUUUUUAAAUUUUAUUUUGGGGUAUUUUUCUGUAAUAAUGACCUCUAUGGAUUUUUUCCUAAAAAUUGGAUUUGGUAUUGUUUUCUGUUUAUAUCUGCUAGAAGUAGGUAAAACUCAGGUUUCUAAAAGAGAUAAAUGUUUUAUGAAAAUGCCAUGCACACGCAAACUAUUUUUAAAAGCUUUCGCAAAGCAUAGCAUUUUGGAAAUGAAUCACGAUUUGAGAAUUAAUAGAAGAUAAUGAUAAGUUCUAAAUGGAAACGGUUUUAGAAAUGAUACAAUUUUGAAACGCACUUCCAUGUGACAUCACCAAAUUCAACCAUAACAUCCAAACCGGGUUUGGGGUGUUACAUUGUAAAACUUAAAAGGCAAUCGGACCAUUUAUGAAGUUUAUCAGCAUUUUUCUAAACAAUGGGCUUGUAGUCAGCAAUGGAGAGCUUCUUAAAGACCAAAGGGAUUCCCAAAUAUUGAACAGGAAUAUGCCCAGCCUUAAACCCAAUAACUUCUAACAUAUAGGAAAAUUCAGAAGCUAGAACCCCUGCUAUGAAGACUUCACUCUUGGAAGAUGAUGUGACUCACGUGACUAACUAAAAAUACAACAAAGGCAAAUGCACCUAUCAAUAAAUAGUAUAGCUAUGGUGAGUAGAGGUAUCGUAUCUAUGAGGACUAAAAGCAUUAGUAAUUACCAUUUUUCUAUUAUUUAGCCGACAAUUUGGAGUGUUAGGUUUUAAACAAAAAUUACUAGACUAAUCUAACUAAGAACUCAACAGAGAAUGAAUUCAAAAAAUAAUUGAAAGAUAACCAAUGAAAGAGACAAUAACCAGGAAAGAAUCCACCUACACUUCAUCUAUUAUUAUGAAUCUGAUUUAAACGAUUUAUUCACUUCGUGUCUUUAUCCGUAGAAAUCCCUAUAUUAUACUAAUAUAUCUUUCGAGAGUAAGAGUAACUGAUUUUAGGUUGAUUAAUUGAAAUCUCUUUCUAAUCAAAACCCCUAUCGUCACACUAACUCGAUCUAUGAAUUUCCUUAUUAGAUUUGACUCUAAUCUAGCAGAUUUAUGUCAUUUAAUUUUUAGCAUUGCAUGCAACUCUACUCAAUUAUGUUAGAUCUACUCCUAAAUAGGGACAUUUCCUCUACUGAAUUAAGCACAUUAAACAUGAAUUAAUAUCCCAAAAAUAUUAAAACAAGAAAUAAGCACACAAUUUAGGACAGGAAUCAAGUAUUUAUCACGUAAAAAAGAAAUUAAAUAAUAGAAUUCAUCAUAGGUUUCAUCUUCCCUAAGUAUCAAGGGAACUAGUUCAUAAUCUGGAAUAAAAACAUCUCAAAGUCAGAAAAACCACAAGAAACAAAGAAGCUCAUAAAAACUGUAGAAGAAAUUAAAAGGAGGCCUUCGAACUUGAUGGAAAUCUGCUAUAGAGUUGGCUCCAAUGGUGUUCUUCAGUUGUUUCUUCAAUAUUCUCUUAUGGGUCUCAUAUCUCUUCUUCUAUUUGGUAUUUAUAGACUUUAGAAUGCUAAAAAAGUAUAAAAUUGUGUUUUUCUAUGUUUUUGGGAAGCAAGUUGCGAAAUUGACAUGGCUUAGCGCAUGGCCGUGUGUCUAACUCAUGUGGCUCAGAUGACCGUGUCUCUGACCCAUAUGGGAUGGCCCAGCCCGUAUGGCUCCUAAAAUUUACUUUUUUUUUAUCAAUUUUUGCUCGUUUCUCACUCUUUUUGCUCCCAAAUGCUAACCUAAGUAUAGAAACAUGAAUUCAAAGGAUUAGGAGUAUCAAAUUCACCAAUUUGCAUAACUCAUCAUCCAAAAACGUAUAAAGAACGAGAUUAAGAAAAUGUUAAUUUUAUCAGUUAUCAAAUAUUCCUACACUUAAGCGUUUGUUUGUCCUCAAGCAAAAUCCUCAAUUCACAUUAAAGUUAAUCUUUCUCAACUUUUAAUUCUCAUUAAUAAUGUCUCAAAAUACACAAAUAAUCAUGCAUUGGCAAUUCAACUAAAAGGGCACUAAAGAUUCAAACAAUCAAAACCAAAAAAUUUUUAAUGUACGAAAACAUAGGUGUCUCCUCCUUAUUUAAGUAAUUACCCUUAAUUCGAAAUCAACAAGACUUGACAUCCUCACUAAAGAUUCACUCAAAUCACUCAAAGUGUUAAGGUUCAAGAUAUAUGCAACCAAUCAAUCGAACAAGAAAUGUCAUUACCAUAAGCUUGCUUGAAAAUCAAAUCUCCACCACUAUAAAAUGAUAUGACACACUAAUUAAAAGGUCUUAAAGAGGUUGUAAUGGGGCUUAGGUUAAGGGUGUGGAAACAAACUAUAAAAGUUGGUUAUAAUCGAGAUCGAGUUGAUAAAUAACCAAACUAGAAAAAAUAAACAAAUGCUGAGUUAAAAGAAAGUGAAUCAAUCAAAACUAUUCAAGAAUAAAAAAAAUAAGUUGCUUCUUAAAAUAUGAAUUUAACUGUUGAAGCUCAAUCAACAAAUAACUAAUUAAUAAUAAAUAUUUUUUUCAACUUUUUUUCCAUCUAUAACAAUAAGAAAUAAUUCAGCAAAUCAAACAAAAGAGCACAGUUGAGAAAUUAACCAUAUCAAAUCUCAUAAAAAAGGGAGAUAAUAAAAUGAGAAAGAGUCACAAUGAAAAAAAAAGGGUUAUGGAUUAAAAUUCAUAGGUUAAUCAAGAAAAGGUGUGUUAGACUGAACGAGGUUCACUAAGGGUUAAUUAAUUUAAAAGGUAGGCUUUUAUUGGAUAAGUGGGUUAAAAUUUAAGUGUUUUUAUCAUCUUAGUAUAUCAAAUCAAAGGUAUGGUCUCAACAUGCAUAAUCGAACAAAGUUUUAGAAUAACAAAUCAAGUUGACAUACUUAUAACCAAUAAUAGAAUGAACAUGAAAAAUGUAUGCUCUAUAGACUCCAAAUCUCGCAAAAAAUUAUAGUUUUGAUGUCAAACUUGUAAAUUUCAAACUUCAAGAUAAUACCUCGAUUCAGUGAAACAAUCCUAAAACAAAUUUAUUUCUGAAAAAUAACUUAUCAUGCUUGAUUAUCUCAUGUCUUAAAUUGUAAAUCAGCCAAUGCACUGAUAUCUACAAAUUAAUCUAAAACACAUCAAUAAAAAUCCCAAAUCGACAAAAAAUCAUUCUAAUGGAAGUAUGAGAAAAUUACUUAAACACAAGAAAUAAUUCAAGGAUUUUCUAAUAAUUAUAUGAAUAAUAUGCCCACACUUAAGAUGUACAUUAACCACAGUAUAAGCAGAAUAUCAUAACAGAGGGAGAAAGCUGAAACUGCCCUGAAUAUGGAUGAAUUUGUCAGAAUGGUGAAAACUGGAAUUGUAGGCAAAGCUAAAUGUAGUGCAUAGUCUCGAGCAAACUAAUAAGAAAAUAAACACAAAUAAUAAAGAAGAUUAAGAGGUUACAAACUCAAUUAUAAACAACCAUAAAAAUAAAAACAUACUUCAAAAGAUAAUAAACAAAAUAAGUUUAAAAAAUAAAAAUUAAACAACUAAAAUAAAAAAUAAAAAUAAAAUCAGUGAUCUUUAUUGUAGGAGGCAUUGGGAUUGUGAGGCGCUGGUGCUGAAGAAGAUAAGUGGAAGUGCUGACAGAUCUGUUGCAAAGUCACAACAAUACUGUUGAACCACUCAAAAUAGUGUCGCUCAAUGAGUAAACCGCUUGAAGAGGUCCGUUAAGGUGGCAGGAGAAGUAGCAAAAUGAUGACUCUGAGACGGAUGAUGAGGUGGAUCCUCGAGGUGGAAGGGGACAUCACCAGUGAAGUCCUCAUGCUCAUCCUGAGGGCCAGAAUAAGUUAAACAGCAUCAAGGAGGAUCCACGUCAUGCAGUCGCUAAAUCAUUCUCAUGUGACUCAUACAUGAUAACCCCUGCGGGGUCAUCUGUCCAAGAAGUGUGAAAGAUAAGGACUACUCUGGAGUAUCGAGGAGGCUAAAGUGUCGUGCGAGGUGAGUCAUGAAAGGGCCUAAGCAAAUAUAACCAUUCUUGCUACACUAUGUCUUAUGGUGGCAAGCUAAGGCGAUGAAAUAGGCAAGAUCAAAUGUGUGCCCCACGACCAUGCUCCACAAUAAUUACGUGUCAAAUGUACUGAUGACUCCACUGCUCUCUCUACGACUAAUCUAAGUGUGAGCCAAGAUGGCAUGGAUAAAACGCAAGGUCUGAGAUAGGGAAGUCGCCUUUGACCGACUCAGAUCAUAGGGCAUCGUACUCACGAUAAGGUUUGCCGAGGGCAAAAAAGAUGAGUAGUGGAUGUGCUGGUAUAAACUGAAAAAGCCUUCGGCACUUAUGAACUUUGUAAUAUAAAGUUCUAACGUAGCUCCGAACUUAAUGACACUCAUGCGACAUGUCGUGCCACAGAGUUAGAAAGUAAUGGUGCCCAACUCAUCAUGGGUCAAUAUCACGUGUUGUAAGAGGAAUGUCAAACAAAACUUUAGAGUAAGCUCUGAGUAGGUGGGCUCGAUGAAGGAGAAGAAUUAGUCCCAAGGAGUUGUAGCAAUCAGUGCGCGGACUCGAUCAGCUAACUGGACCUACUCUAAAGCCACCCAAUCAAUACAUUGGCCUGAUCUGAAUCAUCUCUGUCAAAGAUGCUGAUAGAGGUCCUCUUGAAGACCCUGUGGAAAUAUUAAAAAUGGAUGGUGGGCAUCAGCAGAAGGGCCCGACGAUGAGGUCGUGCCUAGAAUCUUCCACUUUUUUGAAGAGGGGAUGACAACCUUAGAUUUUUCACGUGUGUUCAUCAUGGUGUGCCUGAAAAAUACAAUAGCCCAAUAUUAAAAAAUAAUAAAAUAAGGAUCACCAAUUAUGUAAGCAAAAAAAUAGACAGAUUGACAGACAAUUUAAAGUGCAUCGACAACGGAUAAUCACAGUGCGAAAACCAAAAUAAAAUACCAAUAUAUCAAAAUACUAUUCCUAAGAUAACAAGGGGAACAAAAACUAAGCAGAAGAAAACAAUAAUAAGACGAACAAAUUAUACUAAGCACAAUAACAAUAUUAAACCUAAAAAGGAUAAUAACAAUAAUAAUAAACUAGCAAUAAUAGUAAUAAUCAAAAUGGUAAAACAAAUAAUAAGAAAAAGAAUAAUAAGAUAAUGAUAAUCAAACUAAGAAAAUAAGAAAAAUAAGAAAAAUAAAUAAUAAAUAAUAAAAAUAACUAGAAAGAAAAAAUAAAUAAUUAAAUAAAAGGAGGGAAGGGCAAACAGUGAGUGGUGGUGGCGCACGUGGCGAUGGUCGACGGGGGAGGAACCAUGGCAAUGGUAGAAGGGCAUUUAGGGUCCAAAGAUAGUGGGGUGUCACACAGGGUGUGGUUGUGAUGAGGGAGAGGAGAGGGAUGCAGGAUUAGGGGCUGGUUGCGGAGGGAGGUGCAUCUGAAGAAGAAGGGGAAGGAGGGGGAAAGAAAGGGCUGUGCAGUGGUUAGAAGCUUGAGGCUGUGAGGGUGAAGAGAGAUAAAUCAUGAGGGAGCAGGGUAAUCGAGAACAGUGGUGUAGAAAUAGAGGAAUAAAGAAAGGAAGGGGAGGGGAAGAGGGGCUGUUGGCUUAGCAACGACGGAGUGGGGGCGACGGAGGUGGCAGGACUAGUAAAGAAGAUGGGAACGGAAGUAGGGGUGAAAAAUAAAGAAGAACACAAACUAAAUUUUUUUUAGGUUUUUUGGGUUAAAAAGGGGGCACAGUCGUGUAAAGGCUCGUGUGCACCUCCCUUAAGUCAUGUGUGAUUUAAAAAUUCAAGCUCAAUCUUUUGACGGCCUAAGACACGCCCGUAUGUCUAGCCCUUGUGGGACACACGGCCGUGUGCCAGGCCGUGCAUGCUAUUACUUCACUUCUCUCACACUCGUGUGAGAGGCCAUAUGAGACACACAGUCUCUCACACAGCUACGUGAUUGGCCGUGUGACCCUACACGACCAUGUCUUUACACCAUCUAACUCAUUGACUUGAAGUUAAAAUUAAAAAAUUAGCUCCAAUACUCACACGGCCUAGGAUACGCCCGUGUGUCCAGGCCGUGUAUGCUACAAAGCCGUGUCGCUAGGCCAUGUAGACUACCUGAAGCCGUGUAACCUUCAAAAUUUAGAAAAAUUAAGUCUUAGGAUUCACACAGCUAAGGACACACCUGUGUGUUCAGGCCGUGUGACUUAUACGACCAUGUCUGUACAGAGUGUAACUCAUUGUAGAACACUCUCUUAUGUACAUGGCCUAGGAUAUGCCUGUGUGUCCAGGCUGUAUGGCUCACUGUCGAAUAUCUCAUUUUGUACACGACCUGGGACACACCCGUGUGUCUAGGCCGUAUGACUCACUGUCGAAUAUCCUAUUUUGCGCACGGCCUGAGACAUCCCCAUGUGUUCAGGCCGUGUGGGUUAAAAACUCAUUUUUUAUUUAAUUUAAUUUUAAAUUAGCAUGCAGUAAAACUAAAAGAAUUAGCAAAAUUUAUGGUUAAAAACUCAUUUUUUAUUUAAUUUAAUUUUAAAUUAGCAUGCAGUAAAACUAAAAGAAUUAGCAAAAUUUAUGGUUAAAAACUCAUUUUUUUAAUUUAAUUCUAAAUUAACAUGCAGUAAAACUAAAAGAAUUAGCAAAAUUUAUACACCCGGGUUACCUCCUGAGAAGAACUUAUUUAGAGUCUAAGCUCGACUUACCUUGUAGGUGCACAGUCACGGUGGUUCACGAAGCCGAAGGUCCUCUUUCUCGUUAUCAAUUUUACUACCAAAAUAAGGUUUGAGUCGAAUACUAUUUACCUUAAAUGUGCUGAACUCAGAAUGAGUUACCUCGACUAUACCGUAUAAGAAGAAGUUCAGUAUUGUAAAUGGGUUUGAUUCGUUUGAUUUGAGCUCUGAAGGGGAGAUUCAUAGAUCCAUUUUGUCCAAUAGUACUUUGCACCCAACCUUAAAUUGGUUUUUUCCAUUCACAUGCUCAUUAUGGCGUCAUUUUGUGUCUUCAUCAUGUUUUUUCGAUUUCUCCUUAACAUGUGCUCGCCAUUCAUCUAGGUCAUCAAUUUGCACCAUUCACUCUUCAUAACUUGUUCUGUUUUUGUCACCUGGACUGAAAUCAGGCUUCAUCAUGUUUUCACGAGGUAUUUCCUAUAAAGAAGGUUGAGCCAUGUGGUUACUAACAUUUAUAGAACAUUUAAAAUCAUCUCGAUCCCUAGAGACUCUCACAGAAUCAUGUGCUUGGAGAAUAAUCUUUUCGUCACCUACACGAAGUACAAGUUCACCCGUACCAACAUCGAUAAUAGUCCUAGCAAUUGUUAAAAAAGGGCAAGCUAAAAUCAAAGGUACUUUAUUAUCCUCAUCCAUGUCUAACACAACAAAAUCAACGGGGAAUAUGAAUUUGUCAAUUUUUACAAGCACUUCCUCAAUAAUACCCCUAGGAUGUUUAACGGUUCUAUGCACUAGUUGAAUACUCAUCCUAGUUUGUUUGGGUUUCCCAAGAGCUAGUUGUUUAUACAUUUUAUAGGGCAUGACAUUAAUAUUAGCCCCCUAAAUUAGCCAAAGUAUUAUCGAUAUUUAAACUACCAAUGAGACAAGGAAUAGUAAAACUCCCUGGAUCUUUUAGUUUGUUGGGUAGUUUAUUUUGAAGAAUGGCUGAGCAAACUUCAUUAAGCUCUACGGUCGACGAGUCGUCUAUCUUCUUCUUGUUUGUUAGAAACUCUUUUAGGAAUUUGACAUGAUUUGGCAUCUACAAAAAGGCUUCAACAAACGGUAAGUUAAUGUAUAAUUUUUUAAGAGGUUUAGGAAUUUACCAUAUUGUUCGUUUGUGUGUUCUCUCUUUGACUUGUUAGGAUAUGGCACUCGAGGUUCAUAUUCUUUGACAAUCGGCUUUUGUUCUUUCUUAUCUUCCUUAAUCUUAUUUUUGUUUGCCAUAACUUCUUACCUAGGUUCUUGUUCAAGUUCAACUAAGCCUUCCACGUCUCAAACAGUAAUCACGUGAAGUUGCUCCCUAGGGUUAGGUUCAGUAUUGCUUGGCAAGCUAUCUUGUGGUCGUUCCAAAAUUAUCUUAGCAAGCUGCCCUAUUUGAUUCUCGAGCCCUUGAAUUGAUGGUUGUUGAUUUUUUAGUGCUACCUCAGUCUAUUGAAAAUGGGUUUCUAACACCGAGAUAAACUUUGUCAACAUCUCCUCAAGGAUUGACUUUUUCUCUUGUUCAUAAGGUUGUUAGAAGCCUGGAGGUGGUUGUGCUCUUUGAUUUCCUUUUGACCACCCUAAGAGAAAUUGGGAUGGUUCCUCCAACCUAUAUUAUAAUUAUUACUAUAAGGGUUAUUUUGAGGACUAGAAUUGUUACCCAUAUAAUUGACUUGCUCAUUCUCUAUGCUAGAACCCAAGGGUAAACAUUCUAGAUUAUUCAUUCCACCUCUAUUUGUAUCGCAUUGCAUCACCAGAUGUACCUGCGUAGAAAGCUAUAAACCAUAAAUUUUCUUAUUUAAUAAUUCUACCUGGUUUGAUAAUAUGGAGACUACAUCUAAAUUAAAAACAUCGACUACUUUCAUCGAUUUUGUCCUCAUGACGUGCAACUGGUAAUUAUUUAGUGUCAUCUCUUCAAUAAAUUCAUAAGUUGCUUCAGGUGUUUUAUUGUUUAGUGUUCCAUUGGCUGCUGCAUCAAUUAACUGCCUAGUUGAGGGAUUCCAAAAAUUCCUUGUAUCUCUCCCAUGCAUCAUAUAACAUCUCUACAUCGAUCUGAACAAAGGAAGAUAUGUCAUUCCUCAACUUGGAUGUCUUAGCCGGUGAGAAGUACUUCAGUUGGAAUUUUUUAGUUAUCUGAGCCCAUGUAGUGAUUGAACCUUAUUGUAAAAAGUUUAACCACUAUUUUUCCUUGUUCCUCAAUGAGAAUGGGAAUAACCGUAAAUGAAUGGCAUCAUCAGUGGUGCCAUUAGUCUUGAAAGUAUCGCAAAUUUCUAGAUAAUUAGCCAAAUGAGUAUUUGGGUCUUCAUCUUGUAAACCGUCAAACUGAAUAUACUAUUGUACCAUCUAAAUUUUGUUCAACUUCAAUUCAAAAUUAUUUGCAGCAAUUGUGGGUCGCACAAUACUCAAUUUAGCCCCAGUCAGAGUGGGCUCGGCAUAAUCAUACAUAGUACGAGAAACAGGAGUAGGAGCUACAGUAGGAGGUAGCUGAAUAUUCUGAUUAUCACCCAUCUCCUUAGUAAUAAUGUUGUCUUCUUGCUCGUCUACUAUAUUUUGUUGACUCUGCCUUCCUUCUCUACUAUUUUUGCAAGCAGUACUUUAAAUUUCAUUAUUAAAAAGUAAUAGUCUCGAUGGGUUUCUUCUAGUAAUAAACCAAAACAACCUACCAGAUGUAAAUGAAAAGAAAAAAUUAGAAUGUAAAAAUUAAAUUAAAACAAAAAUAUAAAAAUAAAAUAAAAUAAAUGGCUAAAUUAAUAAAAAUAAAGUGUUCCUAAUAUUUUAGUCCGCAGCAACUGCACCAAAAAAUUAAUGUGUUUCAUGUGACGAACUAAAAAUACGACAACGGCAAUUGCACCUAUUGAUAAAUAGUGUAGCUAUGGUGAGUAGAGAUAUCAUAUCCACAAGGACUAAAAGUAUUAGUAAUUAUUGUUUUUCUAUUAUUUAGUCGACAAUUUGGAGUGAUAGGUUUUAAACAAAAAUUACUAAAUUAAUCUAACUAAGAACUCAACAGAGAAUGAAUUCAGAAAAUAAUCGAAAGAUAACCAAUGAAACAGACAAUACCCAAGAAAGAAUCCACCUAGACUUCAUCUAUUAUUAUCAAUCUGAUUUAAACGAUUUAUUCACUUGGUGUCUUGAUCUAUAGAAUUUUCCUAAAUUAUACUAAUAUUUCUUUCGAGAGUAAGAGCAUCUGACUCAAGGUUGAUUAAUUGAAGUCUCUUUCUAAUUAAAACCCCUACUAUCGCAUUAACUCAAUCUAUGGAUUCCCUAAUUAGAUUUGACUUUAAUCCGGUAGAUUUAUGUCGUCCUAUUUCUAGGAUUACACGCAACUCCACUCAAUUAUGAUAGAUCUACUAUUAAACAGGGACUUUUCCUCCACUGAAUUAAGCACAUUAAACAUGAAUUAAUACCCUAAAAAUAUUAAAACAAGAAAUAAGCACACAUAAUUGAGAACAAGAAUAAAGUAUUUAUCGCAUAAAAUAUAAAGUAAAUAAUAGAAUUCAUCUUAGGUUUCAUCUUCCCUAAGUAUCUAGGGAAUUAGUUCAUAAUCUUGAAUAAAAAAAUCUCAAAGUCAGAAAAACCACAAGAAACAAAGAAACUCAUAAAAACUUUAGAAGGAAUUAAAAGGAUGUCAUCGAUCUUAAUGAACAUUUACUUUAGAGUUGGCUCCAAUGGUGUUCCUCGAGUUGUUUCUUCAAUAUUUUCUUAUAGGUUUCAUAUCAUUUCUUCUAUUUGGUAUUUAUAGACUUUAGAAUGCUCAGAAAGCCUAAAAAUUGUAUUUUUCUGCAUUUUUGGGAACUAGGUUGGGAAAUCAACACGACCUGGCGCAUGGCCGUGUGUCCAACGCGUAUGGCGCACAUGGCCAUGCCUCUGACUCGUGUGGGAAGGCCCAGACUGUGUGGUUCCUGAAAUCUGCUCUUUUUGACUAAUAUUCGCUUGUUUCUCGCUCGUUUUGCUCCCAAAUGCUCACCUAAGUAUGGAAACAUGAAUUCAAAGGAAUAGGAGCAUCAAAUUCACCAAUUUGCAUAACUAAUUAUCCAAAAACAUAUUAAGAAUGGGAUUAAAAAAUGUUACUUUUAUUGCUUAUCAGAAGCAUCAAGUUGGAGGCCUGACAAAGAAUAGAAUUCAUCUAGAAUACACCAAACACGAUAGAGUCUGUAGACCCCUUCACAAAAAUUAAAAGAUCAUCUGCAAAAGUCAAGCGAGUAAGAUUCACUCUUUUACAUUUUGAUGAAACUUUUUAACUCUAUGUCUAACAGUUGUAUCCAAAAGUCUAGAAAGAACCUCCAUAGCUAUAACAAAUAGAAGAGGAGAAAGUGGAUCCCCCUGUCUAAGCCCUUUCGUCCCUCUAAAAUACCCUACUAGACCACCAUUAAGGAAGAUGGAAAAUUGUGAAGAAGUGAUGCAUGCCUCAAUCCAACCCUUGAAGACAUCCAGAACCUUCACAGCGUUAAAACAACAAUAAUGAACCUCCAACUGACAGAAUCAAAUGCCUUUUGCAAGUCAAUUUUGAGGGCACAUCUAAGGGAAAUAUGCUUCCUACCAUACGCCCUCAUGGGCCAAGACAGAAUUAGCGGCAAUAUUUCUACCUUUAAUAAACAUAGAUUGACUAGGAGAGAUCAAUUCUGAGAAAUAAAAAGGAGAGAUUCGAUUAGCCAGAAUCUUUGAAAAACACUUGUAUAUUAUAUUGCAACAAGAAAUGGGUCUGAAUUACUUGAUGUGAGUGGGCUGAGCACACUUGGGCACGAAGACUAUAGUAGUUUCAUUGAAAGUAGGCAGUAACUUUGAAGUGAGAAAAAAUCUUGUUGUAUAUAAUUAUGUUUUCAAUUGUGUAAGUUACGAUUAAAUAUUUUCUUUGGAUGUAUUUUAUAGUUAGAUCAUUGUUUUGUUUAAGGACAAACAAAAGUUUUAAGUGUGGAGGUAUGAUGUGUCCUCAUCAUAUAUAUGUAAUUAUACUAUUUUCACGUAGAUUUAAGUUAGUUGUUAAGUAAAUAUUGCCUUUAGUUGCAUAAUUAGAAUAGAUUUCAUGCAUAAUAUCGUAUUUGCAUUUUAUGCUACUUUUACUUGUAUGUAGUUAAAUUUGAGUUAUUUUAAGUAAUAUAUUUUUUAAUAACUGCUUUAACUCAAUUUAAUAUGAGGAGCGAGUUUGAAUGAGAGAGAAAACAAGACGAACGUUAAAAGAGAAAAACGCAAAGUUGCUAGAACAAUGUGCGCGUAACGCCGCACUAUUCGUGCAAAAGACGAAGGUCAUGCCAUGCCAUUUUAUAAUAUUUUUGUGCUGGGUUUCUUUUCUUCACCCCCCAAGUCAAAUGAAGCCUUAAUUAAGUCAACACAAGACUGUAAAUAGUCUUCUUUUAAGUCUUAGAGAGAAACGAAAUGAAUAAGUUUUCUGCUUUAUUUAGUUUUUAUUUUAUUUUUCUCUCUUAGUUUUCUACUAAUUUGCUUUCAAAGUAACUCGUGCUAAUAUUCUUCAACGAACUAACUAUUGGAUUUAGAUUGGAAUUGCAAUUAAUCAUUUUUUUUUUCUCUUUGAAACUUUCAUUUUAUUAUUUUAGAAUUGCAAAUUUCACUAUAGAUUCCAUCCUCGUAAUACUUUCUUGAACGGAAUUAUUUCAUUAUAAUUUAUUAUUUAAAAACGAAAUCGUAUGCUUGUGUCACAAGGCUAGAACUCACUUUGGCCUGUGACAUUUGCAUAUAGUAAAAAAAAAAAGUGACUAUCUUUUUGAGCUUAAAAUUUUUUUAUUUUACUAUUAUUUUCACAUAUAAUUUUCUCCCGUAAACAAUUAAACAUCAAAGCAUAACCUCAAAAGAAAAACAUCACCACCAAGCUUUGAAAAGAGAUCUUCUCAACGCAUAGGUUUUGACAAAGGUAUAUGCCAUUCCGAUUGCUUCUCUAAAAAUAUUAACAAAAGCAAUAUUAUUGGUCUCAGCUAUUCGAAGGUCAAUAUCCAUGAAAGGUUCCUACAUGAUCUAUGGUUUCAUAUGUUCAUUAAGAACCCAAGAAACUGUCAAAACACAAUCAAAUUCAAUGGUUAAGCUUACCUCCCCCUCCCGUUCAUUUUUAAGAAAAUCUAGUCGUGCAAUCACCACACCAUAGACUCCUUUAAUGCUUGCAGGACCCGGUUUUCCUCUAGCGGCAUCGUCAACAUUGAAACGAAACCAGCUUCGGGUGGCAACCAAAAUGCCCCAAAUCUUGUAGUAGGAACCACCUUACUUGAAAAAACAAGGCCUUGGAUUGUCCCACCAUGUAAGCUCCAUGAUAGGAACCUUCUCAAAAGUAUCUUUAAUCCAAAUCAAUGACCUAAGCUUCACCAAGAAAAGAAUUUUCACUGCCCUUAUUAUUUUUGUUCAAACACCAAAUUAUUUCUUGCCAGCCACAAAGACCAUAUCACCACUGCACAAUUAAUGAGCCACUAGCUUUUGACAAUGCUUGAAGUGUAUCAAGAAAAAUAGUACUCAAAGAAUUCAACAAGUUAUAUGUAUUUUAUAGUUUUAAAGAUAAUUAAUUCUUGCUGGGAUCGACCUAUUAAGCAACAUGUAAAAAAAAUAGCGAAAUAAAUUGAAAAAUUGAACACACAAAUUUAACGUGGAAAACCCCCCCAAAGAGGAUAAAAAAUACUACGGGCAAAGAUAAUUUUAUUAUAAUGACAAAAGAACAAAGGGUACAAAAGAUGAAGAUAAAAACUAAACCCCGAAAACAAAGAACCCUUUAAACGUAAACACAAAAUUCUCUAAAUGUGUUAUGAGCUCUAAUCUCUAAUGGGUGUAUAUUUCUAAGGUUGUAAAAGAGCCUAUUUAUAGGCUAAAUUCAUAGGUCAAAUAAUAAUAAAAUAAUCUAAACUAAUCAGAGUUUAAUUGAAAGAUUUUUUUCUGAAAUUUGAGUGAAAUAGGAGUCAUACUCAACAAAUCUCUACCAUGACUUAUAUUCCACAAUGCCAUCUUUGCCAAAGCCCACCACAGGCCUAUCUUGAACUAUGCAGAGAAUUAAUUGAGUCGAAUCUAUACUUAAAAACUGGAAGACUUCUAGCCUUCGACUUAUACACUGCGAAUUAAAAUUAACCCGAGUUUGAUUUUAACGAACACAGUGCCCUAACUUGUCAAAACAUGCAUCCAAAAAAUAACCUCUCUUCAACGAAAUGGUCAUACAUUUUUCCCUCCUAUGACCAAGUUGCCUCCGCUCCAAACAAGUUGAAUUCGACUCUGUAACAGACGAGGGAUGUCUGAUUUCACCGGUCACCGUAUAACUUUCCAGAAUAUAAAGACUAUCGGUUCUUUUACCUUUUAACAAAACAAGAGCUCCACGAGAUACUUUAAUGUCGCUUGACUCGAUGUUGAUUAUGUAUCCUUUCAAGUCUAAAAUACUCAAGGAGAUGAGAUUCUUUCGUAAAUCAAGUACAUACCUAACAUCUGAGAAUGGCCUAAUCGUCCCAUCGUGUAUCCUAAUUUUAACAAUACCAAUACCAAUACCAAUUACCUUACUAGAUGAAUCAUUUCUCAUGCGCACAACUCCACCUUCAAAUGAACUAUAUGUUGAGAACCAUUCUCUAUUGGGACACAUGUGGAAAGAACAUCCCGAAUCUAGGAUCCACUCAGACGUGAGGUUGGAGUUAUCGCUUGUUGACACUAACAAGAAAUCAUCAUCGCUUACAUCGGCCAAAUUAGCAUCAGUUACAUCUUCCUCGUUACUCUUAGCAGGUCUUUUAUUUCACAGUUUAUAACAAUCAGGGUCUCCCUGAAAAACUAUUAUGAAUGGGGUAAAGAGCACAAUAACAGCAUAGCCUGAUCUUCAUCGUCAAUAUGGACCUCAAUAUUUUUUAAAUCAUUUAAAAGAGUAAAUGAAUUGACUAAUGUGAUCUCUAAGAAGCUCACCUUCAUUCAUGCAAAACGUAAAUAGACGUUGUUUCAACACUAAACAUUUAGCCAGAGACUUAGUCGCAUAAAGAGUUUCUAACUUCUUCCACAAGGUGGAUGAGGUCUUCUCCAUCAAUAUCUCCUGCAUUACCGUAUUCGUGAGGCAUAACUGGAUUGCAGACAAGGCAUUUUCAUCAAGUUCUUCUCAUUCUGUUUUAUUUAGAUUCUCAAGCUUUUCCCGGUAACAAUCUUUUUCAAGCCGGUUUGAACUAGAAUUACCAUCAUCCAAACUUGUCACAGAUUGAAAUUUGUCUCACCAUCGAACUUCUCAAUUUCAAACCUUAUUAAAAUUAAACAAGCUUUGAUACCACUUGUUCGGAUCGACCUGAUUAGGCAACAAGUAAAAAAAUAGCGAAAUAAAUUGAGAAAUUAAACACACAAAUUUAACGAGGAAAAACCCCUCCAAAGAGGAUAAAAAAACCACGGGCAAAGAUAAUUUUAUUAUAAUGGCAAAAUAACGAAGAGUACAAAAGAUGGAGAUAAAAACUAAACCCUGAAAACCCAAAAAUAAAGAACCCUCAAAAUGUAAACACAAAAUCUCUAAAUGCAUUAUGAGUUCUAAUUUCCAAUGGGCGUAUUUUCUAAGGUUUUAAAAGAGCCUAUUUAUAGGCUAAAUUCAUAGGUCAAAUAAUAAUAAAAUAAUUUAGACUAAUCAGAGUUUGAUUGAAACAAAUAAACAAAGUUUAACUGAAAUAUUAUUUCUCCAAUUUGACUGAAAUAGGAGUCGUACUCAACAAUUCUAAACAAUAACUCAUAUCAAUUGAAAACAUAUAUAUAAAUACUUAAUAAUUUAAAGUUUUAAUUCACAUUUUAGCCCCUAAAAUGUAUCCAUAUUCUCAUUGAUAUUUAAAUUUUUUUGUAGUUUUUAUCCAAAAUUUAAGUGACGGUUAAAAAACAAACUCUCCCAAUCAAAUCAUACUAUGUGCCUUUGACUAUUCAAUUAAAAAUAUUAAAAUUCUUUUUAUUAAAAAAAUAUUUUUACAAAAUAAAAUGAAAUAGAUAUUAAUAAUAAAAAAAACCUAACCUAAACCAUCCCUAACUCAUGUCUUGGCAUGCCUCACGCCAUAUCUCAUCUAAUCCCACAUCAUCGAAGAAAGAAUAAGAACAUCAAAAAGAUCUAGAAACUGUGAAGAGAUGAGUCUCUUUUUACUUUUGCUUUGGUUCUUUGAUUUUGCAAGGAAAAUUCCCUAACCCAACCCACCUCACUUUUGCUUUGGCUCUUUGGUUUCCUGGAGAAUGAUCUCUUUUUUUCUUAUUGAUCUCGUAAAGUUUUUUUUUCUCGUGAAUGAAGAAAAUGAUCCGAUAAACCUUGUUACGAAGCUAAUGGGGAAAAUCUUGGGGUUUUUGGUUUUGUCUAGGUUUGUUUGGGUAUAUCAUAAUAAUAAAUCUAAGUCUAAUUUAAAUACAAGAAUAGGAAAUACUAUGAAUAAUGUAAUAGCCCAAUUUACCCGGGCUUGUAUAAAUAACAAAAUAAUAAUAAUAAUAAUAAUUAAUAAAGUCCAAAAUCAAAUACAGUGGCCCAAAUGCUUAAGUGCUACCCACCAAGGCCCAUUAAAAUUUAAACCCAAUUUGCCUAGACCCUAACUCAAUUACAGAGUGGCCCAACGCAAAAUCAAAAGCUGAAACCCUAGCAGCUUCCAGCGUUGUUCUCCCCAGCCACGCGCGCCUUCGUACCGCCACCUCCGUACCGCCAUGUCGGUCUCCGUACGCCGUACCUGCAAGAGGGACAAGCAAACAAAAAAGAAGAAGCAAAAAUCGACAACAAAAAAGGAAAAUAACAAAAAGAGCGAAAUACACUUUCUUUUGUAAUUUUCAUUUUAGUUUCGGCUAUAUAAAGUCAUUUUUCAGCGUUUGUAAGGUUACACACACAAACACGCAGAGAAUCAAUACAAAAAAAAGAAGGUUUUCUUUUUCUUCCAUUCGGUUCUUUUUCCGAUUGCUUUCCUUUCUUUUUUGUUAUUGAUCAUAUAUAUAGGAUAUAUAUAAAAUAAAAGAAAAAAAGGGGGAGAUUAGAACCUAUACCUGGUUAAAGCCUCUGUUGAACCCCUCAUUGGUUUCGAUCGGAACCGUAUGGUUGGGGGUUCCGAUGUUGAAGCGGCGCUGGGGAGGGAAUAGAUGUUACUAGCUUUUUUUUAAAAAAAACUGUAGCUGCUGCUGAUUUUAGGGUUUUAAAGUUGGUAUUUAUAGUGUAAUAAACGGCACCGUAUUGACCAUUACCCAACAACCCGCGCGCGACCCGACCCGCUCCAUGGGGGAUUCGCGCGCUCCUAUUAAUUGGGUUAUUUGCACCUCCGGUCCUGCUGCCUUUUUAUUUGUUUUAAUUCAGUUGUUUUAAUUUUUUUAAUUGAUACUGUAAAUUUUAUUCGGUUUUGGAUUCGGUCCUGACGGAAUGGCGCGUUUCAGAGGGCAGGAAUAUUUCCCCAUUUAAUCCCUCUAAGUUGUUCGGGCCUUUCAAUCGGGCCCUUCAUUUUGUUUUGUUUUCGUUUCUUUCUCUUUAAUUUCGUUUUGAGUUUAAUUUAAUCCAUACUUAUUUAAUUUAACGUAUUUGAUUUUUAUUCUGUUUAAAAUCCUUUUUUGUUAUUUUCGGAUAUAUUUAAUUUUAAAUCUAACUUUCUUUUUAUGUUUAAGUUUAGUAUAUUUUUAAUUUUAUUAUCAAUGCUAUUUCAAUAUUAUAAUAUAUUACUCUUUUGAAUCAAUCGUUAAUAUUAUAUAAAUUCACCACGUAUUAUUAUUUACAAUUUAUUAUAUAUCAUUAUUUAAAUUUAUCACAUUUUUAUAUUUUUUUUAUGUAAAUUUGACAUGAUUUGUAUAUAUCUCUUGAUGUUUUUAUUUUACAAUAUAUUUAAAGAUUCAUUAUUAUAUUUCUAUAUUUUUUAAAAAAAAAAGGGAGCUAUACAAUAAUGCUAUUAUAUAAUACUAUUUCACAAACAUAGGUAUACACAAUUUAUAUUAAAUUAUUUUUAUUAUAUACAUACGCAAUAUAUUUGAUUCCAUAUUAUUAUACAUAUGUACAUGUAUUUUUUACCUAUUUUAUAUAAUAUGAAUUUCUUUCAAAAUACUCUAUUAUAUAUUUUGCUUAUUUCAACUCUUUUUUAUAUUGCUACAUAUACUAUUAUAUGAAGUUUUCCGUGCUAUUAUUUAUUUAAAUUAACUUAUAUACAUUAUUUUAUAUAUUUUUAUAAUAUUGACUUUAAAAUUCAUUCACAUAUUAUUUAUUUUUAUUGAUUUUUAUAUUUCAAACCUUUGUGUAUUUUAUUUAAAUUCUGUUAUGCAUACAAUUUUCAAUUCUUGUCUUUGUUAUGUUUUUGUUUUGGAUUGCAUGAUGUUUCAUUCGGGAUUAAUUUUCCAACUCAUUUAGCCUUUAAUUGUUAAUAUUGGUAUGGACAUAUUAUAUGGGACUAUUGCUUGUGUAUGUAUGUGUUGUGUUGCUCAUUUAUAUUUAAGGGUUGUACAAGCCCAAUUUUUGACCCAGGGCCCAAUAACAAAUUUUAACCUAAAAACUACCUAGGCCCAACUAGCCUAACCCAAUCAGCCCAAAACCUAAACACCUAGCAGAAACCCUAGCCCCCUGUUGUGCCGCACCUGCUCCUGGCCUCCUCACCUGCCCUCUGUUCACAGCCGUCACCACGCUCACUUGCCACAGACUCACCUGCUCCAACUGCUCCGCCAGUACCUGCAACAAACACCAACAAGCAACAGCAAAUACGGAUAGCAAAAGGAGAUUUUUUAUUUUGUAUUUUGGCUAUAUAAGGCCGAUUGAAAAAAUCAAAAAAGGGGGGCUUCUUUUUCUUUUUUUCGAUUUGUAACCAAGAAAACAAAUUUCAAUAGAAUAAUAAAAAAUACCAAGCUUCAAGGUGAUUUCCAGGGUUUUCGAUUGCAAUCUUUACUUUUUCUUUUUUUUCGUUGUAUUUAUUUUAUUUUAUUUUGAUUUUUUAAACGAAAUAAAAAAAAUAAAAUAACGAAAAAGGAGACUCACCGCGGGUCGCUGUUUCCUCCUCGUCGGAAACUCCUUCUCCGGUGAGGAAACCGACUGUAGAGAAGCCUAACAGCCUUUUCCCCUUCGUUUUUGGUCAUUUUGAGGCCGGAUUCGGGUUUAAGAGAUCGGCAUCUCUAAGGGCACGCCUUUCUCCACUCGUCGGCCACCGUGUACGGCGUCACUGGCGCCGGCGAUCCGACGGCCGACACGGUGGCCCUCGGCCGGACCCGAGAUCAAGAAAGGGGAAGAGGGAGAGAGAACUGAGAAGUUUUUAGUUUUUUUUUAAAAAAAGGGAAUGGGGCUGAAUGAUUUUUUUAACAAAAAUUGGUUUAAAUACCUAAAUGAAACGGCGUCGUUUUGGCCUGUUUCAUUCGGCCUCAAACGACGCCGUUUUGCGUCUAAACCGAGAUUCGACCCGCGACCAGACCCGUCCGAUCUAGGGAUCCGCGUGUUUUUGACGGAAGGGCUAAUUGCACCUUUAGCCCUUCCGCUUUUUUUAAUGCUUUUUAAAUUAGGUUCUUUUGAUCUUUUAAAUUUACCCAAAAUUUUUUCGUAUUUUCAACUUCGUCCUUACUCGAACUACGCCGUUUUAAAGGAAGGGUAAUUUUCUUUGAUGGUCCCUCCAUGUUACAUGCGUGUUCAGAGCAAUCCCUCCCCUUUCGUUUAUUUGCGCUUUGAACCCCCCGAAUCUUGUUUAAUGUUUAAUCUAAUCCUUUAGUGAUUUUGUUUAUUUUCUUUACAAAUUUUAUAUUAUUAUUGUUAUUGCAUUAUUAUUAUAAUUGCUUUUAUAGAUAUAUACAUAUAUUUUUAUAUAUUUUUACAUAUACUUAUACACAUUUUUUUUGUAAUAUAUAUAUAUAUAUACAUAUAAACAUACCUAUUUUAUAAUUUAUUUAUACAUGCAUAUAUAUUUAUAAUACACGUACAUAUUUCUAACCUUUAUAAAUAUAUAUAUACAUAUUUUUACAUAUAUAUAUGUACAUAUUUUAUAUAUUUUAUAAUUCAUACAUGUACACAUUUUUCAUACUUCAUAGCUUAAAACCAUCUAUAUAUAUCUAUAUGCAUUUUUUAUAAAUACAUGUAUAUAAAAUAUAUUUUCAUACACCUUUAUUAUAUAUACAUAUUUAUAUACUUACAUACACUUCAUACAUAUUUAUUUUUUCUUUAUAUUUUAAAAUAUACUUUAUAUAUAUUUCAUAUAUUUUGUAACUUACGUAUACACACAUAUUUUAAUUUACAUUUCUAUACAUAUAUAUAUUCCUUUACGUUUUAUUUGUGUUCACUAUUUAUUUCAUUUUAUUAUUAUUUUGAAUGAAAGUUUUGAUUUAUUUGUUUAUAUACAUUGUUAUUUUAUAUGAUUGUAGGACUAACUUUUAUUUAUUAUUGUUGCUAUUGCUCAUAUCAUUUUAUACUUUUGUAUUCAUUAUGAUUUUGCCAUGAAUAACAACAAUGCAAUUUGCUUUCACAUUUUUUUACUACGAUUUUAGUGUUUUAUUUUACUCGACAUAACAUAAUUUGUUUUGAAUAAAUAAUAUUUCGUCUUUAGAUUCGAGAGGAUCGUAUCUUAACUUACUGGGUUUCGAUUUUCACGAUAAAUCUAAAUGACGAAUCUUUUUAAACUCAAAUUUUAAAUGAUCUCGGGAUUAAAAAAUUGCGUCCUAACUUACUGGUCGUGAUCUCAUUUUUAAAUCCGAGAUGGCUAAAAUAUCUUUUAAAUAAGCAUUUUUCAUUUGCGUGUUGGGAAUUUGAGACAUUGUGUCCUAACUUACUGGAUAUGAUUCUCUUUCUCGAUUAACGUGAAAUAUGCUACUUUUCCCAAAAAUUUUCAUUUUAAUAUAAGGAUCGUAUUUUUAAAGUUCUUCAAAGUUUUCGACAUUAAGACAUUAAGUAAUCAAUUAGGUACCAAUUUUGGGCGUAUCGAGGGUGCCAAUCCUUCCUCGUGCGUAACCGACUCCCGAACCCGUUUUUCUGAAUUUUGUGGACCAAAAUCGUUGUUUUAAUAAAACUAAAUCGUUUAUUAAAAACAACCACUUUUCAAGGUGAUCCAAUCACACCUCAUAAAAAAAGGAUUGGUGGUGACUCCCGUUUCAUUUUUCAAAACCCAAGUCGACCCCGUUUUUCAUCCAAAAAAUGGUGUCAACAAGGGUUAUUUGUGUUCAUUAGUGUACACUUUGACCCACGGAUUAUCACUUCGCAUUGUACAUUCCAUCGCGCUUUAUUCGCUUAGAAAAUUAUGUUCGAUAUGGUUUAAGCUUCGAAAUCAUUUUAUUCAAAAGCUUUCAAAAUAACACAAUAUUUGGCAUUUGGGAUCUUUGAAAAGAAUGUGAAACUUACUGGAUUCCAAUCUUCCUCGUUGAAUCUAAGAAACCGUGUACCCUUUUUUAAACAUAAAUAAAAAAUCAUUCUCGGGAAUUCGAUACGUUGUGUCCUAACUCAUUGGACAUGAUAUAUUAUUUUCUCGAGACUAGGAUUCUCCUAACAAGUAAUAAUAAAGGCAAUAUUUGAUAUUUAGGAAUUUUGUAAAAUUGAACCCAAACUUACUGGGUUUUGAUUUUCUCAUUUGACGCAAAUAAUCAGAUAUCCUUCUCAAAAUGCAUUAGUUUUAAAAGUCAAGAGAUAAACUUAAUUUCGCGGAUUUAAAAUGUUACACUCUAACUUACUGAGUGUGACAAUCUAUUUCUUCGAAAUAAAUGAGUUUCAUCUUCCGAUUCGUUUCAUUCAAAUUUUCUUUUCAAAGGAUCGUAUUUUAAAAUCUUAUCAAAUCAUCGACACUAAGACAUUAAACAAUCAAUUCGGUACCAAUUUUGGGCGUUACGAGGGUGCUAACCCUUCCUCGAGUGUAACCGACUCCCGAACCUAUUUUCUCGAAAUUCGUAGACCAAAAAUCAUUUUUAAUGGUGAACUGGUCACACCUUAAUAAAAGAUCGGUGGCGACUCCAAUUCUCAUUUUUAGUCGACAAACUAAAUUUUUGUUUUUCAAAAAAGCGGUUUCAACAAAUAAAAUAAUAACAAUUGACAUGUAUCGUACAAAAAAUUGAUAAUAAAAGAUUUAUUUUAUAAUUAUAAUUUUAAAAAUUUAUAUAAUUUAUUAAUAGAAUAAAAUUAUAUAUUUUUAUAUAAAUUAUCAAUUUUAUAGUCAUUUGUAGUAACGAGUCUUUUAUGUAUAUGGUGUUUCAUGUUUGCAUACGUUGUUUGUUAAUGUUUAAGAAUUGAAGAAUUUCGAACUAGUGAUAUAAUUUUUCUCAAAUUUUUAAAUAAAAAAAUAAACAUAUUUCAAUGUUUUAAUCUACAUUUUCUUUUACUGACAAUAAAAUUAAUAGCGAGUGAACUUGAAAAUUUAAAUUUGAUUAAAUAAAUAAAUUAAUUCAUGAAUACUCUCCCAUUUGUUGCAACAUUGAAGAGUGAGAAGGUUGUAUGGCCGCAAAGAAUAAGAAAAAAACCAAAUUCGUACCCACAAUAUUUAUGGUAAUGUUUCAAUAUUUCUUGGUCGGAUUAGUAAUUAGGAGUUAUGAAAAUGGCUAACACGUGUAUAGUUUUACGGUGGGAAAAAACUCACAAACAUUUCAACUUUCUUUCUUUUUAACAACAAUAUAGAAAACAAAACCUAGUUCGUCAUCAAUGCAUUUCCACUUGUUUUUUAAUCUACUCUUUAGCUUUUAGAGACCAACCCAAAAAAGAAAAGAAAAGAGUAAUUGUUACUUUCACUAGUCUAAUUAAACACAACCCAAAAAUAGAGAUUUCGACAAAAAUACAAUCUUCGAAAAAUAAACCUAGGUAAAAUUAAUGUUGAUUUUCUAUAUGGAUUAGGUUUUGGACAAUAUUCUUUGACCCGAUCCUGACUCAAUUCGAAUAUAUUGUGUUAUACAAAUUCUUAUAUUAAUUAGACAUGUUAAAAAAUAAUUAUAUAUUUGUAUUUAUAUUAAAGCAUUGACCCAAUAACAAUUAAACUCUUUACCCAAAAUCUAAAAAAAAAAUUACCCAAUUAAAUAACCCAACCCAAAAUAUAAAAUUUUAAAAAUUAUAUUUAAUAUAAUAAAAGAUUUAUUCUGAAUUAGAUUUCUUAUUCAGUGGAUGUCCAUUAAAAUCAAGAUGAGUUUUGAUGUAUUUUAAAUUCUAAUAGCCAUUAGAAUUAGAUUUCUACUUCAUUUCUACUUCUUAUGUCUAUAAAUAGAAAUUUUGGAGAAGUUUUGUAAAUAUUCUCAUUGAUCAAUAAAUACGCUAUCUCUUUGUUCUUUAUUCUUUAUUCUUUAUUCUUCUAUUUUAUAACACGUUAUCAGUACGAUUCUUUUUUAAUUUUUUUUCUCUAUAAGUCAAAAAAAAUAUCCCAAAAUUUACUGUUGUCGAUUGCCUCCUAGAGCUAUGGCUAUUUCAAUUGAGGUAUGCGCACUAUGGGUAAUCAUUAGAGCCUUUAACCACUUAGUCAGAGUGAUAACGAUGACGCUAAAGAAUCUCAUGUAUAUUUUAUUAUGUUUAUAUCAUGUUUAUUAUAAUUGGAGACUAAUCAUGACAACAUGAAUAGAUAGAUUUUGAUUUGACAUCCAUGCAUGUCUGCGAUGGUGAUUAUGGAAUAAAAAAUCUAUUAGGACGUUUAUAAGUUCGUCCUAGUAAAUCUAUUGCAUUCCCUGAAGUGAAUGCAAGCAUAAAGGAAAAUAAAAACCAAUAUUAUUAUAGUAUUUAGUAGUACAAAAUUAGUUGAAAGCUUCAGAAGAGCUAAUAUAUUAAUACAUUAUUAAUCCAUCAAUUUUAAAAGAUAUUCAUUAUAAUGGAUAUCAUAUUCAGAUUUCGAAUGAAGAAAAGAUUAUAUUUCAUAUGAAUCACUAUUGCUAUAAAUAUCUAUUUUGAAAGGAUGAAAAAAAAGGAGGAUUGAUUUAUUAAUUACUCUUAUUAUUAAAUUGAAUUGACUGUGAAUAUCUUUCUGAUCUUCUUUUGAAAUCAUCCCCAUUAAGGGGUUGAAAGCGAAACAUUUGACUAUGCAAGAUCUACUUAUGAGCAAUAGAAUAUGGUAAUUUUAUCUAAAGCUCAUUAUGGUUUGAUGCACCUAAAGUUGCAAUUUUUGUUUUAAACUGUGAGUAUAACUCUACAGUAUUUAGAAUAAGUUCUCAAUUAAAAUUACGUGGAAAAAUAUUACUGAUGAGAACUUGCAAGAAAGAAAACUUAUGUAUGAAAAGUCAUUGGCUAUGUACCUGUUGUACACUUGGAAAAUAAGAUUGACCCCCAAAGUUUGCUAUUAAUAGGUUUUGAUUGGAUUCAAAGUCUACUACUGGAGUUCAAUUUGCUUACUCCUUGAUAAAAUCGUCAAGGCUCAACAUAGAAAAAAAGAUUUAGUCAUAUUCCCUGAAGUGAAUAUUGAUUUAGUGCCAUUAUAAACUUCACAUUGAUUUAGACAUUUCCAAUAGUAAAUGUCACAAUAGUACUUAUAUGUGGAUACAAAGUAAAAUGAAUGACACUAAAAUUAUCAAUUUGUCACAAUUUAUAUUGAUAUUAUUAGUACAAUUGAAAUGCAUGUUAAAGUAAUCUAAAAGUUUCCUAAUACAAAUGCAUUUACUACUUGGCGUGACUAGUUAGACCAUCCUGGAUCAUAUAUGAUGCAAAAAUUAAUUGAGAAUUCAUACAAACAUUCAUAAAAAAACUAGAAGAUUCUUUAAUUUAAAGAAUUCUCAUUUGUUGCUUAUUCUCAAUGAAAAUUGCUUAUUGGAAACUCACUAGCUAAAGUUGAGAUUUAAUGUCUUACAUUUCUAAAAUGAAUAUAGGUCUAUUCAUCCACCAUGUAGAUGAUUUUGAUAUUAUAUGAUUCCUGGUAGAUGCAUCUACAAGAUAAUCACAUGUGUUAUCAAUUUGCAACCUAUCAGUUGCAAGAUUUCUUGUUUAAAUAAUUAAAUUUAGAUUAUGCAAUUAAGAUAAUUCAUUUUGCUAAAGCUGAUGAGUUUAUAUCUCAGUCUUUUAUUGAUUGAGUUUGAAAAACUUUGUAAAAGCUUGUUAUUUAUGCACAUAAUAGUUUAGAGAAAUUAUUCAUUGAAAGCAUCUAAUUAAUAUCUAAACCAUUACUCAUGAGAACUAAACUUCCUAUUUCAACAUAAGAUUAUGUUUAUUUACAUGUUGUACGCAUUAAGUCAAUAAGUUAUAAAUACUCCCAUUACAAUUGGUUUUUGAUAAAGAUUUAAAUAUUUCCCAUCUUUGAACUUUUGUGUAUGUAUAUAUUCCAAUUGAUCCACCAUAGCGCACAAAGAUGAGUGAAUCCUCAAAGAAAGUUAGGAAUAUUUAUUAAUUACGAGUCUCCUUGUAUUAUUAGAUGUUUUGAAUGUUUUGAAGAUUUAAUUAUGACAUGAUUUGUGAUUACUAUUUUGAUUCGAUAGUUUUCCCAACAUUAGGGAGAGAGAAAAAAUAACUUGUAAUGAGUUAGUGUGAGAGUAAUUUGAACUAGAAGUUCAACAAAGAUAACUCAUUAUAUGUUCCACAUAUAAAAAAUUCUUAUAAAAGAAAAUAAUAAAUCUAAAUGAUCAUAUAGUGACGGCGGGUGCUCUAGAAGAGACUAAAGACAUAACUAAUAAGUAAUGUAACGGGCCUAUUUUACCCGAGCCCAAAUCAGACAAAAAACAAACACAAAAAAUAAAUAAAAAUGCCAAAUAUUAACAGUCCAUCAGACCCAAAUUACAAGCCCAAAAAAUAAAAAACCCUAAGGCCCAACAAGCCCACAACCUAAACAGAAAAAGAAACCUUAGCCCUUUUAGCCCAGGAGUCGUACGUCCCUACGCCGCACCUUAUUGCCGCCACCGCCUCUGCCACCACCAACUAUGCCAACCUACAAAAACAGCGAACAACACGCAAGAACAGUGUAUUAAACAAUGAAAAUUGGCUAUAAAAAGCCAUAAUACUCCGAAUGUAAUGUUUUUUUUAAGGAGAAAUAAAAAAAUCAAUCAAAAAAUUUAAAAGGUGAUCUUUUUUUAUUCUUUCUACUAUUAUCUAUAUAUAAAAAAAUAAAAAGAAAUAAAAAACUUACCGCUGUUGCGCGAUGGAGAAGGGCAAAACCGAAAGGUUUUUUCAUUUCUUUUUAGAUUUUGGGGUUUGUUUUGGGCAUUUUUGGCUUAGAUCUAGGUUUUUUUUGAAGAAAAAACAAAAGGUGGGCUUUUUUUUGCAUCUUAGACCACCGUGGAUCGUGGCACCGUCGCUGGUGACCAACGGCCGCCACGGUGACCCGAUGACAGGCCUGAGGAUGGCUCGGAGAGAGAGGGGAGAGGUUUUCUAUUUUUUUUUAGAAAUGGGGUUAAAAUGAGUUGUUUUUGAAGGUUAUUUGGCUUAUAUAGGUACCAAUACGGCACCGUUUUUGCGCCUUUGGUCCUCGUUCAUUUUUGCCCCUUUCAUUUUAGUCUUUUGUUUAUUUAUUUUAUCUUAGUUUAUCCUUUUAAUUUAAUUUAGGUGACAAUUAGGUCCUUUAUUUAUUUUAAUUCUUCUAUUUAUUUAUUUAUUUGUUUAUUUAGUAUUUUUUUACUUUUUUAUAUUCAAAUCUUUGUUUUAUUUUUUUCAUCGGGCAUCUAUUUAUUUAUUUAUUUUAUUUAUUUAUCUAUUAUUAUUUAUUUAUGUAUUUUAUUACAAAUUGCACCCCUAAUUUCAUUUACAUUUUAAUUUGGUCCUUUAUUUUCAACAUUUUAUAAACUAUUUUCCUCUAUAUUCAUUUAUUUAUUUAUGCAUUUAUUUAUUUCCUCAUCCUUAUUAUAUUUAAAACUCGUAUUGCCUUUUUUAUGUGCAUAUUUUGUCACCAUUAUUAUUAUUGUUGUUAUUAUUUAUUCUAUUUUCUUUGAUUAUUCAUAUUAGUAUUAGAGUAGUAUAUAUUAUGUGAUUAUCGCCAUUAUAUUUAUUAUGAAUUGUCUUUAUUAGUAUAUUCAUAUUAUAGUCAUUUACUAUCUCGACAUUUUAUUCAUAUAUCAUCGUUCCAUUUUCUACAUUACCAUUUUAUCUUAUUUCGUUAAAAUCACGUCAUGAAUCACAUUUAGACAUAUUUAUCCAUUGUUGUAUUAUGACAAAAUAAGAUAGAUACAUGUCAUUUUAUAUACUACAUUUGUCGUUACUCGAUGAAUGGAAUUUUAAAAUUAAGGGAAUGUUCAGUAUUUGGAGAUUCGAGAAGUCGUGCCGUAACUUACGGGGUUCGACUUUCUCUUUGAAUCUAGAUAAUCGAACAUACAUUUUAAAACUAAAAUACAUGAGAUUUAAACAAUAAAUAUAUGAUGAGCAAUUUUAUUUGUGAGAAUACGAGAUGUCAUGUCCUAACUUACGGGACAUGACCUUUUUGUUAACUUUAAAUAAGAAAGCUUCUUAUAUAAGUUUGGAUUUAACUAAAUGAUUUCAAAUAAAAAUAUCAUUAUGCAAAAAGGGAUCGCGUUUUAAACUUCCUUCAAAUUUUCAAAUUUCGACACUAAAGACAUCAAGUAAUCAAUUUGGUACCAAUUUUGGGCGUAACGAGGGUGCUAAUCCUUUCUCGUGCGUAAUCGACUCCUGAACCCAUUUUCUAGAUUUUUGUAGACCAAAAAACAUUGUUUUGUAAAUCAAACCUUUUAUUAAAAUGAUUGAAUUACGAGGUGAUCUUAUCACACCUCAUAAAAAAGAUUGGUGGAGACUCCUAUUUUUUGUUUUAAAUAAAAAAGUCAAUUUCAAAAAAAUUGGUUUCGACAAGUAAAACUUCAGAAGAUAUUUAGAUACCUGAAACUAAAACUUAAAAUAGUGAAAAUAAAUAAAUCUUGAUAAGUUAUGUCAAUUCGAGAGAAUGUCGAACCAAUAAUAAAGCUAAUCGAUAAUAGUUUUGCAUGCAAUAUUAUUGUUGAAAUGACAAGAGAAUCUAGAAUAAAUCUAUUAAGAAAUAUAGAUAUGGAAUAUAUUGUUCAAAAUAGAAAGAUGCAACUCAAGUACAAUUAAAUUCGUGAAUUUUUUAGACCAAUAGCCCAAAUAUCUAAAGGUAUAAAGUCAAUGAGGGUAUAAAUGAAGUAGUUUUGCAAAAACUGAAUAAAAUAUGAAGUUUUCGCUAAGUCCUAGCAUUGAUUAUGAAAACAUAUAAUAUUCUUUUAUGGUGGAUGCAAUAGCCUUUAGAUAUAUUAUUAAACUGACAAUUCAUAAAAGAUUUAACUUGCGUCUAAUGGUUGUUGCUACAACCUUUUAUGAAUCACCAUACAGUAAAGUUUAUAUUAAAUUUAUUGAAGGAUUUAGAAUGCCAGGAGUAUAUUAAAAUUCUCGUGAAAUUGUUCAUUUAUAUGAAUUGAAAUAAUUUGAACAUAUGUUGUAACACCCCAAACCCGGCCUAGGCGUUAAAACCAAGUUCGAAGAGUUACAUUGAUGUUACUGAAAACCCACAUUUAUAAGCGCAAUAAAAGAAAACCAUUCAACACGUUAUAACAAUCAUAGUAUCAACUAAUCAUUCAACCAUUCUAAACUAUCAUAUUUCUAGAGAAAGUUGAAUUUUACUAAUAGUAUAGUUAAAGGUCGAUAAAGUGGGUUGACCGAGCUUCCACAACGCCAACCCGUUCAAGUUUGUGAACCACCUGAAAUUCAGUCCACAAAAAAACGAUUAUAAAAAUAGUUCUCGAAUCUCAAGUUCCAAUCAAAAUCAGAAAACACUAGGUACAUAUUUAACGUAUCAAUUAUAUGGAAGAAUAAUUCUAGUUAAGAUACAGAAUAGAUCAGAAACAGAUGCAGUUAUUCCUACCCUUAUCCGCUACAUAUCAUCUCAAGCCAUCCCAACACACUAUUUAGGGUAUUGAAUACCCAUCCAGCCCUACACACUGCUAAAUGUAGGUACGACACCUUUCAGAAUAUUCACAGCUUAACUGCCAGAUUAAUAGGCGAAUAAACGCCAAAUUCAUAUAUAAGUCGUGGCCUAGCCACUGAUUCAGAAUAGAUCACUUCCUUCUUCACAUGAUUCCCACCCAAUGCAAAUGUAGAUUACAUAUGUCAAAAUGAACUCACAGUGAUUCAGUUUCAAUAAACAUUUGUAUAAUUAGAACCUCAAUCUCAGAUUAUCAGAUAGCAAUCAUACGAUCUAAUUCAAAUCAUACAUAUACACUACGGAAGACCUACAUUUGCAUUAACAACACUUACAGUGUAACACCCCUUACCCGUAUUCAACAUCGGAAUAGGGUAUGAGGCAUUACUAGAACACAUACACUUGUAAACGUAUUGAACUGAGUUAUAAAAUUUCAUUUAAAUUAAAACUUUCAAAUUAUUAACAUGUUUUUCUAAUUCUUCACAAUAUAUCCUCAAAAUAUUAUAUUCAUAAUAAAUAGGACCUACGAGACCCAAUACAUACUCAUGCAAUUCAAUGCUUCAUUUCCUUUUCAUUUAAUUCACAAUUCAAUAUCAUUAAGAUCAAUACUAAUACAUAUUUACCAUUUAACUCAGUGUUUAUCAAUUAUACUAUUCAAUAACACAUUUAUGAAAUUCUCAAUUUUAUCGGAUGUGAAAAUAUUGCUUUAGCUUAAAUAACAACAUCAAUUCAACUCAUCAUCCCAUUCUUCGUCAUUUUACACUUCAAGUAUGAACUUAUUAUUUCAUUACCUUUCCACACCCGUUUCCUAUGCUUAUCACACAAGACAUAAACAUGUCAUUCAACCAUAGUCGCAAGCUAGUACAUUGAAACAUAAUUCUUUUUGGAACUAACCACAUGAUAAACCAUUUCACUAGAGAUUACAUAAUUUAAACCUUACCUCCCCUUUCAUGAUCACAAGCAUAUUUCCAUUUAGGCACUUACUAUUUCAAUGCAUAACUUAUAGGUUUAAUGUGGCAUAAUCCAACCACAACUUGGCCAAAGCCUAAGCAUGUAUACCAAAUAUGCCAGCCAAAUAAACAUAUAGCAUAAGCAUUAUAAGCAUGGAUGAGCACAAUAUUUAUUUAUGUAUCAAAGUUACUAACAUGAGUUAACUCAAUGCCCAUUCAUGACAUUACUUCAAGCCAAAUCAUUUACCAAAUAUACCAUACCCACAUACUAUGAAACUUUAUUUUCCCAUAUGAGUUUAAACCAUGACCAAUAAUGCACAAAUAUAUGCUUCAUUUCUAUUUCAUCGUUUAUCAAUUAUAAUCGAGCAUAUUACCAAUUAUACACAAAUCAUUCAUAUAUUUUCCAAUUUUCCUUCACCUCUUCUCCAUUCCUUAUCCUUAAUGUGUAUAACACACUUAAACAACAUUAUCCAUACUUUCACUAUUUUCCUGUAUGUAAAUUCAAGCUGAUUGUCUAAGUUAGAGUCACUAAUUUUUUUUAUAUAUCGAGCUCCAGAGCUCUAAAUUAAGAUCUGUUAUUUUUCCUUAAAACUAGACUUACUUUGGUUUAGCCAAAUAGUACAGUUUAUUCUUUAAAAUUUCUUCUAUUUCACUAUUCAAUAGUUCUGACCCCACUUCACUAAAAAUUAAAUAUCUCAUUGUACAGAAUUCUGAUGAUGUUCUUGUUUAUUUCUCUUGAAAAUAGACUCAUUGAGUUUACAAAUCAUAAUUAUUUUUGCACAAUUUUUAAUGAUUUUCCAAAUUCGGAAUUGGGGAUUCUAAAAUCAUUCUGACCUUGUCUCACUAAAAUUCAAAUAUCUCAAAAUAUAUAACUCUUUUGCUUACUCUGUUUCCUUUAUAUGAAAACAGACUCAUUGAACUUCUAAUUCAAUUUCAAUCAUUUUUAGUGAUUUUUUCAAACUCACAUAACUAUUGUUAUCCUAAACUAUUUUGUUGUUAAAUUUACUCUUUCAUAAUUUCAUUACUUCAUUUCAUCGUACCAAAGGGUCGAUUAAAUAUCGAGUACAUUGUUCAUCACAUAGUCUUAUUAGAUUACACUUAAUCAUUACGUGAUCACAUGUAUUUUCAAUUAGUUAGUUUCCUGAUGAACACUUCAGAGUAAUAACAGUUACACGGUGGAUCAGCACACAGCACCACACUUAUAGUCAAUGAUACUCGGUGGAAUCAGCACAUAGCAACCACCUUUAUAAUCAAUGAUACCCGGUGGAAUCAGCACAUAGUAACCACCUUUAUAAUCAAUGGUACACGGUGGAAUUAGCACAUAGCAACCACUUUUAUAAUCAAUGAUACCCGGUAAACAUAGUAGCCUGCACAUAGUACUACACAUGUGACCAUUACUCUCACUUUCACAUAGUGGCCUGCACACAGUUCGUGCCACACAUGUGAUCAUUACUAUCACUUCAUUCGUAUCUUUUCUAUUUCGGAGGUUCAACCGGGAAAUUUCUCACUUUUUCUCACUUUUCUUUUUCACUAAUCAAAGUUAAUUUCUCAUCUUUCUUGAUUUAUAAUUACACAUUAAACUUAUAAACACUCACAUUAUUCAAUUUGGUCCAAAAAUCACACUGUGGUUAAAAUUACAAAUUUUCCCCUAAAGUUUCACAAAAUUACGAUUUUGCCCCUAAGCUCGUAAAAUAAUUUUAUUCAAUUUCCUCGCAUUUUAGGCCAAGACAAACCAUUUUUGUAACUAUAAUAGUCCAUAAUUUUCACUUAUUCACACACUUACACGCAUUUUACAACUUUUUACAAACUAGUCUUUUUAUGCAUUUUCAUCAAAAAUCACUUAAUAAAACUUGUUUAUCACACUCCAUACAUUCAUAUUCUUCCAUAAAACAUCAAAAUACAUGCAUGUCAUCCACCGUUAAAUUUUGAAACACAAACCCUAGCUUAAAAUAACGGUAGAAAUAGGUAAAUCGAGCUACGAGGAUCUAAAAAAUGUAAAGAACAUUAAAAACAGGGCAAAGACGAGCGUACUGUAAAGCUUGAAAGCUUGAACAAAACCCUAGCCAUGGCUUCCAUGACAUGUCCGGCCAGCACCCAUGGAGAAGAUGAUACAAUUUUGGCCUAUUUUGUCUUUUUAAUUCAAUUUAAUUACCAAAUUACCAAAAUGCCCCUAACUUAAAAAAAUCCUAUUUCACUUACCUCAUGUCCAUUUUUGUCCACAAUUUAAUCACUGGUCUAAUUACGAUUUAAGGACCUCCAAUUUAAUAUUUCAUAAUAAUUGGACAAUUCUAACAUAUAGAACUCAACUUUUGCACUUUUUAUAAUUUAGUCCUUUUGAUAAAUUAAGUGCCCAAACGUCGAAAUUUUCGAACUAAAUUUUCAAAAAAUCAUUUCGUGAAAGUUUAGAUCAUAAAAAUAUGAUAAAAAUAAUUUUUUUCUCGUCAGAUUUGUGGUCCCGAAACCAUUGUUCUGACUAGGCCCAAAAUUGGGUUGUUACAUACAGCCCUAGAUAUGAAUUCCAAACCUGACCCAUACACCCAUAUGGUCCCACACGGCCUAAUACACGCUCGUGUUGUCUGCCUGUGAGGUCCUAAAUCACAAACAGUAAGUCACAUGGCUUGAGCACACACUCGUGUCUCUUACCCGUGUGAUCUUUGAAUCACAAAAAGUGAGUCAUACGUCUGUGUCUCUUGACCGUGUGAUCUCUAAAUAAAAAACAGUGAGUCACACGGCCUAGACACACGCCCAUGUCUCUGGCCUAUGUGAACCCUGCAUUAACAUGCCCACAAACAGCCUAAGUACAAGUCUGUGCCUCUUGCCUGCAUGGCUCAAAUUUGGUAAAUAGUGUGUUACACGACCUAACACAUGAUCGUGUGGCGCACACGGACGACCACACGACCGUGUGGUGCCAAUAGACACAUUUUUUGGCAUCUAAAAUUCGCAAAAAACUCAGUUAACCAAAGUGAUAUUUCAACAUCGAUCGGUUAACCAGAGUGAUGGGCAUCAGAAGUAACUAAUAUAAAUUCCUACAACAAAAUAACACUAAAUAGCAGUAUAGAGUAGUAGGGUCAAAUCCAUAGAGGUUGGUUAUCUAAUUUAGACUUUUCUUUGGACCAAAAUUAUUGUCGCGGCAACAGUCGUGCCCAUGACCUAUGCAUUGCAAAGUUGAAAAUUAAAUAAAAAAUGGGGGUUUAGUUGAUAAAGAUAAUAAAAAAUAUAAAAAAAGUAAAAAAAAUUGUGCUUGCAAAAUAAAUUAAGUGAAUUAAAAUAAACUAGUGAAUUAAAUUUAUUAAAGCUUAUCCUCAGCCUCAGUACACUCUGAACUUGAACCGAUCCUUAAAAAAUGGAUUUUCCCUUCCAAGCGAUAAGUUGGUUAUAGCGAUUAAGGACACCUCAACCGCUAACUUUUCCUUCUAUAGUCGGUUUAGAUAUGACUUGUAAACCACUCGUUGCCAAAUUUCUAACAACGUAACUCAUGCCCAUAAAUUAAGAUAUCAACAACCUUGGGAUCUAAAAAACCUAACUUGAAUCAACAGCAUCUAUCGCAUGGGUCAUUUAAAUUUGAUCAUUCUCUCCCUUAACGGAAUCCAACUGGCUUUUUCCAAUUGAACACACCAGUUUGUUCCCAACUGGACGCCAAACAACUCUAACCCAACGCGCGCUUAUUGAAUUGAAAUUGAAUUAACUUUAGGGGACAAAUUUGUACUAUCCUAUAUAUCUGCAAGAUAGCGAUUACCAUAUUGAAAAGUUUUUAGUGUGGGUGCAUAUCUCACAAUUAUUUUGUCGAAGCGAUAAUUGGGCUAAAGCUAAAAUGAAAUUAAUUGAGCUUGAAAUUAAUCAUGCUGGUUGGUAUAUGGAAAUGAUUUUUAAUGGAAAUGGUGGAAAGUGGAAAGGGAAAAGGACUUGGGAAGCAAUUUAACCAAAGUAUUGAAAUGGAAAAAGAAUGACAGAAUGCAACUUAGUUUUGACGCAAGAAAGAAGAAAAGAAAUGAAUUGAUUUUAUUUCACAAUCCCAGUGUGUCUUUUAAAGGCCACCAACAAUAAAUAUUUAUACACAUUCUCCAUGUUAAAUUUAGCAAGAUUUUUCCUAAAAAAUAUCAACUAAAAAUCAUAUUUAAACUAUUUAUAGAAUUUUGACAAUUUCAAAAAUCUAAUUUUAACUAGUCAACCUCUAAUUCUUUAAUUUCUUCAAUUUGGCCCUCAUCUUUGCUUUUCAUUCCAAUUUAGCCCUUUUUUUAUUUUAAAUUUCAGCACUCCAAUUUCAUCCUUAAUAAGAAAACAAAGUUUAGUAACAUUUUAUUCAAAACUUAGCUAAAAAUAAAUACUUAAAAAGCACAAAAUUAACUUGCUAUCACAGAGACUUUGUCACAUAGAGAAUUUCUAACCUUUUUCAUAAGAUGAAUGUCAUUUUCUCCAUCAAAGUUUCCUUCUCAAGAUCGGUCUAAAUCAAAAUUGUCAUCAUCCAAAAUUUCCACUGAUUGAAUUUUGUGAUGCCAUCGAACUUAUCAAUAUCAAACUUUGUUGCUAUCAAUAUCAAACCAUCUGAAUGGGUUGAUUGCAAAAAUCAAAAUAGCUUUGAUACCAGUUUGUUGGGGAUAAACCCAGUUAAACAACGAACAAGUAAAAUAACAAAAAAAUUAAAAAUAUCAAACACAAAUAUUUUGUGAGAAAAAACCCCUCCGAAGAGGAUAAAAAAUCACAGACAGAUAAUUUCACUAAAACAACAAAAAUAAAGAGUACAAAAUAUGGAGAUAAAACAAUAAGAACCCUCAACAUGUAAACAAAAAUUCUCUAAAAGCUUGUAAAAGCUAAUACCUAAAUGUGCAAUGAGUUAUUUUUCUAGGGUGGAAAAACAACCUAUUUAUAGGCUAAAUUCGCAGGUCAUAAUAUUAAAAUAACCUACACUAAUAAGAGUUUAAGUGGGAAACUAAAAACAAUGUUUAACUAGAAAAGAAAAGCCAAAAAAUACGAGGCAUAACUCCACAUAUAUUAACUUACUAUAAAAAAUAUUUUUUUUCAUAAAAUUAGCACAACUUUUGUUUAUGUCAAAGGUUUUUUAACUAAUAAUUGUAAAUCGUAAUUAUAUAAUUAUCACAACUUUUUUCUCUAUAUUUAUGCUUAUAUUUAUGCUUAGAGUUCUAUUUAAGUAAUAACUCAAUUAUGAAAUUAGCACAACCUUUUUUAACUAAUAAUUGUAAUUUAAAUUAUAAUUAUUUUUUAAAUGUGUAGUUAUCACAACUUCUCUUAAAUUAUAAUUACUUGUAAAUGUAUAAUUAUCACAACUAUUUUAUUUCAGUUUGUUACUAAUAAUUCAAUGUUUAAAUGUAUUGUAACGCCCCAAAAAUUUAAAUGUUUGACUGUCGUAUUCUAUCAUAAUUAAUUUUCUAUAUUGGUGGCUAUGUGCUUUGUGUUUAUGUUUAAGGUUAGAGGUUCGAGCUGAGUUUUAAGGAAGUUUUACUCUUUUGUUUAAAAUAAACCUCUACUCUUGAGCCUUUGAUUCAAAUCUUUUUCCUUGCUAAUUUAUGUUAAGAAUGAGCUUGUUUGUUCACUGGUUAAGAAUCUAUCUACUCUUUAGUGUUGAUGUUGGGAGUUACAAAACUUUUACUCAAUGUUAGAAAUCUAUUGGAAGUUAAAUUAGAUUCUACAACUUUAUUUUUUUUUCUUUUCUUUUCCUUCUCCCAUUUCCUUUCCUUUUACCACUCUUUUAUUUUUUUUUACGUUUUUCUUCUUUCUUUUGAUUUUUCCUUCUGAUUGUGUUUGGCGAGUGGUUGUCGAAAAUAAUUGAGGGUGCUAAGUUGUUCGAUGCGUUGUUAGAAGAUCUCUGUGUAAGUUUUGCCAUUAUGUCUUAUGUUUCUGCGAAGUUCUGUUGGUUUUCGCUUGUGUAUUUAAAUUGAGAUUGCUCUAACUAUUUCACUCAAAUUCUCUAUUAAAUUAUUGUUGGUCUUUUCCCUUUAGGCCUGAAUACCGAGGAAAGUGGUCAUUUACAUGCUGUUUUGAGUUAGUUCUGUCAAUUUGCCGAUAAGCAUUCAUUUUUUUGAAGUUUCACAUCGAGCUUCUUGACAUUAAUGUAUGUGAUUUUCAUCGAUUUAGUUGUUUGAUUGGUUGCUGGAUGAAAAUUAGGUUUCGGGAGUUCUCUGCGCUCUUCCUACGUCAACACAUUAUCAGGUGUGUACCGAAAACCUGACUUUAGUGAAUUUUAGAUGUCGAAAAAAAUAUGGCUAUCAACGCCACAUGACCGUGUGCAGGCCAUAUGAACCACACAACCGUAUGAUAGGUUGUGUGGCAAACCGUGUCACCCACUGUUCUUGAAUUAGAGACACACAGGCUAAGGACACGGACGUGUUUUUCGGCCGUGUGUACGAAUGUUUAGCACAGGGUUUACAUGGAAUAAGGACAUUGGUGUGCCCAGGCCAUUGAUGAUCACUAAACUAACUAUAAAUAUGACUAAGGUAAGCACACCUAUCAAACAAUAGUAUAGUUAUGGUGUGUAGGGAAUAUCAUAUCCACGACGACUAAAAAAACUAGUAAUUAUCAUUUUUCUAUUAUUUAGCCGACAAGUUGGGGUGAUUAUUUUUAAUCUAAAAUUACUAAACUAAUCUAACUAAGAACAUAACAGAGAAUGAAAUAAGAAAAUAAUCAAAGAUAACCAAUGAGAUAGACAAUACCUAGGAAAGAAUCCACCUAGAGUUCACCUAUUAUUAUGAAUCUAAAUUAAACGAUUUAUUCACUUGUGUCUUGAUUCGUAGAAAUCCCUAAAUUAUGUUAAUCUCUCUUUCGAGAGUAAGAACAACUGACUCUAGUUGAUUAAUUGAAAUCUCUUCCUAAUUAAAACCCUUAUUGUCGCAUUAACUGAAUCUAUGGAUUCCCUUAUUAGAUUUGACUCUAAUCUUGUAGAUUUAUGUCGUCCUAUUUCUAGGAUUGCAUGCAACUCCACUCAAUUAUGCUAGAUCUACUCUUAAAUAGGGACUUUUGCUCCACUGAAAUAAGUACAUUAAACAUAAAUUAAUAUCCUGAAAAUAUUAAAACACAAAAUAAGCAUACAUAAUUGAGAACAAGAAUCAAGUAUUUAUCAUGUAAAUUAAAAAUCAAAUAAUAAGAUUCAUCAUAGGUUUCAUCUUCCCUAGGUAUCUAAGGAAUUUAGUUCAUAAUCCUGAAUAGAAACCUUUCAAAGUUAGGAUAACAACAAGAGACAAAGAAACUUAAUAAAACUUCGAAGGAAAUUAAAUGGAGGUCUUCAAUCUUGAAGGAGAUCCACUUCUUAGGUGAUUCUAAUGGCGUUCUUCGAGUCUUUUCUUCGAUGUUCUCUAUGUGUCCCCUUAGGUCUUCUUCUAACUGGUAUUUAUAGACUUUAGAAUGCUCAAAAAGCAUAAAAAUUGGGUUUUUCCACGUAUUUGGGAAGCAAGGUGCAAUAUCGACACGGGCUGGCACAUGAGGGUAUGGCUAGCCCCUAUGGCUCACACGGGCAUGUGGCCAACCCGUGUGGAAAUGCCCAGGUUGUAUGGAUCCUGGAAACAACUCCAUUUGAUCAAUUUUGGCUCGUUUUUUGCUCCUUUCACUCCCAAAUGCUCUCAUAAGUAUAAAAACAUGAAUUUAAAUGAUUAAGAGCAUCAAAUUCACUAGUUUACAUAAUUAAUCAUCCAAGAACUCAUUAAGAAUGAGAAUAAAAUAUGUUACUUUUAUAGCUUAUCAAAUAUCCCCACGGUUAAGCAUUUGCUUGUCCUCAAGCAAAACCUUAACUUACAAUUAAAAUUAAUUUUUCCCAACUCAUAAUUCUCAUUAAUAAUGUUUCGUCAUAAUUCACAAAUAAUCAUACAUUGAUAAUCAACUAAAAGAGUACUAAAGAUUCAAACAAUCCAAGUCAAACAUUUUUAAAGCAUGAAAACAUAAGUAUUUCCCGUUAUCCAAGUAAUUACAUUAAAUUCAAAAUCGACAAGGCUUGACAUCCUCACUAAAGAUUCACUCAAAUCACUCAAAGUGGUUAAGGUUCAAUAAUAAGCACUCAAUAGUCAAACAUGAAAAGUCAUUACCAUAGGCUUGCAUGAAAAUUAAAUCUCCACCACUAUAAAAUGAUAUGAUACACAAAUCAAAAGGUCUUUAAGAGGUUGUAAUGGGGCUUAGGUUGAGGUUCUGGCAGAAGGCUGAAAAAGUUUGUUAAAAUCGAGAUCGAAUUGAUAAAUUACCAAACUAGAAAAGUAACAAAUGUUGAAUUAAAAACAAGUACAUAACUCAGGAACUAUUCAAGAAUAAGAAAACGAGCUUCUUCUCAAAAUAUGAAUUUAACUGUUCAAGCUCAAUUAUAGAACUAAGUAAUAAUCAAUAUAUAUUUUUGAUUUUUUCUAUUUUUUAAUUAUUUUUUGUAUUUUUUUGUAUAUAUAUUUUUUACAAUAAGAAAUAAUUCAACAAAUUAAACAAAAUAGCAUAGUUAGGCAACUAACGAAAUCAAAUCUUGACAAAAAGGGAGUGAAUAAAACGGGAAAAAAUUUCAACGAAAAGAAAAAAAAGAGUUAUGGGUUAACAUUGAUGAAUAAAUCAAGAAAUUGUGUGUUAGGCUCAACGGGUUUCAUUAAGGGUUAAUUAUGUAGGUAGGCUUUUUAUGGGGUAAGUGGGUUAAAACCUAAGUGCCUUUUUAAUCUCAAUAUAUCAAAUCAAAUGUGUGGUUUCGACAUGUAUAAUCGACGCAAGUUCUAGAAUAACAAAUCAAAAUUGACAUGCUUAUAACCAAUAAUAAAAUGAGCAAGAAAAAUGUAUACUCUAAACGCUCAAAAUCUCACAAAAAAUUAUGGUUUUUGAUGCCAAUCUUGCAAAUUUAAAAAUUCAAGAUAAUACCUCAAUUCAGAGAAACAACCUAAAAUUUUUAAUUCUGAAAAUAAACUUAUCAUGCUUGAUUCUUUCAUGUCUUAAAGUUUAAAACAACCAAUGCACAAACAUCUAUGAAUUUAAUCUAAAACACAUUAAUAAAAUCACAAAUUGAUAAAAAUUGAUUCUAAUAGAAGUAUGAGAAAAUUACAUAAACACAAGACAUAAUUCAGGGAUUUUCUAAUAAUUUUAUUUACCUCUCCACACUUAAGAUGUACAUUGUCCUCAAUGUACAAACACAGAUAAUCACUGUAUAGAAAAUAUCAUAAGAGAGGGAGAAAACUGAAACUGCCAUUAAUAUUGGAUGAAAUUGCCAAAAUGGUGAAAAGCGGAAUUGUAGACAAAUCUAGAUGUAGUGUAUGAUUCCGAGCAAACUAAUAAGAAAAUAAACACAAAAUAGUGAAGAUUAAGGGGUUAUAACUUGAUUAGAAACAACCAUAAAAAUAUAUUUAAAAAAUAAUAAUUAAAAUAAGUUUAAGAAAAUAAAUAAAAAAUAAAGCAACUAAAACAAAAUUAAAAUGAAAAAUGAAAAAAAUAAAAUGAAAUAAUAAUAAUAAUAAUAAUAAUAAUAAUAAUAAUAAUAAUAAUAAACUCAAUGAUACCAAUAAACUUAAAGGUAAUUGUAAUAAUAAUAAUAAACUAAAAAUAAUAAAAAUAGAAAAAAAAUUAAAAUAAAUUUAAAAUCUAAGUAUAAGAAUAAUAAAUAAAUAAAAUAAAAAAUAGGAAAAUAAAAAUAAAUAAUAUAACAAAUAACAAUAAAUAAUUAAAUUAAAUUAAAUUAAAAUAAAAGGGGUAGCUUGGUUGGGGAAGAAGAAAAAGACAAAUUAAGAAAGGAAUUCUAGGGUUUGGGCCACAAGGCCGUGUGACACGGCCGUGUGGAGUAUUUUCAGCCCGUGUGCAAUUAAAAAUUAACCCAGUUUUCGCAUGGCCAUGGACAUGCCUGUGUGUCCAGCUCGUAUGGUACACACAGCCAUGUGCCAGGCCAUGUGUGUUUUCCUUCGCUUCUCCCACGUCCAUGUGAGAUCCCACACGCCCGUGUGGCUUGGCCGUGUCUCUCACACAGCCGUAUCUCCUACCCAUGUAACUCUCUGACUUUGAAAAAAAUUAGCUCCAAGUUUCACACAGCCUAGGAAAUGCUCUUGUGUCCAGGCUGUGUGUGUCAUUUUAAGCCGUCUAAUCGUCAAAUUUUUGAAAAUUUAAGUCCCAGUAUCCAAACGGCCAAGAACACGACCAUGUGUCUAGGCUGUGUGGGUCACACGGUCAUGUUGCCAGGCCAUGUAACUCACUGUUGAACCCUUUAUAGUGCAUACGGCCUGGGACACGCCCGUGUGUUUAGGUUGUGUAGGUCAAAAACUUUUUUUUUAUUUUUUAAAAAUUUUGAAAAUUAAUUAGUUUUAAAAAUAACAUGAAAUAAAAUUAAAAGAAUUAGCAGUGUUAACACUCGGGUUGCCUCUCGGGAAGCGCUUAUUUAAAGUCUAAGCUUGACUUACCUCGCAUUCGCACUGCCACAGUGGUUUGUGGAGUCGAAACUCCUCUUUCUCAUUAUCAAUUCUAUUACCAACAUAAGGUUUAAGUUGAGUACUAUUUACCUUAAAUGUGCCAAAUUUAGAAUGAGUUACCUCGAUUGUACCGUAUGGGAAGACAUUCAGUAGCAUAAAAGGAUUUGAUCCUUAUGCAUUAAGCUCCAAACUGGCAAUUCGAGGAUUCGUUUUAUCUAGAAGUACCUUGUCUCCAAAGAAAUUUGAUCCACAUGGUUACUCAUAUUAACAGAACUUGUAAAAUCAUCUCGAUCAUUAGAUGUCUUAACAGAAUCAUUGGAGAGUAAUCGUUUCAUUACUUACAUGAAGUACUAAUUCACUUGUACCAACAUUAAUAAUAGUUCUAGCAGUUGCUAAAAAGGGUCUUUCUAAAAUUAAAGGUACUUCAUUACCCUCAUCCAUGUCUAAAACAACAAAAUCAACUGGGAAUAUGAAUUUAUCAAUUUUUACAAGAACAUCUUCAAUAAUGCCCCUAAGAAAUCUAAUGGUUCUAUCUGCUAAUUGAAUACUCAUCCUAGUUUGUUUGGGUUUCCCAAGACCUAAUUGUUCAAACAUUUUAUAGGGUAUGGCAUUAAUACUUGCCCCUAAAUCAGCCAAAGCAUUAUUAAUAUUCAAACUACUAAUUAAACAAAGAAUAGUAAAUAUCACUGGAUCUUUCAAUUUUUUAGGUAGUUUAUUUUGCAAAAUGGUUGAGCAAACUGCAUUUAGCUCCACAUGCUACGAAUCAUCUAACUUCCUCUUAUUCGCCAAAAGCUCCUUUAAAAAUUUAACAGAAUUGUGUAUCUACGAAAGAGCUUCAAUAAACGAUAAGUUAAUAUGUAAUCUUUUUAGAAGUUUAAGAAAUUUAACAAAUUGUUCGUUCGUGUGGUCUUUCUUCAUCGCGUUAGGAUAUGGCACUCAAGGUUUAUAUUCCUUACUGACCAGUUUUUGUUUGUUCUGGCUUACCUCGACCUUACUAUUACUUACCACACUUUCUUACUUUGGUUCUAGUUCAGAUUUAAUGAACCCUUCUUCUUCUCUCACAGUAAUUGCAUGAACCUGCUCCCUCGGGUUAGUUUCGAUAUUGCUAGGCAAACUACCUUGUGAUCAUUCUGAAAUUAACCUAGCAAGCUGGCUAUUUGAUUCUUGAGCCCUUGAAUUGACGCUUGUUGAUUUUUAAGUGCUGCUUCAAUGUUUUGAAAGUGGGUUUCUGAAACUGAGAUAAACUUCGUCAACAUCUCCUCAAGGUUCAACUUCUUAUCUUGCUGGUAAGGUUGUUGUUGGAAGCCUGGAGGGGGUUGCGCUCUUUGGUUUCCUUGACCACCUUAAGAGAAAUUGGGAUGGUUCCUCCAACCUACAUUAUAAAUGUUAUUGUAAGGAUUAUUUUGAGGCCUAGAAUUAUUAACCAUACAGUUGAUUUGUUCAUUCUCUGUGCUAGGACCGUAGGGUAAAUAUUCUAGAUUGUUCAUUCCUCCUCCAUUCAUAUCGCACUACAUCACGUGAUGUACCUACGUAGAAACACAUAAACCAUCAAUUUUUUUAUUUAAAAGUUCUAACUAAUUUGAUAACAUGGUAACCGUAUCUAAGUUAAAAACACUGACUGUUUACAUUGGUUUUGCCCUCAUGACUUGCCAUUGAUAAUUAUUCAGUGCCAUCUCCUCUAUAAAAUCAUAAGCCGCUUCAGGUGUUUUAUUGUUCAGAAUACCACCGGUUGUUGUAGCGAUCAACUGUCCAGUUGAGAGAUUCAAACCGUUGUAGAAGGUUUGAACUUGAAGCCAUAGAGAUAACCCAUAGUGAGGGCACCGUCUCAAUAAAUCCUUAUACCUCUCGCAAGCAUCAUAUAAUGUCUCUAAGUCAAUAUGAACGAAUGAAGAAAUAUCAUUCCUUAACUUGGCUAUCUUAAUCGGUGGGAAGUACUUCAAUAAGAAUUUCUCAAUCAUUUGUUCCCAAGUAGUGAUAGAACCUCGUGGUAAGGAAUUCAACCACUGUUUAGCUUUGUUCCUCAAUGAGAAAGGGAACAAUCGUUGGUGAAUCACGUCAUCAGAAACACCAUUAAUCUUGAAAGUGUCACAGACUUCUAGAAAAUUAGCCAAAUGAGUAUUUGGAUCUUCAUCUUGCAAACCAUCAAACUAAACAAAUUGUUGUACCAUCUAAAUAGUGUUCGGCUUUAGUUUGAAAUUGUUCACAGCAAUGGUGGGUCUCACAAUACUCUAUUCAGCCCUAGUUAGAGUGGGCUUGGCAUAAUCAUAUAUAGUACGAGGAGCAGGAUCUGGAUUUGCAGCAACUGCAGGAGGUAGCUAAUUAUUCUGAUUAUCACCCAUCUCCUCAAUAAUAAUAUCGUCCUCUUGCUCGUCUACUAUACUCUGUCGACUCUGCCUUGCUUCUCUAUAAUUUCUGCAAGCUGUACUUUCAAUCUCAUUGUCAAAUAAUACUAGCCCCGACAGGUUUCUUCUAUUCACAAACUAAAGGAACCUGCCAGAAGCAAAUAAAAGAAAAAUUAGAAAAACAAAAAAAUAAAAUAAAAAUAAAUGGCUAAAUUAAUAAAAAUCAAGUGUUCCUAAUAUUUUAGUCCCCAGCAAUGGCGCCAAAAACUUGAUGGUCACUAAACUAACAAUAAAUAUGACUAAGGCAAGCGCACCUAUCGAACAAUAGUAUAGUUAUGGUGAGUAGGGAAUAUAGUAUCCACGAGGACUAACAAUACUAGUAAUUACCAUUUUUCUAUUAUUUAGCUGACAAAUUGGAAUGAUUGUUUUAAAUCUAAAAUUACUAAACUAAUCUAACUAAGAACACAACAGAGAAUGACAUAAGAAAAUAAUCGAAGAUAACCAAUGAGAUGGACAAUACUCAGGAAAGAAUCCACCUAGAGUUCACCUAUUAUUAUGAAUCUGAAAUUAACAAUUUAUUCACUUGUGUCUUGAUCCAUAGAAAUCCCUAUGUUAUGUUAAUAUCUCUUUCGAGGUAAGAGCAACUGACUCUAGGUUGAUUAAUUGAAAUAUCUUCCUAAUUAAAACCCCUAUUGUCACAUUAACUCAAUCUAUGGAUUCCUCUAUUAGAUUUGACUCUAAUUCGGUAGAUUUAUGUCGUCCUAUUUCUAGGAUUGCAUGCAACUCCACUCAAUUAUGCUAGAUCUACUCUUAAAUAGGGACUUUUUCUCUACUGAAAUAAGCAUAUUAAACAUCAAUUAAUAUCUUGAAAAUAUUAAAACACGAAAUAAGCAUACAUAAUUGACAAUAAGAAUCAAGUAUUUAUCAUGUAAACCAUAAAUCAAAUAAUAAGAUUCAUCAUAGGUUUCAUCUUCCCUAGGUAUCUAGGGAAUUUAGUUCAUAAUCCUAAAUAGAAACAUCUCAAAGUUAGGAUAACAACAAGACAUAAAGAAACUCAAUAAAAAUUCAAAGGAAAUUAAAUGGAGAUCUUCAAUCUUGAAGGAGAUCCGCUUCUGAGUUGAUUCUGAUGGCGUUCUUCGAGUCUUUGUUCGAUCUUCUCUGCAUGUCCCCUUAGAUCUUCUUCUAAUUGGUAUCUAUAGACUUUAGAAUGCUCGAAAAGCCUAAAAAUUGGGUUGUUUCGCAUAUUUGGAAAGUAGGGUCUGAUAUCGACACGGGCUGGUACAUGGGCCACACGGGCGUGUAGCCAGCUCGUGUGGCUUACACGGGCAUGUGGCUAGCCCAUGUGGAUCCUAGAAACAACUCUAUUUGUAUGAUUUUGGCUCGUUUUUCGCUCAUUUCGCUCCCAAAUGCUCUCCUAAGUAUAGAAACAUGAAUUUAAAAGAUUAGGAGCAUUAAAUUCACUAAUUUACAUAAUUAAUCAUCCAAAAAUGCAUUAAGAAUGGGAUUAAAAUAUGUUACUUUUAUAGCUCAUCAGGCAUGUAACUCACUAAUUCACAAUUUAGAGAUGCACCAGGGACACGGGCGUGUGCCCAGGUUGUGUAACUCACUGAUUCCCAAAUUAGAGACAUACAAUCUAGGGACACGGGUGUGUUCCUAGGCCGUGUGACUCACUGAGUACGCAAAAAGGACCACACAGCCAGAGGACAUGGGUGUGUUCCAGGCCGUAUGAAACACACGGGUGUGUUCCAAGCCAUGUGGAUCCGUGCAAGCCUUGUAUAGUGUUCGUAUGAUUUGAUUUGAAUCGUAUAAGUUGCUAUCUAAUGAUCCAAGACUUAAUAGUUGAGUACCUAAAUGUAUAUUGAAUGCUAUAAUUGUAAUGGUAUUAACCUGUACUAUCUAAAUAUAAAUUGCAUCUAAGCACCAUAUGUACGUUCUUGAUGUCUGACGUCUAUAAUUUGCAUCUACAUGGUAUAGGAAAUGUGUAAAGGAGGAAGUGAUCUAUUCUGGUUCAAUGGCCAAGCUAAAGACUAUACCUGAAUCUAACAUUUUAUCACAACUUGACCUAGCAGCUAGUCUGCAAUCAUAUCAAACGUGUCUACCGAAACUACGUGGUGUGUAGGGCUGGAUGGGUAUUAAAACCCUUUAAUGGUGUGUUGGGUUGGUUGAAGAUGGUGUGUAGCAGAUGGGGUAGGAAAACUGCAUUUGUAUCUAUUAUGUAUUGUUCUGAUCCUGAAUUGUUCUGUCUUCAUCUGAUUUGUUAAUACUGUAUUGAAUAUCCCUUGGUUCGGAAUUUGAAAACGGGAUUGGGAAAUCAUUGUUAUAUUGAUGACUCUAUUUGACUUUAUGUUUGUUUUGUACAUGGAGUUAUCAACUGAUCCUUGUUUGUUGUCUGAAUUUUAGGUAACUCACAGUCUUGAUCAAGUUCGCGUAAUGGAAGCUCGGUCAUUAUGCUAUAUCACCCUUUUUAUAUUAUCAGUAAUUUCGAUAUUUUCUUCGUAUUAUGACAUUCUAAGAUUUUUGAAUUAUCGACUGGGUUUUAAUGAAUGCUUAUAAUCUAUUAGACGGUCUUUAGCUAUGUUCAUAAAAGUUGGUAUUCCUAAUAACAUUAAUGUAACCCUUCAGACUUGAUCUUAACGUCUAGGCCGAGUUUGAGGCGUUACAUGUAUAAUAUUUUUUAUUUGAAUUAUUAGAUAUAAUUAAAAUAUAUUAAAUUAUUAUAAAUAAUAUUUAUAUUUCAUAAAUUGUUUUUGUUAAUGUUAUACAAUUAUAUAUAUAUUAAAUUUUUUUCAAUUUUGUAUUAAGGUAUGCACUUUUAUUUGUUACCCAUUAUAAUAUAUAAUUUUAGGGAGGAUAAAAUUUUAAUUUACAACACUAAAACAUUUAUUAUCACCAUUCAUGUUGGAUUUUUCUAUUUCAGAGUACGAUUCUCAAAUGUUUUAAAUCUUUGCUUGGCUCUCCUUGAGCUUUCAAUUCUCGAGUUUUUUUUAUUUCCUAACUUGGCCUAUAAAUGGGAUUGGAUCGAAUUUUGCAUCCAUUGGAAAUUAAUUGUAGGUUCUAUAAAUGGAGCAAACUGCAACGAAUUAUAGCAGAUGUGGUUGAUGGAGCUUCUUUCAAGGUUAGUAACUUUCUUUCUUUGCUUUUGCCACUAAUGAUUCAUUUAUUUGAUGCAUUUUCUUCAGAUUGUGCACUACUAUGCUUAACUUAUACAUUUUUUGUUUUUACUUCUCUCGAUCAGCCUGGGUUCAUCCAUAUCAUUUAGUUUAAGUUCAACAUCCACAAGGAGCUGCUAAUGCAUACUUAAAACUCAAGGAGCUUUGUUAUCAGAAAAUUUGAUAAUUUUUUAUGGCAAGAGAAGAGACUAAGCUAGUUUGUUUAUUUGCAGGGAAAAUCUGAAGAAGAAUAUGAACAAUUAGAGGGAUUCCAACAGGAGUUGAAAUUGAAGGAUCGAAGUUGUUGACAGAGCAGCAAUGGCAAUAAGGGUUUGUUGGAUUCUGUUAAUAUCCCUUGCUUUCUUUAAUUGUUCUCACUCAAUAAAGGCUUCCUGUUACUACGAUAAGUUGAUCACCUCUUCUUAUUUCGUCUUCAGAUAUCAGAAGAAGAGGAAGGUCAACUAAAGAAGGGUUAAAAGAGCAAAAGGAGAUGUGGAUAAUUAGGGUUACCUUUCUUUUUUAUUAAUAAAUCCAUCGACUUAGCGAAAGAAAGAAAAAACAUUGAUUGAAACAAGUACGAAUUCUUGGGCAACCACAAGACUCCACCUGUGUGACAAACAGAGAAGCUAAAUGCUAUCAAUCAAGAGAAAUUGUUUCGGAGUGUUGGAAACUAGAAAGAUGAAUUUAAUGGAAAAGUUACACUGUCGGUUGUAAUUGUCCUAGACAUUGAACUACUAGGAUUGGUCUCCCAUAAAUGGAUCAUGUCAUCUAUUUCAGAUUCCUCAUCACCACGAUCUUCAAUAACAUUUCCACCUGAAGCUUUAAUCAACUCCAGCUCCAUUGCUACUUGUUUCAUGGUGGGUCUUUUCUUUCCGUUAAAAUGCAAGCAUCUUUUUGCUAGCAAAGCCACAACUAUAAUCUCCUUUUCUGAACCAUCCUUUACUACCAUUGGAUCGAGAAUGUUAAAUAAGGAAUUCUCCUGCAUUGAAUGCAAAAAAUAUGAUACCAAGCUUCUCACUGACUCUGAUUGUUGUACGGAUAUGGGCUUUUGUCCUGUUAAAAGCUCAGUAAGAACAACUCCAAAACUAUAAACAUCACUCUUCUCUGUAAAUUGACUUGACCGAAAAUAUUCCGGAUCCAUGUAUCCAAAAGUUCCUUGCACUCGAGUGGUUAGAUGUGUUUGUUCGAGUGCAACUGAUCUUGAAGUUCCAAAAUCUGAUACUUUUGCCCUAUAUUUCUCAUCCAAAAGUAUGUUACUAGAUUUGAUGUCUCGAUGAUAAAUAGGAGCAGAAGCAGCUGAAUGCAAAUAGAACAAGGCAUUGGCAAUUUCAAUCGCAAUUCCUAAACGCAUUUCCCAUGUCAAUGGUAACCCUUCAUUUUGAUUAUGAAUGAGAUCGUAUAAUGUACCAUUCGGGAUGAACUCAUACACCAAUAGAGGAACUUCAGCCUCUAAACAACGCCCUAAAAGCUUAACCACGUUCCUGUGAUUAAUUUGAGAUAAAAUUAUCACCUCGUUAAUGAACUGUUCAACCUUCUUUUCAUCAAAUUUCUUUCCUUCCACCAUUUUGGACUUCUUAAUAGCCACAAUGCUUCCAUCUAUUAGCAUUCCUUUAUAAACAGUCCCUUGACCUCCUUGACCAAGGAUUCGAUUCUUAUUAUAAUGAUCCGUCGCCUUUUCCAUCUCUUUUGAAGUAAAUAACGUAAGUUUUUCAACAUUUCCUUCAUUGCUAGGCAAAUGUUGUUGCAGUAGCUUUUUGAAGUAUUUCUUCUUCAGAAUGAUGUUUUGUUUUCUUUUGAGGACUUUGUACAUACUCCAUGUUGCGAGUAUUAGAAAUAGUGUCCCAAUACUAGUGCUGCAACCUAUACAGAUAUAAGAAACAUAGUUAAAAGGUAAAUUUGAAAAUUAAAAUACAUGUUAGUAAACCAUGAAAAUGUUUCGAUAAAAUUUUUUCUUUUUUCAUAUUUGAUAGCCCUUCAUUUUAAAUGAACAAUGAGAGAACUUUUACAAAUUGAACAAUAAAUAACUAUUACUGCAUCAUGUAUUCAAAAGUAAAUAUAUCAUUGAUUAAAUUGACAUAAUUCUAUAACCAUAAUGAAUCUACUUUAAAAAACAAAAGGUAUAAAUUUAACACGUACCUACAAUAAUGCUUUCCAGGCUACUAUUACUAGUCUUUUGAGCCUUUGUUUUGCGCUCGCAACGAAAUCUUGUACUAUCGUAUUCAUAACUAGGAGGACAAGACUCCGACGAGCAAUAGUUGCUAGGGGUAUUGAAACAAAGCAUGCGGCAAUUCUGAUAAUACCCACAGUUCUCAUCUGUCAUUUUUGAAAUGAAUAAAAAAGGUUAUAGUCAUAUUAUUGGGUUAAAAUAUCUAAGAGGUCCUUAUACUAUAUGGAUCGGAUCAAAUUAGUCCUUCUAUUAUAAAAUGGAUCAAUUUAAUACUUAUACUAUUAAAAAGAAUCAAAUAAGUUUAAAUUAUUAAAGCAUUAACAUUUACAGUAUAAAAAAUGUCUUGAAUUUUUUCAAAAUCUAUUCUAUUUCAAACAAAAUGUUUCAUUUAUAGAACCAUAAAAACUUUAAAUAUAAUUAACUCUAUUAAACAGUAAGUGUUAAUUAUAUUUCAAUUUGGUCUUCUUUAAUUCUUUCUAAUAAUUCAGGGAUUAGAUUAAUUCAUUUACUAGUAGAGGGAUUAAUUUAAUAAAAUUCCUAUCACAGAAGGACUCUUAGAUACAUUCACCCAUAUAAUCCAAUAGAUAUUAAUUAAUUAAUGCAUGCCAAAAUAGAAGUUAUUUUGGUAUCUAGUUUCAUUUUCGUUUUGUUCGUUCAAAUUAUUCUAGCAAUAUGCAUGGAGAACCUUUGAAAAUAAAAAUUAAAACAUAGAAAAUAAAAGUAAUUCAAUUGGUAUUACUUUUAUUAUAACAAUUAACACCACAUAAGUUAAAAUGUAAUUAAGUGUGUUUUCCAUCAAAUUUAAAAAUUAGAAAAAGUCUUGAAUAGAAGUAGGUAUUAUAUUAAAAUCGAAAAAAAAAAAUAAGUAUGGUAGUUUUGUUUAAGAGGGAUGGAUAAAUUAUAUAUAUAAAAAUUAAAUGUGUAAAAAUCCUUAUAUUUAAUUUUUUUUUUAAAGAAAUCCAAUAAUUGAAUUCCUACGAUUUAUUCGCCACAUCAAAAUUAAUAGCUAUAUACAUUUAGAGCACUAUGGAUGUUUAAGAAUUUUGGGAGGGAUGCAAAACUAAAGUUCUUUCACUCCGUUUUGUAUCUUUUUGUAUCAUUAAUAUUUUGAUAAUUUAACUGUUGCAUUUAAUAUUUUAUUUAUGUAAAUCAUGCAUGUCAAAUUUGACAUAAAUUAAAAAUUUUUAAUUUUUUUAUGAAACGUUGAAUAUAUAUAUGUUAAUAUAUUGAGCAUUGUAGAUCAAUAUGAUAGAGAUGUCAAAUUAGUUCGAAAAUUUACGUGUAUGAUAAAUACAAUUAUAUUAAUAAAUUCAACAAUUGGAUUGUUAAAAUAUUAAUAGUAUAAAGAGAUAUAAAAGGGUGUAAAAUAAAUUUAAUUUUACACCGGUAUAAAUGGAUUACUCCCCAUAUUUUUUAUACAAUUAUUUUUGUAUAUAUAUAUCCAAAAUUUACAUGCUUUAUUAAAUAUGUUUUUUUAAUAAGAUUUUGAAUGUCGAAUCUUCAAUUGAUUAGUAUAUUUUAGUCAUGAUAUACCUCAACCAAUAAUAACUAGAUUAUGGCACACUAACUAUGUGAGUGAAAAAAAAAUUAUGUAACAAUUUAUUUAUUAAAAAAUUGAUAUAAAAAUUAAGAGUUUGAUUGAAAUGGUAAAGUUAAGAUAUUAUCUAUCAUUAUGUCUUUGUUCAAAUUUCAUUAUACUUAUUUUUCUAGAUUUUACAUAAAAUAUAAGAUGAGAAAAAUACUCUCAUGAUAAUAUUUGUUAUUUUAUAAAAGUAUUGGAUUUUCAUAAUUUUUCAAUCGAGUCAAGACUCAGUUGAUGUGUGACACCAACUCAAUUAACCUUUUUAAAAAAUAAUGCUAAUUUAAGGUACACCUAUAAUGUGAGUGGAAAAAAUUAUGUAAUAAACAUACUUAUUAAAAGCUUUUAUAAGAAUUAAAUGAAUCAUUGGUUGAAAUUAUAAAUUUAAAAUUUAUUGUGUGAAAGGGUCAAAUCUCACCAUGUUAGAUUUAUUAUGGAUUUUAUAUAAAAAUGUAAAAAGAUGGGAAUACCCCUAAAAUACUAUAACUUAAUUUGUAGGCAUUUUAAUACUAAUUUUUCAAUUGAGGUAUAUUAUAAGUAAAGAUCAUAUAGAUAUAUUAAAAAAAGUUCCCUAAUAAAACAUUAAUUCGUACCUUUGCAUGACCUCAGUUCAGUAAUACCUAUGUUGCAUGCACAUAGAUGAAUAGAGCUCAACCUCGACCAACAAUAUUCACCAUCGAAUGUACAAGAAAUGUCCGAACUAUCAUUUAACUGGCACACUCCAGAUAUUGGUGUGCCCCAUUGCAGUCUUGUUGGGAUAUGCGUCCUAUUACUUAUAUCAAAAUCUUUGAACUCGGAGGUCAGAUCAUAGUCAGAAGAAAUCAUGGAAGCAAAUCCGCAUGAUCUUUUCUUCUUAUAAUCACUAGAAUCAACCCUACUACUCAUGUUUACGUAGAAUGAACUAAGACCUUGAGGAACAUUAACACGACAACCAACAAUAGAAGAAGCCUUGUUAUUAAUCCUACAACUUGGUUGCAAACAUCCGCUUAUAAAAUUAUCCAUUUCAUUACCGAAAACAGUAACCAAAUUACCGCAACCUGAAGACCAGAAGAUGUUGCCGGAAUCUGAAUAGUAAAAGCGGGUGCCAAUUAGGUUGAGACUCAUCCCAUUGUAAUGAUUUUUUCGACAAUUGAAGUAAGUUAUUGGAUGAUUGACCAUGACGGUGCCUUUGAAAAAAUCAAAGUCUAGUAUUUGCAAAUCCGUGCCAUUUAUGUUUAAGAAAGGCACUUUUUGCCCAUUGACAGUUUUGUUGCAAAUUACGUUAAACCAGUGAUUGGAAUUAUCUUGGUGCUUCAUGCCAAAAGGGUAGAAAAAAGAAACAUUCCCACAGGACUCUACCUUAUAGGUGUUGAAUUCGAUAGGUCCUAGCGCUGGUCUUCCGCAUCCUGCGGGCUUAGCAAAAAGGAAGUAUAUUGCAAAAUCUAUUAAAUGUAUGUUCAUCCAAAGUUUAUAGGAAAUAAAAGCAAUGCAUUAUUCAAAUAUAUACAUAUAAUAAUCCUAAAAGAAGGUACCUAUGAAAAGUGCUAUUCUUAACUAAAAGUUUUAAUUAAAUUUACGUAUUAUUUAUGACAUUAAGUUCAACAUAAAUUUUAUGGUUGAAUUUGAUAUCAUACAAUAUUUCUAAUUAAAAACACUUGCCUUUUAAAAAAAAUCCAAUUCCACUUAAAAGGAAAAUAUCUAUUGAAGGUUUUUUUUUCACACCCAUCCUCUCUUUACAUAAUACCCUGUAAAUUUCAUUCUAAAUAUUAAAUUCUUAAUUGACUAAUAAUUUCAAAAUUUUUUAAUGAACUAAUGAUUCAAUUUUCAAACCAAAUCAAACUUAGAUUUAAAAUAGAAUCAUUAUAACCAAAAUUAUGUAAACUAUGAAAUGAACCGAAAGAUAAUACAAAAAUAAUUAAAUAAAAAUAUGUAUAAAACCAACAUGAACCCAACGGUGUCCUUAAUCUCCCUGAUUAAGUGAAAAAAUUAGUAAUUUAUUUUAAUUUAAUCUCAUUGAAGUAUUAAUUCAAGUUUUUGAAAUACAAAACUUUUAGGUGUAAUUUUUUGAAAAACAAAAAUAUCAAUAUACAAUAUCAAUAUUAUUCUAAACACUGAUUUUAAACAAUUAACAAAAUCUAUGUUUUGACUGAAUUAAAAGAAGAAAAAUAAAAGCCAAGCAAUUGAAGUGACAGCGCGUGACUGACCUGCGUCUCCGCAAUAGGUGGAAUUCCAGUUGAGCACGGAGGGAGCAUGCGUGGUUCCAAUAUUGAUGCCAGUGGGUAAUGGGUAACCACUACGGAAAAAGUCCCUGCUAUAGAUGAAAGCAGAUGCGCAUCUGUUGCUGUCAGGAUACAUGGCUUUCAUGCUUACAGUAUAGGAAGUGAGAUUUGCAGUCAUUUCAGUAAAGCAGCCAGAUUUAGAAGCACCAUCGUCACACCUUGGUUGAACGCAGCCGCCAAGUGAAUCAGCUUCGUCACUUAAAAUAGCAGCCAAAUUUCCGCAACCUACUGACCCGAAAUUAUUCCUCUCACUUGAGAAGAAAAAGGGAGUGCCUGAGAGAUUCACACUCACACUAGCCUCGCUUGUAUGAUCACAAUUAAUGUAAGCAACUGGAUUACUGAUGAGAAUGGCAUCUGCAGAUGUGAAAUCAAGUACCUCCAGAUCGAUGCCAUUUACGUUUAUGAAUGGCUUUUGCCCAUCACGGGUUGCUUUGCAAGUCACUCUAAACCAAGGAAUAGUAUAGCAGCUGCUGUGGAUUCCAAAUGGGGAUGAAAUUGUAAUAUUUCCACAAACUUCUUGUCCACAGGCAGGUUCUUCAAAUUCUGCAGCUUGUAAAAUUGGGCAUAACAGGAACAGGAAGAGGAAGAGGAGUAGGAGGAUGAAGUAAAGCGCUAAGUGAAAACCCAUUUCCGUUGUUUGAGGGCAAUGAAUGAAGAUUUAGAUAGGGUUACUGAAGAAGUCAGGUUUUAAAGAAACAGAAGCAGAGUUAAGUAGCAUUUUCUUUUCUUUUUAAAAUUAGCAGCACUAAGAUCUGAAAAUAAAUUAUAAUUUUUUUUAGAUGUAAAUUUAAUAAUAUGAUAAAAAAAAUAUCUUUAUGUAUUUAAAAAUUUUCUUAAACUCGUAUAUAUUAAUUUUUUAUAUGAUGUAGGUUCAAAAGUAAAGAAAUAAUUUCCAACACUGCUAUCAAAUAAUUGUCCAUACAUUUUAAAGUAGGUAUACAAUUUCAUUUUAAGAUAUCCUAUACUUUAUAAUUCAAUAAACAAAUGAAACUCCGAAUAUUAAAUAAUAUACUGCACAGAUAUUACCAUCUAAAUGCACAUGAUUCAAGAAUAUUAAAUAUUUAAUAACAUACUGCACAUGUUACAAUGCCACCAUUAAAUAUUAAUCCGAUAGUACAAACAAAGGUACACAUACUUCAUAGCUCAUCAUAAUUUUUAAUGUUCGAGCCGUUUUUAUGGACUGUAGUUGGCCAUCACCAUUUGGUCCGCAACAUGUGAAUAUAUUAUCGAUAAAGUAUUGCAGAGGUUAUUAAAUUAUUUUUUCUUAGUAAUUUAAUUAUGAAAAGUUAUAAAAUAGUCAUUUCAUUAUUUGUAAUUAUUUUUGUAUAGUCAUUCAACUAUUUAAUUUAUUUUUUUAUCACCAACCGACUAACGUAAAAUUAGACACAUCAAAAAAUUUAAGAUAGUUGGGUGACCAAACAAAAAUAAAAUUGAAUAGUUGAGUGACCAUUUUGUAUAUUUUCAAAGUUGGGUGAAUAAAAAAAAUUCAUAGUUGGGUGACAACAAAUGUACUUUACUCAUAUAUUAUAUUAUAUUAUAUUAUAUUAUAUUAUACAUGUAAAAGAACCUUAUUUGCUAAGAGUCAAUUUUUUUGACCUCGGUCCCCUCUAUUAGGGGUGUAAAUGAGAUACUAAUACUUGCAAGAUUACUCGAGUUUGAAUCGAAAAAAAUUCGAACUCGAUUCAGUAAUUAUUGAGCUGAGCUUGUGAGUCCUAACAUGUUUUUCAUAUUUUUGUAUUAUUAAGUUACAUUAUUGCCCUUAAUUAUCGAGUUGUAUUCGAGUACAAAAAUUGAUAAAUGAACUUAAUCGAGUUCGAAUUCGAGUUCAAGUAGCUCAAUUAUAUCUCAAGUGAGCUCGAACUUAAUAACAGGUAUUCGAUUGAACUCAAACCGAGUAUCGAGUUCCGAAUUUUAAGUUGAGCUUAACAAUAUUCAAGUUUGACUCAAUUACACCCCUACCCUCUACAUGCUGAUCAAUAUAGCAAUUAUAUCCCCCAUAAAUUGUGCAAUGCACCUCAUUCGCUCUCGUGACAUCUUUUCUAGUUCAGUAUACAUUAGAAAUUUCCAAGAAAGAUUUGCAGAGGAGGACGAUAAAAUGAAAUCUGAAGUUUAUUGACAAUUUCCUCACAAUCAACCUAAAGUUUUCCAAUUCAAAAUCUCAUCACAUACAAUCUUUAUCAUAUGUAAGUUUUUUUUUUCUCGAUUUCAAUAUAUUUUGAAAAACCAGCAAGAAAAAUAAACAAUAUCAAAAUUGUUCCCACAAUAUUUGUGGACCUGCUGCUGUAAUUUCAUCUUAAAUGACUAACUUUAUGUGUGGGGUUUUAUGAUGGGAAACAACUCAGAAACCUUCUUUCAACUUAGUUUUUUUUAGUAAUAAUAAUGCACUUUAGCUAGCAAAACCUUUUCCAUGAUGAAUGCUUUUUCACUUGUUUGCCAACUUACUUUUUUAGCUUUUUGAGACAAACAAAACAUGAUUAAUUGUUUGUUAGACUCGUCUAGUAAAACACGGUUUACGUGAUAUCUCAUAUAUUAUAAUAAAGAAAUUCUGCAAUUUGAUCUGCGUUUGUGCUUUCUUUCUGUUAAAGUAUAACUAAGCUGAAAGUAGCUAAGCUGAAGGUUAAGCAGCUGAAAGUCAAGCAGUUAGUGUGUGCAGUUAGUUUGUUCUAAGUUGUUAGCAUUUCUGUAAACAGCAGUUGAGGAAUAAUGUAUUAUUAUAAAUAUGUAGUUUUAGCAGAGAAUCAAACUAAGUGACUCAUUCAUAAAAUUCAAAGAAUUUUAUUUCUUCAAAUUUAGAUUUGUUCCCGUCAGUUUAUUUUACCUUUCUUUUAGUAUUUCUUUUAUGGUAUCAAUCGCUUCGGUUUAGAUCCUGGAGUCUUGCUCGUGUUGUGCAUUCAUGGCCACCUCCACUGGAUCUGCUUCUGCUAACAACAAUAAUCCACUGCCAGUUCCUAUCAAUUCUGAAUCGGGUAAGAAUCGAUUAAUACAGUGUUUUCCUAGACAUGAUAUUGUGAAACUUGAUGAGGGAAAUUUUAUUCUCUGGCAACAACAUAUCAAGCUAAUCGUUGAAGGUUAUGAACUCACCGGUUAUCUCGAUGGCACUUUACCUACUUCUUCUCGGUUUGUGCUGAACUCGGAGGGUCAACUGGUGUUGAAUCUUGAGGCGUCCUUGUAUCAUCAACAGGACAGGCUUCUUGCAUCGUGGUUGUUGUCCACCACCGGUGCUUCUCUCAUUUCUUGCUUCACGAAUGCCAAAACAGCUUGCGAUGUGUGGACUACUGCAAACUGAUUGUUUGCAGCCAUAACUGGAGCAAAUUUGUCUAGCCUGAAAAACGAGUUACACUUGAUCAAGAAAGGUACGUUGACAGUUAGAGAAUUCUUUUCGAAAAUCCAAAAUACCUGUGAAUUGAUUGUAGCCUCAGGUUACCAGAUCCAGACUCCGAGAAAGUUAAGAUCAUUCUUGCAGGGUUGUCAUCGAAAUAUGAUGCGGUUAUCACUUUGGCAUGUUUUUCUUCUGAGCCUUUGCUGAUGCCGAAACUCUCAAAUAUUUUACUUGAGUUUGGGAGUCGCCAACAACGGUUGGUGUUGGAGUCCUCGUACCAGGAGCAUCUAACCGAGAAGGAUGCUUUCCAUAUCUGACAUCAUCCGAGCCUGUACGUGGUAGUCGUCUUCUAACUGGUGGCCACAGAAGAGGCUUCAAAGGUUUUGUCCAGUGCCAAAUUUGUGGCCGUUUUAGGCACUUGGCAUAGAGGUGUUACUACCGCUUUAAUCGACAGUAUGAUGGACCUCCAGCACCAAUGGCUUGAUCCUCUUAAGAGUAGGCUGCAACAAAGAGACAUGGAUUGCGCUCUAUCGAUGACUAUGGCUCUGUGCGCGAUGACGCGACACGUGAUGGUUUCUUUUCCCACUCGUGGCAUGUUAGAUAGUAUGGUGGGCCUCUGCCGGCACCGAUUUCAUCAUAGGUUUCAUCAUACAGAGGAUGGGGUGUUGACGAUAGGUGGUAUACGGCUAAUGAUUCUAGCAAUAUGAGGGUUUACCCUAGUUCAAAUGGUUAUGAGGAUUUUGGACCAAAUGGGGCUCAUAUGGGUGUUGGUUCGAUUGGUAAUGUUGGGUCUCAUAGAGGUGGUUUGGGUACUCCUAGGUAUUUUGGCACUAAUGGUUGUUCAAGUGGGCCGAAUGCUCAACAAGGAGCCCAUGACUUUGGUGUUAGCCCAAGUGCCAAGCUUGUUAGCAAUAGUAGGCCGUCGUUUGGGCCAUAUCAUGGGCCACGUGUUCCAUGUCUCACAAAACCUCAAUCCCCGUAUUUGUUAUGAGCUGAAUGAAAUUUUAAACACUCCAACAUGUGUUGGGCAUCCUCGGGUUCCUGAUGUACCCAGGUCGAACUUUUCAAGUGGAACUGGGUCGAAUGCUAAUACGUCCCAAUAUGGGUCUGGUUCUGAUAGUAUGACUUCGUAUGUUCCUCUGCCUAUGGGUAAUAUGUCAUAGUAUCCUGACUCGAGGGCUACGCAUCAUGUCUAUAAAGAUGGUUCCACUCUGACUGGGUCUACACACAUUCAGGUACUACUCCUAUUUUAAUGGGUGAUGAGACUUGUGUCCCUAUUAAGAGCAUUGGGUUUUCUACUUUGGCAACGAAAAAUAGGUUACUUCAUCUCUCUCUCUCUAAUUUCUCUCAACUCCUUCUUCUUCCUCUUGCUAUCCUAUCUUCGUCUGGCCUAAAGAUCCUCUGGUGAUAAAACUGUGUAUUUCAACCCUUCAUUGAUCAAUUUGUUGUGGUAUUCAUUGAUGACAUCUUAGUCUAUUCCAAAACCAAACCUGAACAUGAUGAACACCUUAGAAAAGUCCUAUAAAUCCUCUAUGAAAAGAAACUCUAUGCCAAGUUGAGUAAAUGUGAAUUCUGGCUUACAUAAGUUAUGUUUUUGGAACAUGUGGUAUCCGUAGAUGGCAUCUGAGUAGAUCCUAAGAAAGUGGAAGCAAUUCUCAACCCAAAAAUGUUUCCAAAAUCUGCAGUUUUUUGGCUUAGCAGAGUAUUAUUGUAGAUUUGUUGAAGGAUUCUCCUUAAUAGCAGCUCCUCUCACUAAGUUACUUGGAACCAAUGUUUCUAUUAACUGGACAGAAUAGCAACAAACCAGUUUCAAAAAGCUUAAAAUUGUUCUAACUGAAGCACCUGUGUUAAUUCAACUUGAAUCUGGGAAAAUUUUUGUGGUAUCCAGUAAUACUUCCUAUUGGCCUUAGUUGUGUGUUAAUCCAAGAUGGUAAAGUGGUAGCCUAUGCGUCAAGACAGUGGAAAACUCAUGAAAGCAAUUAUCCAACUUAUGAUCUAGAAUUGGCUACAAUAACCUUUGCCCUAAAAAUCUAGAGACAUUACUUGUAUGGGGAGAAAUGUUACAUCUAUACUGAUCAUAAAAACCUUAAAUACCUUAUUACCCCCCGAAAAAAAUUGAACCUUAGACAAAAAAAUGGUUAGAAUUGUUGGAAGAUUAUAAUUGUGUGAUUGAUUAUCAUUUAGGAAAGCUAAUGUUGUGGCAGAUGCCCUAAGCCGAUAGUCGAUGACUAAAUUAAGAGCAAUGUUUGCAAGGUUAAGUUUGCUUGAUAAUGGAAGCUUAUUAGCUGAAUUGCAAGUGAAACCUACUCUUACUGAUGAGAUCAAAGCUAAACAACCUUUAGACAUAACCUUGUUACCCCACAUAAAGUAGAUAGAAGAGGGUAAAAUCAAAGAUUACAUGUUGAAUGAUAAUGAAGUAUUGUGUUUUUGAGGAAGGUUUUAUGUGUCGAAUGAUGAAGAAUUAAGAUAAACCAUACUUCGGGAAAUGUAUGCUAGCCCUUAUGACAUCCAUAUCGGACGAACAAGGAUCUAUCAAGACAUGAAGGAGUUAUGUUGGUGGCUAGGUAUGAAAUGAGAUAUAAUAGAUUUUGCGGCUAAGUGUUUGACUUGCCAGCAAGUGAAAGCAUCAGUUUCCUUUAGGGUUAUUACAAGCUAUUAAAAUUCUACAAUGGAAGUGGGAGAGCAUAACGAUUGACUUUGAUAGUGGGUUACCCUUAACACCCACUAAGAAAGAUUUAAUUUGGGUGAUAAUGGAUCGGUUAACUAAGUUAGCUCACUUCUUACCAGUUCACAAAUAUUAUUCCUACAAAAGUUGGCAAAGUUGUACAUCUUUGAGAUAGUAAGAUUGUAUGAACACCUUUGUCUAUUAUUUCAGAUCGAGAUCCUCGUUUACAUCUUGAUUCUAAAAGAAGCUACAAGAAUUGUUGGGAACUCGCUUAGAUUUUAGCACUGCUUUUCAUUCGUAGUCUGACGAUAAAUCCGAGUGAGUAAUCCAAAUUCUAGAAGAUAUGUUGAAAGGAUGUAUUAUUGGUUUUUGAGGCGAUUGGGAAGAUCAUUUACCUUUAGCCGAAUUUUCUUACAAUAAUAGUUUUCAAGCAAGCAUCCAAAUGGCUCCUUAUGAAGCUUUCUAUGAAUGAAAGUGUCAAACUCCUUUAUGUUGGACAGAAUUGGGAGAAAGAAAAAUUCUAGGUCCUGAAUUAGUUCAAGAGUUCGAAGGAAGAAUAAAGUUGAUACGUGAGAAAUUGAAAGUAGUUUUGAUAGACAAAAAUCUUAUGUAGAUCUUAAAAGAAAAUUUAUCGAAUAUAAUUUAGGAGAUCAAGUCUUUCUAAAAGUAUCUCCAUAGAGAAAGGUGGUAAGGUUUGGUUGAAAAGGGAAACUCAGUCCUUGCUUCGUAGGAGCGCACUGAAUCCUUAAACGAAUUGUUUCUAUGGCUUAUCAACUUGAGUUGCCACUCGAAUUGGAUCAUAUCCAAGAUGUCUUUCAUGUAUCCAUGCUAAGACAUUACCAUUUUGAUCCAUUGCAUAUUAUGCCUAUCGAAGAAAUUAAGGUACGACCUAAUUUGUUCUUCAAAAAAGAAAUCAUUCGAAUUCUUGAAAGAGAUGUGAAAGUUCUAAGAAGGAAGCAAAUCCCUUUAGUAAAGGUAUUGUGGCAAAACAAUGGAGUUGAGGAAGCUACAUGGGAAACGGAGGACUCAUUCCGUCAACAAUAUCCUCACUUAUUGGUAACAUGUAAAAGUUUGAGGACAAAAUUUCUUUAAGGAGGGGAGAGUUGUAACAUCCCAAACAUUAUAGGGUUAGAUUUUUAGAAAUUACUAAGAAUUUAAUCCUAGCUUAGUGGUUAAGAGCUUGGUAGAGAGUAUAGAGAACCAAGGUUCAAGUCUCCUAAACUAUAUCUUUUUCCCACCAACCAGGUUCAAUCCACGUCAAGCACCCUUAUAUUUUUUUUAUUUCAACCCAAAUGGGCCAAUUACUCCUAGGUCUCUAAGUUUUGACCUAAUAACUCUAUCCUACCCUUUCCUAUUUUAACUAGAAAAUCCUAUGAGAAAUUUUACCAUAUCAAAGCCCUACCUUUAUAAAAUACCUUCCAAUACUCUAAAAAACUCUAUGUUACAAAUUUAUUCUCAAACCCUUGCUGCCGUAAUUUUCUUUUGAAGUUAUUGAAUCUUUACAAACAAGUCUCAGCUCUUUGUCUUUGCCAAAACCAUCGAAUCCUAUAUUGUUCACCUAUCGGAAAGUCAUCAAGAUCAGUAAGUAUCUCGUUCUCUGUUAAAUAAAAGCUUUCAAUUUUGGAUUACAAUGAGCCUUAAUGAAUCAUUCCAACCGUAAUUUAAUCUUUAGCAUUCUUUUUCAAAACCCUCUCAAAUCUUGAAAACCCUUCAUUGAUCAUCCCAUUUUGUCAAUUGAAAAGCCAUUGUAGGUGUUUGGGUCGAGCUUGAACGUGAGGUAGUCACUUAAGAUUACGAGAAAGUAAGAUGGGUGACAUUUUAUGAAAAAUUGAGUCAAAAUUUGAAACAGCCCAGGUACACACUGUCUACCACACGAGUGUGUAGCCGCCUAUGUGGGUCACACGGUCCCUCACAUGGACAUGUUCCUAGUUUUCCCUUGCAUCCGUGUUUUUCACACGACCUAAAACUUCGUACACAGCCUUGUCACAUGGCUGUGUGGCUUCUGCACCUUCACCCCUACGUAUCACACAAGGCCUGGGGCUUCAAACAUGACCGUGUGGCCCUUGAAACUUAAAAAUUAUAGUUUUACCUUAUCCUUAAUUAUAUUAUAUAAUUCAGUCCCAGAUUAGGGUUUUAAUGGCAUCUAGAGAACUAUAUUUUACAAUUAGGUCCUAGAUUAGGAUUAGAAUGAAUAAAUGCAUGAUUGAACAAAUUUAUGAUUUAAUUACUUAUGAAUGAUGGCAUAAAUCUGUGAAUGAUUGUAUGGUUACUAAUGUGAUAUAAUGUCUUAUGAAUGAUUGUUUAAAUCCGUGAAUGAUUAUAUAUAUUUACUAAUGUUAUUCAUGCCGAAUAAUGUUUCACAUGUUUUAGUGAAUGAUUUAUUAAUUGCCCCAAUUUUUGCAAUGAGAUAGAAUGUUGAAUGAAUUAUUAAAUGAACAAACUAAAAAGAUCGAAUUACAUUGCAUAUGCAUGGGGGGAGGAUAUGAAAGGUGGAAGAACGACAGUUCAUAUUAACUGCAAAAACGAAUUCACAAGCAUAGCAAAUUCCAACUACGACGGUCUUACUGUGAAUAGACCUGCUCAUGGGCCGGGUGCUCAUGGGCCAGGCCACCCAGCCCAAAGGCUCGCCCGAAAAGUGGGAUGGUUUAGGUAAAAAUAUAGGCCCGAAAAUUGGGCUUAGGCAAAAAAAAAGGCUCGUUUAGAAAAUAGAUCUGGCCUCGAGUAAGGCUUUUAUAGCAAGGGCCCGACCUAAAUAUGCAAACAAAAAAAUUGUAGUUUUUUUUUUUGCUAUUUUUAUUAUUUUAUUAUUGUUUUUCACUAUUUUGCUACCAUUUAACUAUCAUGUUGCUACUAUUUUUUUUUUUGCUAUUGUAUAACUCUUGUUUUAUUGUUAAUUUUGUUUCUAUUUUAGAGGCAUUUGCUUGUGAAGUUACACCUAUCUUAGUGUUAUUUAAGUAUACAUAUUUUUAAAAUUUAUUUUAAUUUGUUGAGAAACACUUUUUAAUGUUUUUAGUAUUUUUGAUGUAUUGUAUUUUUUAAAAAAUUAAUAUGGGUCGGGCUGGGCUUGGGUUUUAACAUUUUUAUGGGUUGGGCAAAAUUUUAGGCCAAUUAUUCAGGCCAAGCUGGGCCUGAGCCUAACAAACGGGCCUAAAAUUUUGGUUGGGCCCAACCCAUGAGCACCUCUAACUGUGAACCCAAAGAAUGGUAGAUUAAAACUGCAAUUGUAUUUUACUGGCCAUCCACGAUCCUUCUAACAGCUUUUAUCUACGAGCAGUUAUGGAUCCUCAGCCAAAUGGUAGCUUUUAUCUGCAUCCAUUGAAUGUAAUGAUACUAAGUCCACGAGAUGUAGUGCUUUUAAGUCCAUGAGAUGGAGCAAAAAGGUAGAGGGAGUUUUGGGGAACUCCCUAUUUGGAGCGCUAGUGGUCAGGGGUAGGAUUAACAAAUACUAAAUGAAACGUCAAAAUAAAUGUUGCAUGACAUAUUAUGCAUACUCAUUGAAUAGUACAUGAUGAAACGACUAAACUGAUAAAGGUACAUAUAUCUAAUGUGAAUGAUAUUAUGAAUUUAUAGUUGAUUUGUUCAAUUACCUUCGAAUGACUAUUAGUGUUUUGCUUUUCUAAAGUGACAAAACUGAAUUAUCGUAUUGAUUUGAUUAUUAUGUGAAUGUGAUUAUUAUGAUUAACAUGCAUGUUCGAAUAUUGAUUUGAUUUAUUGUAAAGGGACUCCCACUAAGCUUGCAUAGCUCACUCCUCUUAUUUUCCAUCUUCUUAGAUAACCCAACAGACUAGAACGCAGACUCAACAUGCGGAAGGUCUAAGCUUGUUUUCACCAAUGAUUUAUUAUUAUUUAUUAUUACGAUUAUCAUUUUAUUUUAUUAUAAACCAUGGUAUGAGACAAGUAUUUUUAAUUAUAUCAAUUAGGAUGCAUGCUAUUAAUAGGUAUUUAUGUAGAUGGAAUAAUUUAUAAUUAAUAUUUCUUAUUGAUAAUGAUUUUAGAAUGUUGUUUUAUUAAGUGUUUUUUAACAGGUUAAUUUAUUAUACAAACAUUAUUGAUUUAUUUUUCGUUGCUAAAUUAAUGUUAGUUUUUAAUUGAUUACUAUAAGAUAUUCACUAUUAUAAAACAAGUUUAGAAUUAAGAAUGAAUUAAAAAAAAGGACAAAUUCACCUCGGUGAUUAAUUUAGUCUCUUCAACUCGGGUCUACCAUCUAGGUCGAGUUGAGGUGAUUACAUAUAAUCUUCCAAGCAGGGUUCUUAAAACAUAACAGACCCUAUCACCAAGAAGUAAGCUUACAUAACAUUUCGAUGUACACAUAAUUUAGCAAAGAAUUCUGCAACAACAUUGAUUUCCCUUUUUUGAAACCAUAUCUCUUUAUUAACUUGAAAGUUGAAAGUCUUUGCUAUUGGAAAUGCAAGUAAUCUCAUGUUGGUUGAGAAAAAACUAUUAAGAUGAGUUAAAUAUAGUCUUGUCUUUUACUUUCAUUGAAUACUUGAAGUUAAAGGCUCAACACACAUGCACCGCUUCUCGGUUUGUGUUUGUGGUGGUUUUUUUUUUUCAAUAAAAUUUCUACUUUUUUAUAAAUUAUUUUCAAAAAUUGCAAAAAAUCUUCAGAUUGUUGCAGAAACGUCCGGUUAGUUUCUGGCCAUUGCACUUUUUAUGGAAAUUGACACUACAUAUUAGAAAAUAGUAUAAAUAGCAGACCUUUCUCCUCUUUAGUAUAACAAGAAAAACCACAAUCUCAUCAUUAUUUUUCUCAACUUGUCAAUUUUCUUUUCCAGUCAAAUUUUCCGACCAAAUCUUCAAUUUUUUUUUCAACAAAGGGGUUCAAGUUUCAAGAUUUGUUUUGUCGUCGAAGGAUCUGAUGAUCACUUCUUUGCAUCCGGUGUACCGGACUUGGAGGACGAUCAUGCCUUUACGGUAAGAGAUACAUUUUGAAAUAAAUUUGAAAAAAUAUCUUAUUAUAUUUGCUUCGGGUGAGUGAAGAAGAAGAUGAUAUGUUCAUUCCUUCCCCCACUAACUUAAUAAUAAUAAUAAUAUAAAAUUUUAUGUUUUCCUUUUCUUUUACUUAAUUUAAACCAUAUUUUAUAUUAAUCAAUUUAAUAAACCAUGCUACCGUUCACUAAUAAGUAUAAUGACAUGGUCUAAUUGCUGUUUUAGUCCUUUGGUUCAUUUCCUAAUUAAAAACAUGUAGUAAUUGAUUUUUACUAUUCUUAUAAUUUAGUCUCUAUACCUUAAUUAAUCAGAAAUUUGAUAAAAUUGUCUAUCCAGAAUUCAAUUCACUUACAAUAUAACUUCGUAAAUAUUUAAUAAAAAUAUUUACAAUCUCGGUUUAUGGAAACGGAAUCUCGAAACCGAAUUUUUUCGACAUCACUGGUUUUCGGAUUGUUACAUAUUUUGAAUUUAAAUUUAAAUUUAAUAUUGAUGUAUAUUCUAUAAAAAAAUUUAUGUAAAUGAUAUUCUGUUUUGAUAACAACGAUUUAACAGUAGAUGAAUUUAGAAAAAUUAUAAGUGGAAAAUAUUAAAUUAUAGAACAAUUAAAUUUCCAUUUUCUAUUCGUAUUUAAUUAUUUUUUAGAUUAUUAUAUUUAUAUUUGAAUCAUAUUUUAUCUUUAUGCAAUUAUUAGUUUAAUAUAUUUAUAUUUUAAACUUAAAUUUUAAAGUCUCUUAAAUAAAUAAUUAUUUAUAUUUUGAAUUCAACUUUAAAAAUGUCAUAAAAUUAAUUUCUUUACUAAAAUUUGUAUAUAAAGUAUUAAAUUAAUUUAUUAUAUUAAAAUGUAAGGAGAAUCACAUGUGUAGCACGUAACGCUAAAACUAGUUUAACAAAUAACACCCUUGAAAUAAAAUUGAAAGUGAUAAAUGAGAAAAGGUAAUUAAUUCAAGAUUCAGUCGUGGAAAGUAAAUUCAUGAGAUAGCAAUUGGUGAUUGUGUAUAGGAAAAUUCUCGAGACAUUAAUUAUAAUGUUGGACAAGACUUGAGUUUGGGCGUAAGAUAUAACAAUGGAGGAGCUCAAUGAGAAUAACGAGCAAACUUCUUGGCUGUUCUCGUGGCGGAAUCCUUGUGGAUAACCUUGGUGGGGUACUUCUUUAUCGCUGCAACCAAACAGUGGUCAUAGAGGCGGUCACGAGUUUCGUUGUCGAAGGAUCUGAUGAUCACUUCUUUGCGUCCGGUGUACCGGCCUUGGAGGACGAUCAUGGCCUUAUUGGCUUAUCAUUGUAAAAUUUUGACCAGCUACUGACAGAUAGAUAAAUUAAGUUCAAUUACUUAAUUGGUAAUCCUAUAAAAAAUAUACACAAAAUACCAAACGUGUUGGCUUCUCAAAAUGAAGUAUAGAAGGGUAAAUACACUGUGGAGAACGUAAUAUAUUGACUUCAGCAUUUUUGGGGUGAUUUUUGCGUAGAAAUUGUAAACGAAGACAUUAGUGAUUUUUGCGUGGGUCAGGCUUCUGAUGGCAAUCCGUAAUGACUGGGCAAAAACCAAAUAACAGGUGCAAGACUUUGACUUCCAAACUAAUAAACUUGUUUAAUUUGUUUUCUUUUAUCAGACGAAUAUUAAAAAUUUACCUUUAGUUAGUAUAAUAAUAAUUUUUGUUUUCAAAUUUUAUGUUUUUUUAUCAAUUUAACUAUGAUUCGGUAUUAAAAUUAUAAAAAUAAAAUUUUGAAUAUGUUAUUGUUAAAGAACUAAUAUGUACGAGAAAUAGUUAUCAUUGAAAUAAAAAAACAGGAUAAAAUAAAAAAAAAUUAAAUCAUUACAUGCUUCGUCAAUGUUUCUCGAAAUCAAAUUAGUAGUAUUUUUAAGUCAAAUUUCAUGCUCUUGAACAACAUAUAAAACUAAUAUUACAAAGGCUUGUGAAAUCUUCUGUGAUGUCUUUUUUAGCAAAAAUACAAAAUAUACAACAAGAUUUUCUUUUUCAGACUUAAUUCAAAUUUUCAGUUCAUUUAAAUUAUUUUCAAGCACAAAUUGUAAUAAUCAAUUAUAUUCUUAAUUUUUUUCUUUUCUUAUAACGAAAAAGCCAUGUAAAAAAAAAAGAGGUAAAAAAUAGAGAACCAAUAAUUUUGCUCAAUGUUUUUAUUUUUUUCUAUGUUAUUUAAAAGAAUGAGUAUUGCAUACUUCUAUACAUAUAAUACAAAUAUAAAUUUUGGAAGGUUUAUCGAUUGAGUAUUAACUCGAUUAGCAUGGUCAUUGUUGACAAUGCAAGAGCACGUCUUAUUUAUGGGUUGGGGAGGGGCUAUGGGUAAUCCUAGGCAUUGUGUCUAAUGAGAUUAAUGUUCAAAAAGAAUUUGUUGGAGGGUUUAUAAACAACUUUCCCUCGUUUUCUCACUUUAUUUGUUUUUUAUUUUUAUUUACUUUUAUAUAAUUUUUAUUUUUAGAAAUUUCUAAUUUUUUAAAAGAAUUUGAAAUAUUUAUCAUUUUAAAUAUAAUCUCGAUUAGUUCCUCAUGAAUCUAGUAAACAAUAUAAACUUAAAUGAAAGAAUGAGUGUAAAGAACAAUUUCAAGAAUAGAGUUUAGAAGAAGCCUGAUUGUAUUGAAUUUAAGUGCUGAAUCCUUACAGAGUUUGAGAAUAAUUUCAGCAUCUGAUUUCUCCCCAAAAGUGGAAAACAAGUGCAGGAAUAAAAAUCUAAGACCUAAGAAAAAGGAAAAACUAAAGACUGAAUUAAAGAGAAAAUUAUACAAUAGAAAAAAUGUGUCCUCCACAUGUGUUAAUUGAGCCUAUUUAUAGACUUAGAGUCGUCAUCGUCCUUAACCCUAGGUUAGUUGACGUUCCCGAGCUUAAAGUUGGAUUAUGCGAACCAAAACGCCCUUGACUCAUAUUAGUUUCUUGUACAGAGUUGAUGUCACGACACAACAGGUCAUGUGUUGCAACAUCGAGGCCAACAUACUUUUCUUCAGGGUAUCUUUAAGGGCAUGUCACGACAUCCUCAAGCUAUGUCGCGACAUCGAAGGUAGUCUUGGACUUCUUCAGUUCUUCUCCAUAUGUUGCGACAUCAAAUGCUCCGUGUUGCAACUUAGUGACCAGUAUCGAGUUAAUACGCCUUCUAAUGGUCUCCUACACAUUUACAAAGUAUAUUAGCUUACCCUAGGCCUCGUUCGACCCCUAAGGUUAAUAAAAGACUCAAAUACCACAAUUUAUUGAAUUUAAAUAAAUGUAUGAAAACUUAAGUAAAUUCCAACUAAAAUGCUCAUAUUCAAGCUCGUCAAAUGCGAAAAAUAGUUUAAUCUGCUACACCGAAUUAUGACAGAUUAAACUCCUCCACACUUAAGUCAUUACUUAUCCUCAAGCAACACAAAUAAAAAUAAUAAAUGAAAAGAUGACCCUUAAGGAAGUAUGGUACAAAUGUUAGCUUUGGAGCAUAUGAAUAGGUGUUUCGUAUUCGCAUAUAAUCUUGGCAUGAGAUAUAACUAACUUACCACUUUUGAUAUCAAACACCUAAGUUCAGCAUAUUACAAAGCAUACAAGCAUCAAGUGGUGUGUCAUUGGAAGCACAAAAAACAACCUAUCCCUAUGAAAUAACGAAAAGAAUAGUAUAAGGGAAGUAGGGUCAAAUCCUCAAGGACCAGAUUGCUACAACUUCUUGUUCCACGAAAUCUUGGGCACAGUUGUGCCCAAGAAAAACGACAUACCUGGAAAAAAUAAAAAAAUAAAAAAUAUGGAUGAAUUGAAAUUGUAUGAAUUGAAAUUGAAAUUGUAAAAAGAAACAGAAUUGAGGAAAGGGAUUCUUCGAUUUCAGGGAUUCCAACCUUCGGUUGUCUCGAUCCUUAUUGGAUUCCAUCUUAGGCUUUUAGGUGAUCCUUCUCAUAACAGAAUAAGCAGUUAUAGUGGAAGAGGAUGCCUAUGACCAUAAACUCCAUUUAGAUUUUAAACUUACGAUUUAGAGGAACCUGACUCUAGCCAACCGUCACUUUUAUGGGACCGUCUUACACUAGAUCAUCAUUUCUCAAUGGCGAAUGCCACACCAUUUCGUCUCUUGGGCUUGACAACCACUGACGUAGAAAGUUAGCGAACCGAUUGUGCAACAUUGCCAAAACAUACAAAGCGAUCAUUCUUUGCACAAGAUGAAAAUAUCACUUUUGGAAGGACAUGGAUGGAAGCGUUAGUCCCGUAAUGCUGAGAAACAAUGAAUACUCAUUAAGAAGGCUAAGUGCGGGUUCUAAGCCUCAUGAACAUUUUUUGGGGAAUCUCGACAACCUUUGGCUAGAUGAGUUUAGUGGCUCAUGUUUUUCCAGAAAAAAAAGUAAUAACUUUAAUGGGAUGAAAUUUUAUUGAAAAAUAAAAGGAAAGGAACAAAAAGCUAAGAGCUUUAGAGGGAAGGAGUGUUUUACAGAAAAGAUGAGUGAAUAUUUAUGUCACUACAUCCCCUAUUUAUAGUACAUAGAAAACCUAGUUUGUUCCUAUUUAAACUCUAAAAAUAAAUAAAAAAUAUAAUCUCAAAUUAAAUCUAAAUAAUAUCAUAAUAAUCCAAACAAUAAUCCUAAAAAUAAAAUUUGAAUUUAAAUAGAGUAUUCUCUUCAUAAAUCUCUUCUUUGAAUUUUUGCCCCAAGUCUUUUUCACUUUGUAUUUUUGGUGCCACUUCUUCCCUAUUUCGCUUGCUGACCCAUUUUGUCUUUAAAUUCACACUUUUUGCCCCCAAAUUUCCUUUUUCAUUCAAUUUAGUCCCUAUAAGAUGAAAACCUAUAAAAAGUCCAGAUUAGUAAGAUCAUAUUCAAAAUAUAUAUGCAAUUAAUACAUAAAAAUAUGUCAUUUCAAAGUAUUAUCAUAUUCCUCCCUACUUAGCCCAUGCUUGCCCCCAAGUAUGGUUCCUAGCCCACUGUGUAAUUUAGAUUUUACCAUGAAAGAAGUAUCACUCCAAAGUUUUAUAAAAAUUAGGUAUAAUGCAUAUGAAAAUAAGGAAAACAUUUAGCUUGCUUUAAGUAAAAUAGAAAAGUAUUCCAACUUAAACACACAAAAGGUUAAAUCGACUUGGAUUAUUUCAUGUAAAUUAGGUAAUUUACUAAACUUACCAAGACACCCUAUUUGUUCCACCGUUAGUCCCCAAAUGAAAUUCUUUUUUUUUCUCUUUUUUUUUAAAAUUUUUUUCUUAAGAAUGUAUUGGCCCUUUUGACAUGAAAAAGGAUGACAACCCAAGCACCCCACCUUGGUUACUCAGCCCAACACACUCUUAUUUUAUUAUUAUAUAUUUUUUUGUUAAGAAUGUAUUGACCCUUUUGACACGAAGAGGAAUGACAACCCAAGCACACCACCCUGGAGGACUAGGAAAAAAAUCAAGUGUCAAAAAUAAGUUUUGGUAUUUAUCUAUCAGUCACGAAAAUAAAUUUAGCAUACAUUCGUAUUAAGUGUCAUAUUUGCAUUUAGACUUUAAUUAAUUCUACUAUAAGCAAGAUAGGGUUAACUUUAUUAAUCAUAAUUAUUUUAGCCUAAUAGAAAUAAAAUAGUGGAGAUGAAAUCAAUAUAGAAAAAUCAUAACUAACUCAGUAGACAAUAAUCAUGCUCGCAGGUCCAACAGUUGGUAAUUCCUAGUAAAAAUCUUUGGCAUGAAAAGAGGCAAGAUAUACUAAAAAAACAAAUGUGGACAAAAAUAAGCAUAAGGCAGCAGCAACAGUAACACAAUAGAAAAAAGUAAAUAAAACAACAGAAAUAAUGAGGAAUGUCUCCCCCUACUUAAAACACAUUUUCCUCAAUGUGAAAAAAAACAAAUUGAGAAAAAAAAAGUUUUAGAAAAACUACCCAUGUAGUCACUGUCGUUCACGCAUAGCUACAAGGAGGGAAAGGUUUGGAGUUGCCAAGGUCGAUGUGUUGGGGUGCCAAGAAUUGGUGCCGACGAUUGUUAACGGUGAAGGAAGGUUUGACUGUGGCACAGCUCUUAGUCCUAGCCAUGGUGGUUUGAAAAUUGGUGGUGAGGGUGGGGGAGAGGGCUAACGACAGCUUGAGGGAAUUUUGGGUGCAUAUGGUGAAAAAUUAGGGUUUGAAAGUGUAGGAGGAAGGGUGUUUGGCUGUGGGGUGGGAGUUUGGGCGUCGGUUUGGGCGAGUUUAAAGUCGAGAUGCACUAAUCCUACCUAGAUUAGGGUAGAAUAUAAGGUUUUACUAAAACAUACCCAUUGCUUGAAGAUGCCGUUCCAAUUUUAAUUUUUUUUCUUGUCAAUUUUCCUGGAUAUAAGAAGAGAGAAUAAAAUUUAUUAAAAUGAAAUAAAAUAAAAAAAUAAAGUACCAAUAAAAUAUAUAUAAAAUAUAAAUAAAAAUAAAACUGGGUUGCCUCUCAACAAGCGCUUGUUUAACGUCGUUAGCUUGACGCCCCAACUAGUAUUGGGGUUGUUCCAACUAUAUUCUUUCGAUUGUAUGGGCUUGGAGAUUCUCAUUUUUUAUCACAUCCAACAUAUUUAGGUUCAAUCAUCUUUACACCUCUUGCUUUGGUUUCGUAAUUUACUCCAAGAAAAUCUUAUGUGUGCAUGUCAAGGGGUUCAUCCAUUUUAAGUUGACAAUGGUCUCAUCAUUCUCCAAAAAUGCGCACUUGAAAUGCUGGAGAAGUGAUUUUAAUUCUAGGUCUGGUGCCUGCACAACAGAAGGUAGAACUUUAGUGUAUAUGGGAGCCGAUAAUCAUUAUCAGAUUCUCAAAUAGAUCUUGAAUUGAAAUUAUCAUCAAACAAUAUUUCAAGUUUAUCUUCAUAAUGUGACUCAAAACUUUAUUCUACUAACGAGUCAAUUAUGUCAACACGGUUUACGUUCAAGAUUUCACUCGAGUGGCUAAUAGCGUCAUAAAAGUUAAACUUCACGAUCUCCCCGUCAAACUCCAUCAUGAGGGUUCCGCUACACACGUCAAUCUUAGUAUUUGUAGUACUAAGGAAAGGUCACACCAACAAGAUGUUUGAAGACCUAGGAGCGUUAUUCUCUUCCAUUUUUAUCAUAUAAAAGUCUGCAGGAAAGAUAAGUCCGUUGACUUUCACUAAUAUGUCCUCAAAGACUCCUUCGGGAUGCACAAUAGACCUGUCUGCUAAUUGAAUGAUAACAUCUGUUUUCAUCAAAAAACCCACGUUAAAUGCUUCAUAAAUAGAAAAAGGCAUUAUAUGUAUGGAGGCCUCCAAAUCACACAUAGCUUUUUUAAUUCCUAAGUGACCUAUUAUGCAUGAUAUUGCAAAUAUGCCCCUAUCGUUACAUUUUACUAGCAUCCUCCGAUGCAACGCCGCAAAUACAUUUUCACCAAUAGUUACUCUUUAAUUUCUAGUCAAUUUUCACUUGUUGGUGCAAAGCUCCUUAAGGAACUUGGCAUAUCGUGGAAUUUGUUUGAUGGCAUCCAGCAAUGGUAUGUUGAUCUCAACAUUUCUGAAUGUUUCGAGGAUCUCCAUCCUAUGGCAUGCCAAUUAUAUCUAUAAACAACACACAUUACUUACCGAUUAUCUGUGUACUAUCACUUCAUAUUAGCAUCUUUUACAAAAGACUAGCAUAGUCAUAUAACAUAUAUAUUACAAGUUUGUUUCAUGUAUACAAUUGCACUUUACACAAUAAUCACAUACUCACUUACCACAUUUCAUGCACAAUACACAACCACAAAAUAAUGAUAGAUUCAAGAAAACUUACGCUCAGAACUUAGAGUAGGGGUUUAGGCUACAUCUAAAUUCCUAAGUAACACAUGACUCGUGUUUACGAGUAGCAAUUCCAUACAUCACCACUUUAUGCUUUAGUUAAAAAAUUAAAAGCUCAACUAACGCUUCCCUAGCUCGUAGCAAGCUCUAACAAAUCUAAAUCUUUACACACAUAAAUCAUACAAUAACCAUAGUCAAAUAUCAACCAAGAAUCCACUCAAAGCAACUAAAACACAAGCUUAAGCUAAGUUCCCACGUAACUUAAUUAAACUAUUAACAUAACAAACUUUAUAUACUAAUAUCGUGAUCUAUACUAAACCUCUUUGCUUAAAAUCAAUUAUGUUCAUCUACUUAAUCGUCUAUACCUAAUUCACAGCCUUCAAAGUAGACAAAUCUACUCAAUUCAUACUAUCGACAUUUUUUGACAUCUUUUAGGUAAUUUUCACAAAAAUUUAUUAAAACAUGAGAAAUCAUUAACGAAAAUUCAAGGUAAGUUUAAAUACCUUUUAAUCAUGCUAAAACAAGUUGAAAAUCACUUUGAAACCAAGUUUUGACUCAAAAUCCCAAAAUCCACCAUUAAUGGCUCGAUUUUUUACUUUUAUUUAAAACAUGCGAUUUGAGGGCUAAUAAUUCAAUUUUAGAGUCUAAGUAACAUUAAAAACCAAUGGAUACAUGAAUGAUUACCUUUGUUGAAAGAAUGAACAAGUUUCGAUGUAAAUCUGAAAAACUCAUGUUUGAAGAUGAUGAUGAAAUCUGUGGAGUUUUGGAUUUUUUUUUGGAGAUUAUGAUAAUAAAUAACUUAGGAGUGAUAGGUAAUCAAGGUAUUGUGAUUUGGGAAUAAAAAAUAAAUGAAAAUAGCUAGGGAUAUGGCAAGGGGGGCACAAGCUUGAAAGGGAAUGAAGAAAUCGCGAAAUUUGUAAGUGGGGGUGACUUUUAGAUUUAAUUUUAAAAAUUGGUUUAAAUGCCACAUAAAUUCUCACUACUUUGACUCUAUUACAAAUCAACCAUUUCUCUAAAAUUAAGGGUUUCUAGAACACUUUUUCAAAAAUUGAUUUAAUAGCAAAGAUACCAAAGUCAAAAACAUUAUCGAGUACAAACCAUACAAAUUUUCAAGCUCAUCUAAGCCACAAUCUCUAAAUUUCCCCUAAAACUCCUUGGCCCUAUUUUGGGGUGUUACAAUCAUAGAGUUUUCACCACCACUCUUUGACAACUGCAAGUUUAAAGGCAAUGGUGAGUUAACUCAUUUACAAAAUUCUAGCUUAAAUUUCCUUAGAACAUCUAAGGCAUACUUCUAUUGUGAAAUGAAGAUACCAGCCUUCCUUUGAUUAAUUUCCAUCCCAAGAAAGCAGCUUAUCAAGCCAAGAUCUGACAUAUCAAAUUCUUUUUGCAUAUUCAAUUUAAAUUAUGAGAAAUCUUCAUCAUUGCUUCCCGUCACCAAGAAAUCAUCAACAUAAAGAGAAACAACAAGAAAGUCAACAUUCAUACCUUUCUUAAUAUGCAAAGUAGCUUUAUUAAUGCUCCUUUAAAAACCCAACUUCUGCAAAUAAGAAUCAAUUCUGCAAUACCUGACCCUUGGUGCAUGUUUUAGGCUAUAAAGAGUCUUAUUAAGCUUGUUAACUUGAUGUUCCUUUCCAACAACCACAAAACCUUUAGGUUGACAAACAUAGAUAUCUUCUUCAAGCUCUCCAUUCAAGAGAGCUGGUUUUACAUCCAAAUGACACAGAUUCCAGCCCAAUUGACCUCUAAUAGAAAUAAGUAGUUUGAUGGUAUCGUGUCUAGCAACUGGUGCAAAAGUGUCACCGUAGUCAACUUCACAUAUUUGUGCAUACCCCUUUACAACCAACCUAGCCUUAUGCUUGAUCAUAAUGUCAUCAAGAUUGAACUUAGUCUUAUACACCCACUUCACACCUAUAACAUGUUUACCACUAGGCAGAAGUAGUAAACACUGAUGUUUACUUGCUAAAUAAGCUACUUACUAAAGUUUUUGAAGAGAAGACACCAUUCAAGGCAUGGUAUGGUUUUAAACCUUUUGUUUCACACUUAAGAGUAUUUGGUUGCACUUAUUUUAAUCAUGUUCUAGAAGAGAAAAGAAGCAAGCUAGACAGUAGAUUACAGCCAAUGAUAUUUGUUAGAUAUUAUAGUGUUAAAAAAGGAUAUAGAAUCUAUUAUCCGUCCACCAAGAAACCAAUUGUAAGUAGAUAUGUGAAGUUUGAUGAAAGAAAAAAUAUGGAAUUGGACUGCAAUAGAGGAAGAGAUGUGCGAACAGAGGGCUCCAAAACUUAAUCUGCAUGCCAUUGGAGACCAAACUGGAAAUGAUGUAGUCGAUGAACAACCAAUGCGAGGAACCAGGUCUAUCGCUAAAAUCUUUCAACGAUGUAAUUUGGCAAAAUUAGAACCAAUCACUUUUGAAGAAGCUGCUCAAGAAGCUGAAUGGUGAACAAUUAUGAAAGAUGAAAUCACCAUGAUCAACAAAAAUGAAACAUGAGAGAGCUUGUGGAUAGACUGAUUCGAAAGAAAGUGAUUAGAGUUAAAUGAGUGCUCAAAACCAAGAUGAAUCUUAAUGGAUCAGUCAACAGAUAUAAAGUGGGAGUGGUUGCAAAGGGGUUCAGCUAGCAAUACAGAGUGGACUUCACUGAAACCUUUGUCCCUGUUGUAGGGUGAGACACCAUAAGGCUACUAAUAACUCUUACAACUUAGAAGGGUUGUAGGUUACAUCAAAUGGAUGUAAAGUUAACCUUCCUAAAUGGUUUUUUUGAAGGAAGAAAUUUAUGUCAUGCAACCUCAAGGGUUCGCAAUACCUAGGUCUAAGGCCAACGUGUACAAAUGGAACAAAGCACUAUAUGGCUUGAAGCAAGCACCAAGGGUGUGGUAUGAGAGAAUUGAUAAUCAUCUAACAGAGAUAGGUUUUGAAAGAAGCAUCUAGUAAUGAAAUACUCCUCAUUAUUUUAUUAUAUGUUGAUGAUUUACUUGUGAUUGGUAGCAACAGUGAACUAGUGAUUGUAUUCAAGGACCAGAUGCAAGAGAAGUUUGAAAUGUCAGACAUAGGUGAAAUGACAUACUUCAUUGGUUUGGAGGUAAAUCAAGCUUGCGAUAUAAUUUUUGUAAACCAAAAGGGGAUCGCGAUGAAAAUCCUGUGAACAUAUAGCAUGGAGAAUUGUAAACCUAUGAGCACCCCUAUUGUUCAAGGUGAGAAGCUCUUCAACAAUGAAGAUGUUGAAAAGGUUGACAAAACAAAAUACAAAAGUUUGGUUGGAUGUCUGCUUCACGUGACAACAUCUAGACCUAACAUAAUAUUUGUUGUAAGUUUGUUGUCAAGAUACAUGCAUUGCUGCAAUGUGAACCACUACAUAAUAGCAAAAGGGUUCUACGAUGCAUAAAAGGAACUCUUAGCUAUGGAGUGAAGUUUUUAAAAACUAAAAAGGUUAAACUACUUGUGUAUUCAAACAGUAAUUGGGUUAGGUCUACAGAAGACAUGAAGAGUACCUUGAUCGCUUCCAGACAUACCAACGUCCAGAGUAGAAAUCAUGCACAAAUGGUAUGAAAAAGCAGUAUCCGCAAGUAUAUGGGUCAAGUUGUAAUAUAGUUAAAACGGAGUAGGUAAGUACUCCGAGGAUCGUACUUAGGGGAAGCGAGCACUAAAUUAAGUCUACUCUAAGCAUAAAUAGAUCUAAUUAAUAAUUUAAUUGAUUUAUAGUACGAAGAAUUAAAAUAAAGGUUUUGGAUAAUUAUAAUAAAAAUAAUAAGAAAAGAAAUUAAAUUAACAAAAAGCAAGAAAUAAAAUAAGAAAAUAUGCAUCAAAUCUAGGCAUGGGUGAUUAACUCGCUUUCGUAAUCGAAAUAAACUAUCGUCUCAGGUUUUCUCGUUUAAUCAACUAGUCAAUACCCCAGCAGGAUCUUUCGAUACGUUCACUGAAAUACUGAGUCGGUAAUAACUACUUAUCUUCCGACCUCACAGUCCAGACCGAUUCAGGAUUAAGGUGUUCACGAACAAGCCAUACAAUUUUGGGUUGAUUCCCACAUUGAUGACUUCCUAGGGUUGUCAAGCCUAGGGUUUAGAUUCUUCCUUUCUUGAACAGUUGAUCUGUUAAGAAAUCCUUACAAAACAAUUUCAAGAAUAGAGUUUAAUGACCAAAAUAAAAUAAAAAAAUUCUAUAGUUUAGUUACUAAUGGUAUAAUCUACCUAAAAAAGGUCUUCAAAAAUAAACCUGAAAGUUUGGCGAAAAUUUGGGGUAGUACUUUAAAAUUUUGUCUUGGACCACAACAAUACCACUUCCAAUCAUCAACUCACCAAAUUAAUUUCAAUUUUGAAUUUAAUCAAAAUAAAACAAAAUUGAUUCAAUCCCACCUUAAUUUGGUGUUCAAAUUUGCAAAUUAAAAAAAUAACCAAAAUAUAAAAAUAAAAAUAAAAAUCAACUUUUCACCUUAUGGUUUAAAAUUUUGUUCUAACCCCAAAAAUCUAGAUGAGAUUUAAUUUAGCCCCUAAUUUAAAACCAAACUUUUAAUUUUAAUUCUUAAAUCAAAUUAAGAUUUACUUGGGCUUGUUUGAUAAUCAACUGAAAAAAAAAACUAAAUCAUCUAAUACAUAAUAUUUUUAAUCACUUAAUUUUCGAUAAUCUAUAAUAAAAAAACAGUAAAAUAUAGAAUUUCUUUUAAUAAUGAAGUAUGAAAAAUGAUAAGUAGACAAAAGAGUUACUUAUCACCUAACGUAGAAUCUUUUAUCUUAUUUUAUUUCUUUUAACAUUACCUUUUAAAUGUUUUACCUUUAAAUUUUCAAAAAAUUCAUUUAUCUCACAAAUUCUACAUGUCUGUUUUACAGCCCAUAUUCGGAGUUCAUGAACACCCUUUCAACAAUGUUGUCUCUAAGAUUGAACAUGUAUUCUCUAUUGAGAGUAAAAAGUAUCUUACAAUUGCACUCAAUACUUUUUAACAUAUAGCAAACAUAUUUUAUAACUUAAAUUCAAUACUUAAUUUUGUAAUGCUUAAUUAUAUAACACUUUUUUUGGUAUAUGUGAAACUCAUUCUUUUACUAAGUAAAUAAAUGAGAGUAAUCAAAUAAAUUGAUUUUUAUGUAGAUUGAAGCACAAAGUCACAAGACUUAAAUUCCAUCAAGGGCUCCAUGUUAGAAGUGCGAGCAUAAUAUGCAUGCUUAAACCAACAUUAACUUACUCGGUCGAGAGUGUAAUAUGUUGAGUUUACUUUGGAGAAAUUCUGAAUAUGGUUAGUAGUUUGGAGGAAUGCUGCUUGUGAAGACAAUAAUGGUUUCCGCGUGGGUCAUAGGCUUCUCAUGGCUCAAACCAAAAUAUACAAGGAAGACCUUGACUUCCAAAGCAAUAUACAUGCUUAAAUUGACUUCCAUCUUCAUCUUUAUUCAAACACCAAUUUCUUUAAAAACAAAAACUAUUUUCAUUAAAAUUAAAAAGAAAAAUUCAUUAAUUCAUUCCAUGAAUGGGAUCAUAUAAUUCUGGAAACAGAAAAAGAAUCAACAAACACUUGUCGGCGGUGAAGAACAAGCUCCAACAACACGAGAAAAGCUUUAGUCUCAGAAUCAAUAAAAUAUUAUGACACACUGAUAAUCAACUUUAUCACAACUCAACAUCAAUAAAAAUAAAUAAUUUUUCUAUUUUUUAAAUAAUUAUAUUAAAAUGUGGAUUCUGUUUAAAGAGGUGAUUUAAACCAUAUUCAAUAAAAUUAAAACCUAACAACCUCGAAAUUGAAAUGCACGAAAACAAUGGAAAUUAAAUAAAUUUUUUAUUUAAUGUAAUUUUAGAUAGUUGAUAUGGGAAUUAAAUUUGUGUUUAUAAUGUAACUCAUUUUGUGAUUUGAUUAUUUGAAUCAAAUAAGUACUCUGUUGUGAAGAAGCUAAUUAAUUAAAUUAAGUUUUUACUUCAAGAUUCACAACUGGGCUAAGUUUAUUAUAUUUAAUUUUAAAAAAUAUUUCUAUUGAUAUUUAUAUAUAUGUUAUUUAUUAGAUUGUGUAAAUUUUAACUAAAAUUAAAAAUUCAUCUUGAUUAUUAAAACAUAGUUCUAAUUAUUAAAAGCCAUGUCUUUAAACCAAAAAUGUUAAAUAUUUAAUAGGAAAAAAAAAGAAAGCAACUAUGAAUAACAAUGUCGUGCACUGAUGAAGAUUUAUUCUACUUAUCACUUUCCACUGGUUCCUAUAUCAUUACAUCAACUUCAAAUCAUUUAUUUAUUUGUGAUUUUCAUCACUCAUAAACAUCUCAUGAUUCUUAAGCUCGAUCAAUGAUAUUUCAUGAAGAGGCAUUGCAAUUGGAGACUUGAUGUGUAGGAAUUCUUGAGACACUAAUUUCAUUGUUGGUCGAGCUUUGGGUCUAAGUCGUAAGCAUGCAAAAGCAAUGACAGCAAUAAAAGCGAUCUCUCCUGCCAUUUUUCGACUUCUCGGGGUUGAUAAUCGAGGGUCCAAAAUUUCAUUUAGCAUGAAAUUUUGGACACGAGACGAUGAUGAUGAUAGUGUUGACAAUAAUUCACCGGGAUGCUUUCCCAUCAAUAUUUCCAAUGCCAACACUCCAAAACUAUAAACAUCACAUUUUUCGGUCACGACCAACGAAUAAGCAAGUUCUGUAAUUAAAACAAAAAAGAAAAGCUAAAUAGAUGUUAAUUUAUAUUCUGUAUUCAUCUUAGUUGCAUGUAUGUUUGCAUUUGAAUCCUCCAACCUCGAAUUAAUUUUUGUAAUUUAUAUUUGAUAUUUCUUACUUUUGUCUUUUCUACUUAUUUCCCUCAUUAUUCUAAUAUGUAAUUCGAAACAAAUAAGCAGCAGAAACUAAGAAUGGAUAGAACUAAAUAAAAAAGAUAAGAAGAGAGUGAAGGUGCAGAACCUGGGGCAAUAUAUCCAUACGUCCCAACAAUUACAGUUCGAUUAGAUGAAUCAGGAUCAAGAAGUCUUGCAGUCCCAAAGUCAGCAAUAAAAGCUUCCAAUUCAGAGUUCAACAAAAUGUUAUUGCUUGAGAUGUCUCGAUGAACAAUUGGAAGGUUGCAAUCAUGAUGCAUGUAAGAUAGAGCAUGUGCGACACCUUUGACAAUGUUCACUCUUUUGGUCCAAUCCAAUUCCAC